This 91894-nucleotide long non-coding RNA is filed under the name Triticum aestivum (bread wheat). RNAcentral's name for it is "long non-coding RNA (TAES_LNC012488)". Lineage: Eukaryota; Viridiplantae; Streptophyta; Magnoliopsida; Poales; Poaceae. The record is from RNAcentral.
UUCUUUUUUCUUACUUUCAGGACCCCACUCUCCGGAAGGCCUGUCCGGCAGUUCAAUCGCCGAACACAUGAUGCAGCAGCCAGGGAGGCAGCAAGCUACGUCGAAUGUCCAGGUGGUCUCUAUAACGAGCUAAAUACCUGUCUUACAUAAAGUCUCGCAGCUUGCCCCUGGAGGGGGACAUGUCAAAUAAUCCCACCCCUUGCUUAUCGCACUAUUUGUACCAUUCUUCUUUCACAGCAGCCUUUUAAUAAACAAUACAUAGCUCUUGUCUAUUAUUGCAUUCAUUUUUUACGAAAAUAUGUUCAGUUAUGACAUUAUGCAACCGUACACUUUGGUACGGCCAAUACACCAGGGGCUCAAGCACCCCCAGAAUAUGGUGUGCGAAGUCCGAACACUCUCAUGAGUACAGCACCCCGAACUUAUAGCAUUAUAUGCAUCGGCUCUGAAUCAUGUCUUGGGUUAAUAGUUGGGUUUGCCCGGCUCCCAUGUUUUGGUACCUUACGUUCCGCUAUAUCGGCUAAGGUAGCACUUGGAGAACUACUGCGAUUGUGCCCCAGUUGAGCUGGGUUAAGCACCUCAGUAGAGAAAGCUAAAAUUGACCGUCAUGAUAGGGCGAGAGCCGGUCGCUGUUCGAGAGGUUUUCGAGUCCCUAAAGACUUAUGCCGCUUAGAGCGAGGAGCUGGCUUUGUCCGGCCUAGGAGUGGAUAGCGCCCCGAACUCGGUCUUCCGAAUACUAGGGGCUUCGCCAAAAUUUAAAAUUAUAGAAUUCUAUGGCAAAGUGAGAGUGAUAAAGAAUUAUAGUCCGAUUUCCUGGUUCAUUGUGCUGAGCGCCUCCCUCGAAGGACCCAAGAAUGGGAACAAGAGCGCUCAGGUUUAUCCCGAACACCCCAGCACUCGUGGCAUGGGGGUAGAAGCCGACGACCCGCAUCUCUCAGAUUUAAUAAACGGCCGCACAGAAGGUAAUAUUUUAAAUUCAAAAGGUGUUGAUUAGCGCAUAUGAACAGGUUUUCAGUGCACAGGAUAACAUGAGCGAGUUUACUCAAAAAUUACAUCCUUUGAACACUCAUUCGCCACAAGGCAGGCACCCUUCAGAACGCCCUCAUAAUACAACUCAGGCUUGCGAUGCUCCUUCCCCUAUGGUGGCCCAUCUGUCACCAUCUUCUCAGCAUCCAUCUUGCCCUAGUGUACUUUAACACAGGCAAGGGCCCUACGGGCGCCUUUGAUGCACACGGAGCGCUUGAUGAUUUCAAGCCAUGGACAGGCAUCCACCAGCCGCCUCACCAGCCCAAAGUAACUCCCAGGCAUGGCCUCCCCAGGCCAUAGCCGGCCUAUAAGGCCCUUCAUGGCCUGUUCGGCUGCCUUAUGGAGCUCGACCAGCUGCUUCAGCUGGUCACUCAAGGGCACCGGGUGUCCGGCCUCAACGUACUAGGACCAAAACACCUUCUCUGUCGAGCUACUUUCCUCGGCUCGGUAGAAUGCGGCGGCGGCGGACACACUGCGGGGCAGAUCUGCGAAUGCUCCUGGAGAGCUCCGGACUCGAGUAAGUAACAAGUAAUUCACUUUCACGUGCUUGCUUUGCAUAAAGAAUGCCUUACCCGCCACUAUCUUCUUCAUCGCCUCAAUUUCCUGGAGGGCUUUUUGGGCUUCGGCUUUGGCAGAUUUGGCGCUCUCAAGGGCCAAGGCAAGCUCGGACUCUCGAGUCUUUGAGUCAAGCUCCAAACUCUUGUGUUUUUUCACAAGAGCAUUGAGCUCUUACCGCACCUCCGCCACCCGCGCCUCCUAUUUUUCUCGCUCGGUGUGCUCCACACCCGCAUUGCCUUCGGCCUUGGACAACGCUUCCUUCAGGGUCGCCACCUCGGUUGUGGCGAUGUAACACUCACGUUGGUCCUGUCAUUAUUUGCAACCAAAUCUUUUUAUAUAUUUACAUAAGGUACUACUUACCUUCCUUGUCCUCGAGCUGCUUCUUGGCAAGGCCGAGCUCGUUCUCGGACCGCUUGAGGCUCUGCUUCAAUGCAUCAACCUCCGAGAUCAGUGCGGCAGAGGUCAGCAGCGUAGCCUGCAUUCCCAUAUUGACAUACUUAUAUUAGACUCCUGCUUAUAUCUUUUUAGAUCCUCAGUCCGGUUUUUCUUUCCGAACACCAAACUGAGCAUCAGGGGCUACUGUCUAUGCGGUAAUAUUUUAACAUGUCUUAAAUACAUACCUCAAAGCUUGUUAUAAGGCUAGAACAGGCUUCCGUCAGCCCGCUCUUGGCGGACUGAACCUUCUGGAUCACCACACUCAUAAUAGUGCGGUGCUCCUCGUCGAUGGAGGCGCCGUUAAGCACCUCCAGCAAAUUAUCUAAUGCCUCCGGUUGGACGGAGGUCACCGGCGUUGCAGGCCUGCCCUUCUUACUAGGGGGCCGCCUGCUGGAUUCCGGAACCACUAAAGGUUCCGGUGCGGUGUCCGGCCCAGGGCUGGACUUAGAGCCCUCUAGGGUUUCAUCCCCUUUGCGCCUGGAGUCCGGGACGUCACCUUGCAGCGCCUCCAGGACCACCUCCUCCUGACUUAGCCCCUUUUGGGACUCCACCUCGGCAUCGUCCGUAGGGCGAGGGGAGGUAGCAGUCGGGAGUGAAAGACUAUUCACAUCCAACGAAUCCAGGGAGCCGCUCGACGAAGCGUCGAGCCGAGCCUUGGGCGGACUGCAUGAUUAUAUUUGGCGUCAGAAGGUAUUGUGCAAUAAAGGAACGCCAUGAGUUAUUCUGGUAUCCGGAUACUUACGAUUUUGCCAGGGGCUUGGCCUUGGAUAGCCACUCCUCUCCGCCGUUGUCAACGCUGGUGGAGUAGUCCGGAAGAAGGGUCUUUCCCUUCUUGGACCCUCCGGCCUCCCCGGUUGGGGUGGCCUUCCUUUUCUUUCCUCCCCCCGUUGGAGGGGGAGAGACUUCUUCUUCCUCCUCCUUGUCUUCGGGGGAGGAGUGCGCUUUGGGGUCGUCGGGUGAUGAAUCCGACACCACCAGGCGUCGGGAACUCUUUCGAGUUCCCGUGGCCUUCUUCUUGGCCUUCUUCUCUGGCACCACGUGAGGUGCCGGGACCAGCAGCUUCACCAAGCGUGCGUUUGCUGGGCCUUCGGGAAAAGGUGCCGGGCAAUCAAUCUGUCCGAACGUCUUCUUCCAGUCAUGUCAAAGGAGUGGGAGCUUAGAUCCCGCAUCGAGUCAAACUAUGAAAAACAAGUGUCCUAUAGAGGGUAAAACAAGCUUACUGCGCUAGCUUGGCGCUUCACGCAGAAUCCGUGAUCCUCGGUAAUGGGAGGGGGAGCCUCGGAGCCCUUGAAUAGCACCUUCCAGGCAUCUUCGUGCAUUGUGUCGAAGAGCCUAGACAAAGUUUGGUGCUGGGCCGGGUAGAACUCCCACAAGUUAAAUGCCCGUCAUUGACACGGGAGGAUCCGGCGGAAGAGCAUGACCUGGACUACGUUGACAAGUUUAACCUUCUUGUCCACCAGGUUUUGGACGCAGGUUUGGAGUCCGGUCACCUCUUCCGAAUUACCCCACGACAGGCCCGUCUCUUUCUAGGAGGUGAGCCAUGUGGGAAUGCCAGAUUGGAAUUUGGGGGCCGCUGCCCAUUCAGGGUCACGCGGCUCGGUGAUGUAGAACCACCCCGAUUGCCACCCUUUGAUGGUUUCCACAAAGGAGCCCUCGAGCCAUGUGACAUUGGGCAUCUUGCCCACCAUGGCGCCUCCGCACUCCACUUGCUGGCCGCCCACAACCUUCGGCUUGACGUUGAAGGUCUUCAGCCAUAAGCUGAAGUGGGGCUUGAUGCGGAGGAAGACCUCGCACACGACGAUAAACGCCGAGAUGUUGAGGAUGAAGUUCGGGGCCAGAUCGUGGAAAUCCAGGCCGUAGUAGAACAAGAGCCCCCGGACGAAUGGGUGGAGUGGGAAGCCCAGUCCGUGGAGGAAAUGGGGGAGGAACACCACCCUCUCAUGGGGCCUAGGGGUGGGGAUGAGCUGCCCCUCGUCUGGAAGCCGGUGUGCGAUGUCGUUAGACAAGUAUCCGGCUUUCCUCAACUUUUUGGUGUGCCCCUCCGUGACGGAGGAAGCCAUACACCUGCCUCCCGCUCCGGACAUGGCUGGAGAAGGUUGAGGUGGGAAGUGAGGACUUGGGCGCCGGAGCUCGAGUGCGCAGAGAUGGAUAAGCAAAGGAGGAAGAAGGCGUGGAUGGAAAGGAUGGAUCCUUAUCCCCUUAUAGGGGCGUACAAAACUAUGUGCCCCCACUAGCCUGGUAAAACUCGCUUAUCUACCAAGCGUCGUGAUUAAUGGCACGGUUGGGUUACCCACGACCGUAUUAAUGAGAAUCCCGGAAUAAGGGAACACGAUCUCUGCUUUGAGAAGACGUGCCAAGGAAACCGCCUUGCUAAACGCGCUGAGGUGGGAAAGUAAAACGAUUCGAAUAAAGGCUUGGCCGUGGCAUGAUGUCACACUGCGGAAUACGUCAGCAGAUUAGAUUUGUACCAAUAUUAUUCUCUCUACGGUGGUAUGUGGAACUUAUUUUGCAGAGCCAGACAAUGUCCUUGUGUUCAAAAUCUUCUAUGAAGUAUUCGGAGGUGGAACCCGCCUUGCAAUGCCGAAGACAAUCUGCGCGCCGGACUCGUCGUCAUUGAAGCCUGGUUCAGGGGCUACUCAGGGAGUCCCGGAUUACGGGGUGUCCGGAUGGCCGGACUAUGACCUUUGGCCGGACUCCUGGACUAUGAAGAUACAAGAUUGAAGACUUCGUCCUAUGUCCGGAUGGGACUUUCCUUGGCGUGGAAAUCAAGCUUGGCGAUGUGAUAUGUAGAUCUCCUCCCAUUGUAACUGACUCUGUGUAACCCUAGCCUUCUCCAGUGUCUAUAUAAACCGAAGGGUUUUAGUCCAUAGGACGAACGACAAUCAUACCAUAGUCUCUGAUCUCGUGGUAGAUCUACUCUUGUACUACCCAUAUCAUCAAUAUUAAUCAAGCAGGAGUAGGGUUUUACCUCGAUCGAGAGGUCCUGAACCUGGGUAAAAACAUCGUGUCCCUUGUCUCCUGUUACCAUCCGCCUAGACGCACAGUUCGGGACCCCCUACCCGAGAUCCACCGGUUUUGACACCGACAAUGCUCUUCAAGGUCUUCGACGAAGAUGGGCGCCGGCUAGAGUGUUGUCCCAGAGGCAACGGCCGAAGUUCUGGAGCGGCAAGGACCAGGCCUGCCGCCUGCUCUUCCAGCAGCUUCCCUGAUGGCAGCGGGCGCUCCGGAGGGUCCAGCGACUCUUCCAGGCUCCUCCUAACUCCGGCGACGAGCGACGACAGCUACGAGCCUCCGAGCUCGCACCGUGCCCGGAGCAGGGCCGGCAAGCCCGGCAGUCGGCGCGGCAGAUCUGGAUGAGGCUGGCGCUGGCCUUACGUGGCCCACUGUUGAUGAUGGCAUCUGCCGUCAGGGUCCUUGUAGUUAGGCCUGCUUAGGUGUCGCGCCUUUUGUUCCUGCGAGGAGCCAAGAGCACACCCCGUGGGGGUUUGUAAGGUGCCUGUAGUUCUUUUGUUAAUAUGAUCCUUAUCGUGAAGCGGUGUGAAAUGCUCGUCCCGUCUUAGCUUAGUUCUUCCUUUCGAACCUCGCGAGGACUUGAUGCUCUGCGCUGAUAGGUCCCGGUCCCAAGGCAAGCUUCAGCCAUCGCUGGUAUGCCAGGUCGCGAUGCCGUGGUCAAGGCCAGGAGGUGAGCAGCCCGGGGUCCAGUAAGAGCCCCUGAGUCAUGAUGCUCAGGAGGUCCCCUUUAGCGCUCAAGCAGCCAUCGUUUGGUGAGAAAGGAGCGCAAUUUUGCCAAAACGAGACUGCAUUAGGUGCAAGAUCGGUGCUGCGGUAGCUAAUAUUUCCGGAGGAUGACUUAUCUCGGGAGUCAGAAGCCACUCCUUAGCGCUGUGCCAGGCCCGCGCAUCGUCAGCUAAGGAGUUGCCUAGCGAGGUCCCCACAUGCCUCUUCCCCCUCGCCUUUACUCCCCUUCGUGCUCUACGUCCUCAGGUCCCGGCCCUCGAGCGAGCUCAGCCAUCACUGGUAUGCCAGGUCGCGAUGCCGUGGACAAGGCCAGGAGGUGAGGGCUGGAGAGCCAGUAAGAGUCCAUGAGUCGUGAUUCUCAGGUACCUCCCCCUUUAACGUGCAAGCGGUUCAUGCGGACGAGAGUGAAGGAGACGCUAUGAAGGCCUCGCUCGACGCUGCUCCUUAAAGGGAUCAUGCGAGCUCAUCACAAGAAAAACGAGAGUUGCUGUUACAAUUGCCAGCCAGCUGUUGGUUGCUCUGGAAGGGUGACGAGGGCACUGAGGGCUUGGUGAGGUGGCACCUUGCGGGGUUGUCGCGGCCAGAGCUCAGCCACUCGGGUUUUUUGACAUUGCAGGGACGGACCCAUGCGCAAGCGUCGUGCCGUUAAGGAGCAGCUCCAUCAGUUGGUGUCAAUGGAGCGGGCGAUUAAGUCAAGCACGUUAAUCAUGAAGGAGCAAAUCCAUUUAGAUAGACACAGAAAAAGGGCAAACACCGAUGGGCCGGGCCCGAGCGACUUGAGGAUAAUGCAGCCCGGGGGCGCCCCCAACAAAGUAAGCUAAAAACAUGAACAAAAGGGAUACAUGCCGCAGGGGCGGACCCACGCGGUCUAGGUAUGAUGCAGCCCUAGGGGCGCUCCCAGCUGAAAAUGAAACUCGAAGGAUGUCACCUGAUGAUGUUGAAGAUGAAGGGAUGCUGAGGUAGCGGACGGUGUGCGCUAUGGAAGCUGAUCUUUACAAGCCCCCAGGCCCAGGAGCUUCGGGAGGCUCCGGAGGCGCUGGCGGCUCCUCGCGGUCCAUCUCCAUCUCUACCAGGACUGUGGAAUGCCUGGCCGCUUGAGCCUCCAGGAUGCUCCUCAUGAGGCGCUGACACACAGCGGCCGCGUUCGGCAAGCUGUAAGGCAUGCGAACAUAGCUGUGGGGUGGACCUUCACAGCGUCCCAUGCGUGAGGGCCAGAGGCACUCCUGAGAGGUGGCUCGGUUGAGUCCUGGUAUGUCGAUGCAGACGCGCAGCCCACCAUCCUCGCCCGAAUGGGGAGCUACGACGGGUAAGCGGCGGCUGCCACUCAUGACUCUUGACUCCUGGAGCUCCUGAAUGAUCUCGCUGACGAACUCCUGAGGGUUUGGACAUCCUUGCCUUGCUCCUUCCUGAGGGAAACGUGCUUUGAAACACGCCUCCAAGUGGUGCCCGAGCGCCUCCCUCGUGAUCCUAGCAAAGUCGAUGGCCCUCCAGGAGAGAGCCCCCGAGCCUUGCGCGAGGAGGGCGCCGGGCGUGCCUUCCUAUGCGACAGAAGGAGGCGCCCCCUGAACGGGCGCGGAUCCUGAGGGGCCUGCCUCCCGAGGGUUUGGACCAGGCGAUGUCUUCUUCUUCUUAGGGACUGUCUCGGGGAGCCAUCCGCUCCUGUGAUCUGGGUCUUCGAUUGAUGCGGCUUGAAAAGCACGCUCCAGAGAACACACAGCAUCUCUCUCUUCACAAGGCACCGUGAUGACUCCACCGCUUCCUGGCAUCUUGAGGACAUUGUAGCCGUGACGAGUCACGACCAUGAACUUGGCCAGAGCUGGGUACCCGAGGAUGGCAUUGUAUGGCAGGCGGAUGUGGGUGACGUCAAAGUCAAUGAUCUCGGUGCGCUAGUUGCCGCGCUUCCCGAAGGUAACAGGAAGGCGGACAUGCCCUAUUGGAACAGUGGAACCAUCAGUGACUCCUGAGAAAGGCUUGGUUGGCUGAAGCUGAUUGUAUGGCACUUGGAGAUUGUUGAAUGUCUCGACGGACAGGACAUAGAGCCCUGCUCCGCCAUCAAUGAGGGUCCUAGUGCCUUGCACAUUGCUGAUGAUUGGGGAACAAAGCAUCGGGAGGACUCCGGCUGUGGCCGCGCACUUGAGCUGAUCUGUUGAGCUGAACGUGAUGGCGCAUGCUGACCACCUGAGAGGGCGUGUGGCCUCGAGCUUGGGGUGGACUGCAUUCACUUCGCGAGCAAACUGCUUGAAGAUACGCUGAGAGGCCGGGGCCUGAGCGCUGUCCAAGAUGCAAGCGAUUGCGCGCGGCUUCUGGAAGCCUCCAGUCCCCUCGUCUUGAUGAUGGUCUUCAUUCCUCCUCAGCUGUGGUGGUAGAGGAGGGAGGCCCGCGUUGCCUUGUGGGCGAUCCUCACGAGGUUGAUCCCUCCAACCUCCCUCGCGAGGCUGGUCCUGCCAGCGGUCCUCGCGAGGUCGGUCACGCCACCCUUGGCGAGGGCCACGGUCUUCCCAUCGUCCUCCACCUCUUCCUCCUCCUCGGCCAUAGCCCCGGUCGUUGCGCUUGGGGCGUCGGCCGGCACGCACGUCCCGCACGGCCCUGAGCUGUUGGCAUUCGUUGGUGUUGUGGGUGUGGAGGUCCUGGUACACGCAGUACCAGCUGCCCUUGGAUGACUCAGGCUGAUCCCUGCCUUGCUUGGUGUCCGGUUCUGCUACAAGCACGGCAGCCCCCUUGCGCUUCACGUCCUUGACCUUGGGCUUCUUCUCUUCUGGGUCGGUAGCCGACAGCUCAAGAAGGGAAAGGCAUCGUUCCUCAGCCCUGGCGCACUUGGUCGCCAAAUUGAACAGUUCCAGGGAGGUUCACAGGUAUUCGUGGAUCGCAAGCUCCUCUUUCAUUUUGAUGUCACGCACGCCGUCGAAGAAGGCUGAGAUGAUGGCCUCCUCAGACACCCUGGGGAUCUUAAGGCGAGCAUUGUUGAAAUGCUGGAUGAACUUUUGCAGGGUCUCUCCUGGCUGCUGCUUGAUGCGGCGCAAGUCGCUCAUGGCCGGGGGCUAGUCGCGGGUGCCUUGGAAGUUGGCGAUGAAUCGGGUGUGCAUCUCGUCCCAAGAGGAAAUCAUGCCAGGAGCCAGGUUCAGGAGCCAGGUGCGGGCACCAUCCUUGAGCGCCAUGGGAAACCAGUUCGCCAUGACCUUCUCAUCCCCGUUGGCGGCUUCAAUGCCCAGCUCAUAGAGCUGGAGGAACUCCGCAGGGUCAGUCAUGCCAUCAUAGCGCAGGGGCAGAUCUGGCUUGAACUUGCCCGGCCAGGCGACGCUAUGCAGCUCGGCGGUGAAGGCACGGCAGCCUGCAGUGUCCACGGGAGGCCUUUGGUGGCGGAGAGCUUGGUCCUGGAAGUUUUCAUGCGCUGCUGCCAGGAGCAGCGUGGGGUCUUGGCGCGCUGGAGCAGGAGCGCGGCCGUGACGGGCCGGUGCGAGGAGCACACGGGCGGCUUCUUGGGGACGAGGGAUCUCUUGGAAGCUCUUCUCUUGCUGUGCUGGCGCCGGACAGAGCGGGUCCCGUCGAGGGGCCAUGCGCCUUGGGGCCAAGGCGCCUUCUUGAGGGGGAGGCGACUGAGGCGCCCCCGGAGCUUCGUUGCCCACGCAGGGCGGGGCACGGUGCAGGGAGAGGGAUGGCGCAGGGGAGCCCCCAGCGGCGCUGACGAGCUCGGUGAUGCAGGCGAGCCACUCGUCGUAGAGGUCGUCGACGGGACGGCAGUGCAUGAGCUCCCGCGCCAGGAGCAGCACGGCGUGCGCGUCCGCAGGAGCGCGACGGGCGUGGGGCAAGGAACCGGCUGGAGUCAGCGACGGUGUGGCGGUGCGGCCUUCUCGCUGCACCGAAGGAUGCAGGCACGACGUCUGCUGCUCGUUCCCUGCCGAGCCGGUGGCGGCGUUGACGGCAGGCGACGGGGAACGUCGGGGGCAUCCACCAACGGGGGCCGUCUGGGUGACGUGAGUGGCGAGGGCGGCCCGGCGCUCAGCGCGGGCUCGACGAGCGUGUGACAUGGAUGCGGCGGGCGGCGAAACACAGGGCAGCGGAAACAAGGACUCUUGCCUGCGUUCGAGUAGGUAAAUGAUAAAACAGAUAAUUUUUUAUGUGGAAUGCUACCUUGCAUAAACUUGAUCAUAUAUCUAAUCAUGCCAUCAAUAUUAAGACAUAAGUGAUUCAAAGUAAUAGUCUAUAAUUUGACAUAAAACUUGAUUCAAAGCAAAAGUCCAUAUAUUAAAACUUGAUUUUUGGGUUAUUUGUUAACGCAUAGUUAACUUCUAAUUUGUGGUGAAGUUAUUUUAAUUAGUUGGUAUUUCAUGUCUCCCUAUUUCAUAUACAAGUAUGGAACAAUUAACAACAUGAUCAAAACCGAAAUGAUCCAGUUCUGGUCAUCUUGUGGAUGGUGAAAAGAACACCUGCCUACCAAUUCUCUAAUGGUAUAUGUGUUAGACAACUGUAGCAUGCCUAGAUAGUUCAUUAUUCAUAUUUUUAUUAGAAAUGACAUUCUUUUAAGUCCAAUUCAAAAGUUUUUUCCCCUUUUGAUACACUUCAUAAUUAUCUUUUUAAGCUUGCAUUUUUCUUUUCAUUAGUUUUAAUUAUUUUUAGCAACUAUAUAUCCAUUUUGUAACAAUGUACCACAACAACACAUGGGGCAUCAUCUUGUAUCACAUAUGUUUGGCAGUUGGCUAUGAUGCAAUAGGAAGGGCUUAAAACUGCAAGUUUUGUUAGGGUGGCUACUACGCGUUGGUCGCUUUGGUUAUGCAAGAAUGGUCUAGUUUUUGGCAGUAAAAAGAUUUAUAUCAUUUACAUAUUAUAUAUAGUUAUCCACUAGCUAUGUACCCAUGCUAUUCCAUAGAACGCGGGUUAUUCGGAUUUGGUUGCAAUGACAUGUCAGCAGUUGAAUCUGGUGAUGAAAGAGUGUUUCUCCUAUAGUAGCAUGGGUUGCGAGUAGUAUGGUGACGAUGGUUGAUACGUCCAUUUUGUAUCAUGCUUUUAUAUCAAUAUUUAUUGCAUAAUGGGCUAUUAUUACACAUUAUAUCUCAAUACUUAUGGCUAUUCUCUCCUAUUUACAAGGUUUACCAUGAAGAGGGGGGAUGCCGGCAGCUGGAAUUCUGGCUGGAAAAGGAGCAAACAUUGGAAACCUAUUCUGCACAGCUCAAAAAGUCCUGAAACUCCACGAAACAACUUUUUGGAAUUAAUAAGAAUUUCUAAGCAAAAGAAAUAGGCCAGGGGGCCCACACCCUGUCCAGGAGAUAGGGCCCCCCCCCUAUAGGGCGCGCCCCUUAUCUCCUGGGCCCCCUGGUGGGCCUCCGACGUCCAUCUUCUGCUAUAUCAUCACUUGUACCCUGGAAAAAAUUGUGGGCAAGCUUACGGGACGAAACUCCGCUGCCACGAGGCGGAACCUUGACGGAAUCAAUCUAGGGCUCUGGCAGAGCUGUUUUGCCGGGGACACUUCCCUUGGGGAGGGGGAAAUCAUCACCAACGAUCCUCUCAUCAGGAGGGGGUCAAUCUCCAUCAACAUCUUCACCAGCACCAUCUCCUCUCAAACCCUAGUUCAUCUCUUGUAUCCAAUCUUGUAUCAAAACCACAAAUUGGUACCUGUGGGUUGCUAGUAGCACUACAAAAAAAUACACUUCCGUGAUAAUACGUGUUUGUCACAGUAGGUCGCGUUUUUUGUCAUGCAUGUACAUCCAUGAAAAAUUUAUGACAGAAUCAAGAUAGUCAUACCUGUGUUGUCGUAGAAGUGUUCCAUGACAUUACCAAAAUUAUCAUCAUGGAAGUGUCCACUUCCAUGGCGAUAAAUCGCGUGUCACAGAAGUGCUUUCGUCAAGGGUGACCGACACGUGGCAUCCACCAUAAUGGAACAUCGUUAAGCUAUCGGGUCGGAUUUUGGAUUCGAUAACCCGUUAACAACCACGACCAAUGCCGAUUUUCCACGUGUAAAAUUCUCAUUGGCUGACGGAUCCACGUGUCAGCUCUACGUUGGCAUCGGUGUCACUCAUCCAACGGUCGAGAUGGACCUAUGAUAUGUUGACACGUGGACCGGCCCAAAAGUGGCCCAUAAAGUUUAAAUGGGCCGGCCCAACCGAAGGCCCAUAAGAUUUAGCGGACCAUAAUGGGCCGGCCCAGCUAAAGACCCACAAGAUUUAGCGGACCAUAAUGGGCUGGCCCAGCUAAAGGCCCUCAAGAUUUUGCGGACCACAAUGGGCCGGCCCAGCUAAAGGCCCACAAGAUUCUACAGACCAUAAUGGCUCGGCCCAGCUAAAGGCCCAACAUUCUCUGUCAAAUCGGCCCGUCAACGGCCUGGUCUAAACUUGUAAUUAAUGCGGCCCAUGGUCACUUCUGGCCCGUUAACAGUCCGCUAAGUAAUUGGGCCGAAUUACGGCCCGGUGUAUUUCCGGCCUAUUAAAGGUCCAGCUUCAUUUGGGCCCAUUUACAGGCCAUCAAAAAUUUCGGCCCAUAAAUGACCAUGAAGGAUUUGGUUCAUAUUCGGCCAUGUCUGUCAUUUGGCCUGUUAGAGGCCCACUAUAGAUUUGCGCCACUUUCGGUCUGUUGUCAUUUUCGGCCUGUUAACACCAGACGUAAACCAUGGGCCAUAUGUGGCCCAACGUCAUAUUGGGCCCAUUAACGGCCCAUAUAAAAAUGACGAUAAUCUAGCCCGACCGAAGUUCCGGCCUGUUAAAGGCCCGUGUAUUAGGUCGACGCAUUUACGGCCCGUCGGAAUUUUGGCCUGUCAAAUAUCCGCAUCAUAAAUGGGCCACCAUUUUGGCCUGCUAAGUCUAGUGGGUUAUUUGGCACAAUGAGGGCCCAAUCUCACUUUCGGUCUAUUAAAGGCCCAUGUUUUUUAUGGGCUCAAGAUAUUUACACCUGUAAACGGCUUAUUUUUACUGAGGGCCCAAAUUAUGUUUAGGCCUGUUAAAGGCCCACUAUGGGCACAGGCCUACCAGAAAAAUUUGAAAGCUUAUGCUAAUUUAAGCCUAGAUAUUUUUAGUGGGCUACAUGCCAAUUUUGGCCCGUAAUCGUUUUUAGCCCAACUGGAAUGGGCCCGACGAAUGUUGUCAUGUUGGGCUCCUAUGAAGCUUUCGGCCGAAUACAUUACUAAGAUAAACCUACACUAUACAAAAAUAGCGUCGUAAUUACUGCAGCCUGUGGCAGCAUCAUAAAUGUUGUAUCACAACAAAAUAAAUUCCAAUCAUACAACAAAAGGCCUGUUGGCAUAAAUUUACAGUCCUUCCAGAUAAAAGCACCAUCAGAUGUAUAGAAGCACAGAUCAUUUGACCUGAGUGCUAAUAUUUCAGGCUAUAGAAUCUGACGGAGCAGCACGAUCUCCACCUUUUUUCCGCCAUUGCUCUUCAACAAUGAAGCGAAUGUCUGAUAGUCUAGUUUCAAAACCAUUCAUAUCUUGACGACAUUUCUCAACCACUAUUCUUGUUUCUGAAACAACGUCCAUUAGGGAUUGGACUUGUGUCUGGAGCACAGAUAUAUCACUCUGUCUAGCAGGAAGAUUUUGUUCAGUAGGCGAUUUGGACGAGGUUACCUUGACAACCAACCCACAAUUACGCAAGGAAGGUGGUUUUUGCACUGUUAGUGGAGAGAUACUGACGCACUGCAGCAAGAGGUGACAUUGUGCCUGUAGUAGCCUCGUCACCUUCAGGUGGUUGUGGUUGUUCAAUCAUUUGUUCCAUAGCUUCCUGAAAGUUUGAACUUGUAGAUUAGUGUACCAGAUAAGUUACUAAUGAGAAAAAAACAAACAAAGUAGGUUAAACAUUUAUACAUAACUUAUUUUGGUGAACUAAUGUAAUACAUUAGCAUGUAUUGUAGUGCCAACUACAUAAUAAAAUCACUUUCGGAAUAUAUGUCCAUGUAGCUUGCCUACUAUAUUGUCUAUUUCCUCACAUUCGUUGACAUCUAAGGAUAAAGAGACAUGGUUUAAAGUAGGAUGAACAUAGUAUGACAUCAUUCAUAUCAUGGGCAAACAGAUAUAAAACAAACGGGCUAUUUUAUCAUUGUGUGCACACGUGAACAUAACAACUAGAUUACAGAUCAAGACCAAAAGAAUAUCCUUCAUCUCUUUUAAACCAUGUAAGGUGAAAUGAUACGUUAAGACAACUGUGUAUAAAAGUGAACAGAGUAACUGACAUUGGCUGCAAACCAAGUAGUUAAAUGAACACAUCACAGUACCAAUCAGUUCAAGGCGGGAGGAGUAAGGACUUACAACAGCGGCUUGAGCUGGUGUGCUCAUGCCCUUCAUCUUGCUGGUGUGGCAAUCCUUGAAUAUUUGCACUGCAUUCGGUUUAGGUUCUUUUUGGUCCACACAGGCUUUCCUCUGUAUUUGGAACAAGUCAAUAUAGAUACGAUAAUAUGGCACAAAAAAAGAAGGAAGUAUCAGCUAUUUACAAGAGCCUCGUAGUGUGCAAUAUAGCUACGAGAUCCUAUUGUCUGUUGGAAUUUCACUUUAGAACGGUUGGUUUUGUUCUUCAAACAGUUAGCCUAGAAGAAGAUACACUUGUAAGGCACAUACAUAAAUACAAGUUCAAUAUGUGGUCUAAUAAAAUACAUAUAGCCUACCUGAUACUUUGGAUCAGACCAGUGUUUAACGAGGGCUGUCCAGUCUUCAUCUGUAAUAUAUUCCACUGGAGAUGUUUGGGUGAUUUCAUUGUUAGCCUUGCCUUCAAAGUGAGAUUUUCUAAGGUGGUACCGAUACUGUCGCAGAGCAGACUGAAAAACAUGAGUGCAUGCUUGUUUAGUUGCAUCAUCUUUCAGAUCCAACUUGAACCUCAUCUGUUGAGAAAAGAAUGUGAGUCUUAUUAGGAGGAAGCUAGAAAGUAUGGGACAGGCAAGACAAUAUUACCAAUUGCGAUGAAUAACAUUACUUACGGAUAAAUGGUCAAGGAAGGUGUUAAACUGGGUACUAUCUUUCUCAUUCCUGUACUGGAUCCACGUUGGGAGGAUACACGCAUGACACCUAACGGCAACGGCUGCCUCUGAUACUAACUUGGCUGACUCUGUAGCAUCACGUGGCCUUUUUAAACCUGCCUCAAAAUGGAUCUCCAUUCUUCCUCCUUUAGAUUUUGUUAAUCUGUCAAGCAUUAUCCCUGAUGUCUAUUUCCGCUUGCGCUGUGGUGCUAGUUCAACAACGAAUAUGGAAAGUGUUAGUGUACAUCAAACUGUGAGAGUACAUAUAAAGGAGCAUGCAACUGCAACUUGACUCGGCCAGGUACCGUCUUGGUGUUGAUGCUCAUGAGGUUCAUCUGAUCUUGCCAAGUCCUGUUGUGUCAGCAGUGCUUCGAAAGUAGUGUUAGGUGUGAAGGCAGCUUGGGAACUGGCCAGUUCCGGAGCAAACGAACGAGUAACUGGUUGAGAUGCUGGUAUAGUUGAAGCGGAUGUUGCAGCUGGUGGAGCAGGUGAUACUGUGUUUGUAGAUUUAGCCGGUGGACUUGGACCUUCUACUGCACUAUAAGUACCAGCAGAAUCUCGACGGCAGAACCUUUUCUGUUUCACCCGACGAGUAACAGCACUCCCUACUAUAUUAUUUUCCUUGCUCUUUUUUGACUUUGCCAUGUCAAGCUGUACCCACAACACAAAAGAAUAAAAUCACUCUUCAGAACUCAUUGAUGCAUGAUACAGACAAGCAAUACUUUGAUGUAAGACAACCGUAUGAGGAUGGAAUAUGUAAGAAAAAUAGGACGGCAUGACAUAUUCACAGCUACGAUGUGCAAACUAAGCAGAAGGAUUUUCAAGAAAAUAGAGGUAAUGCAAGCUAGACACCAUAUGAAAGAUGCAACCAAUAUUACUCUGCCAAGUUAAAAGUGUCCUGUCAUAAGUGGCAAUUCGAAAAAUUAGAAGCAGUACAACAUAGAAAUCAAUGCAAGAUGCAACCACUAUCAAACUGCCAUGUUAAAAGCGUCCAAUCAUGAGUUACUGAUGCGGGAUACACAACAACAGUACUUUGAUGUAAGAACAUGGUAUGAUAGAUAGAUGCAGUGUAUUCUAGACACAGAAAGCCAUGUCAUAUGCACAUGUAUAACGUAUAAACUAAGUAGGUGCAAUUUAAUCAAAAUAGAAGAAAUACAGGCUAGACAACAUAUGCAACAUGAAACCAAUUAUCACAGUGUCAACUUAGAGCAAGCACCUGCGAUGGUGGAGUGCGGGAGAUGAACUCAUCAUGUAGACUUGGGACUUCAACUUCAUUAGCAGUAGUAGUGGCAAAUCUAGAGAGUCUCUGUUUGCAUCGGUGCGGAGUACCACCAACAUCCCCUAACUUACUCUUUUCCUUCCUAUUUUCUGAUAUUGCCUUAUGAAGUCAAAACCACAAGAAGAUGAAUAAAAUUAGCUCUGCAUAACUGGUUGAUGCAUGAUACAGACGAACACUACUUUGAUGUAAGGCAAGCGCAGGAUAGGAGGAUGGAAUAUAUACAAAAAAGACAGCAUUUCAUAUUCACACGUACGAUAGGAGGAUGGAAUAUGUAUGAAAAAAUAGUAAGCGGAAGGCAUUUCAACAAAAUUAGAAGAAAUGAAAGCUAGGCACCAUAUGAACAUGCAACCAAUAUCACUCUAUCAGGUAAAAAGUGUCUCGUCGUAAGUGCCAUUUCAAGAAAUUAGAAGCAGUACAAGCCAGAAGACAAUGCAAGAUGCAACCUACAUCAUAGUCCCAAGUUAAAUGUGUCUUAUGGGUAAGUGAUCGUUGCAGGUAUAAGAUGCAAUUCUACAUAAUCAGAAGCAAUACAAGCUAGACAUCAUACGGAAAACGCAACCACGUAUAACAGUUCCAAGUAAGAGCAAGCACCUGUGAUGGAGGAGUAGGGGAGAUGUGCUCAUCAUGUACACGUAUGUUCUAGAAACAGGAACACGUGUCAUAUUCACAGGCAUUAUGUGUAAAGUAAGAAGAUGCAAUUCAAGUUAGAAGCAAUACAAGCUAGACAUCAUAUGCAACAUGCAACCACAUAUAAUAGUGUCAAGUUAGAGCAAGCACCUGUGAUGGUGGAGUAGGGGAGAUGUGCUCAUCAUCUACACAGCUACGUUGACUGUCCAGCCUUGUGUUGUCUUGCAAAUCUUGUUGGGAGGAUGGCGGAGUAGAAUCUUUAGAGACCCCCUGUUUGAGUUGCUCUGAAGGACCACCAUCAUCCACUCCUGGACUAAUUUCCUUCAGCUGUAAUGAUUUUUGCAUUGUGAAGUCAAACCGAUAAGAAAAAGGAAUAAAAUUCGCUUUUCAGAACUCAUUCAUGCAUGAUACUGACAAACACUACUCGGAUGAAAGGCAAACACAUGAUGCGAGGAUGGAAUAUGUAUGAAAAACAGGAUGGUGUGACAUAUUCACACCUAUGAUGUGGUAACUAAGCAGAAGGCAUUUCAACAAAUUAGAAGCACUGCAAGCUAGACACCAUAUGAAAGAUGCAACCAAUAUCACUCUGCCAAGUUCAAACUGUAUGGCAUUUCAACAAAUUAGAAGCAGUAUAUGCUAGAAAUCAUAUGCAAGACACAACCAAUAUCACAGUUGCGACUUAAAGGUGCCUUAUCAUAAGUGACUGAUGCGGGAUAUGCAAGAAUAGUAGUCUGAUGUAGAAACAGGAACACAUGUCAUAUUCACAGGCAUUAUGUGUAAAGUAAGCAGAUGCAAUUCAACAAAGUUAGAAGCAAUACAAGCUAGACAUCAUACGCAACAUGCAACCACAUAUAAUAGUGCCAAGUUAGAGCAAGCACCUGUGAUGGUGGAGUAGGGGAGAUGUGCUCAUCAUCUACACAGCUAUGUUGACUGUCUAGCCUUGCGUUGUCUUGCGAAUCUUGUUGGGAGGAUGGCGGAGUAGAAUCUGUAGAGAACCUCUGUUUUAGUUGCUCGGAAGGACCACCAUCAUCCAAUGCCUUGCCAAUUUCCUUCAGCUUUAUUGAUUUUGCAUUGUGAGGUCAUACCGACAAGAAAAAGGAAUAUCAUUCGCUCUUCAGAACUCAUUCAUGCAUGAUACUGACGAACACUACUCUGAUGAAAGGCAAAGUCAUGAUACGGGGAUGGAAUAUGUACGAAAAAAUGGACGGCUUGACAUAUUCACACCUAUGAUGUGGUAACUAAGCAGAAGGCACUUCAAAAAAUUAGAAACACUGCAAGACACCACAUGGAAGGUGCAAUCAAUAUCACUCUGCCAAGUUAAAACUGUCUCGUCAUAGGUGGAGUUCACCAAACUAAAAGCAAUACAUGCUAGAAAUCAUAUUCAAGACGCAAACCAAUAUCACACUGCCAACUUAAAGGUGUCCCAUCAGAAGUGACUGAUGCAGGAUACACAAGAAGAGUAGUUUCAUGUAAGAACAUGGUGUGAUAGACAGAUAUAGUAUGUACCAAAAAUAGGAAAGCGUGUCAUAUUCACAUGUAUCAUGUGUAAGCUAAGCAGAUGCAGUUUACACUAAUUAGGAGCAAUACGAGCUAGACACCAUAUGCAACAUGCAACCAGAUAUCACACUGCCAAGUUAGAGCAAUCACCUUGGAUGGUGGAGUAGGGGAGCGGAGACUUGGACCAUGUAAUGCACUAUCAGUACAAGGAGAAUCAGUACAGAUGCUCCAUUUAUGUUGCUGCAGAGGACCACCAUCAUCGCCUUCCUUACUCUUUUCCUUCCUCUUUCUUGAUUUUGCCUUGUCAAGUCAAACCCACAAGAAAAAGGAAUAAAAUUUGCUCUUCAGAACUUAUUGAUGCAUGAUACUGACGAACACUACUUUCAUGUAAGGCAGCCGUAUGAUAGGAGGAUGGAAUAUGUAUGAAAAAUGGGAUGGCGUGACAUAUUGACAUGUAUGAUGUAUAAAGUGUAAACUAAGCACAAGGUGCUUGAACUUGUUAGAAUCGAUGCAAGCUAGAACCCAUAUGAAAGAUGAAACCAAUAUCACUCUACCAAAUUAAAAGGGUGCCCUAACAAAUGCAUUUGACCAAAUUAGAAGCAAUACAUGGCAACAGGCUAGAAAUAAUAUGCAAUAUGCAACGAAUAAAGGUGACUCAUCGUAAGUGAUUGAUGCAGGAUACAGAAGAGAGGUAGUUUCAUGUAAGAACAAGGUUAACACAUAGAUGUAGUGUGUACCAAAAAUAGGAAGGUGUGUCAUAUUCACAGGUAUAGUGUGUAAACUAAGCAGAUGAAAUUUACCCUAAUUAGAAGCAUUACAAGCUAGACACCGUAUGCAACAUGCAACCACAUAUCACACUAAGAAGUUGGAGCAAGCACCUGAGAUGGUGGUGUAGGGGAAGUGUUGUCUUCAGGUACAGAGCAACGUUCAGUAUCUUCAUUUAGGCUUGUUGUUUCUUGAGAAUCAUGUGGAGAGGAUGAAAUUGCAUUCUUUAUAAGAGUAUUUGCGUCUCAUAUUAACCCACGCAUGUGACUGACUCAUCAUAAGCGAUAGACGCAGGAUACACAAGAACAGUAGUUUGAUGUAAGAACAUGGUGUGAUAGGCAGAUGUAGUAUGUACCAAAAACAGGAAGGCGUGUCAUAUUCACAUGUAUAAUGUGUAAGCUAAGGAGAUGCAAUUUAACAAAUUAGGAGCAUUGAUGAGGGAUACACAAGAAAAGUAGUUUGAUGUAAGAACAUGGUUCAUAGAAAGACGUAGUAUGUACCAAAAACAGGAAGGCAUGUCAUAUUCACAGGUAUAAUGUGUUAACUAAGCAGAUGCAAUUUACCCUAGUUAGAAGCAUUACAAGGUAGACACCAUAUGCAACAUGCAACCACAUAUCACACUGCCAAGUAAGCAAGCACCUGCGAUGGUGGUGUGGGGGAAUUGCGAUGAUCAACUAGAGAGCUAUGUUGACUAUCUUCAUUUAGCCUUGCUGUUUCUUGAGAAUCAUGUGGGGAGGAUGACACUUCACUCUUUAAACGAGUAGGGCGUCUCACAGUAACCCACCCGGGUGACUGUCUCAUCAUAAGUGAUUGACAAGGGAUACAAAAGAGCAUUAGUUUGAUGUACGAACAUGGUUAAUAGACAUAUGUAGUAUGUAUCAAAAAUAGGAAGGCAUGUCAUUAUCAAAGGUAUACUGUGUAAAGUAAGCAGAUGCAAUUUAACCACAUUGGAAGAAAUACAAGCUAGACACCAUAUGCAACAUGCAACCACAUUUGACAACGUGAAGUUAAAGCAAGCACCUGGGAUGGUUGUGUGUGGCAAUUGGGAUCAUCAACUGCAGAGCUACGUUUACUGUCUCCAACUGCUGACACUGCACCCAUUAGAGCGCUGAAACGCUUAGUGCGUAUCUUCGAAUUACACUGGAGCGACUUUUGUCUUUUCUUUUCUGCAUUCAUCAACACUACGUUAGAGUCUGAAAUACCCAUGCAUAAAAAAACAAUAGUGUGAGUAUGGGUGAAGUGUGUGCACAAUUAGUACAGUGUAAAGGUAGCAGAUAGCAGGUCGGUGAGAAAUAAAUGACGGGAGACAUAUGAUAGCUCUACAACAUGCAUGGCACACUCAAUUACUACAGGAUUCUAUGAAAAUAACAGUCGACUGAAAGCAAAUAGGUCAGUCCAUUUUUUCUGCACCGUCCGAUGUACAAAGAAUGGGCAGAUCGCCUUCAUCUACCUCCAGCCAGUCAGUGUUCACGAUCUUCCUCAAAACGCCAGCAACCAUCGGCCCAGUAUUCUUCCCUUGCAUGCGCCCUCCCCUCGACCUCACCGCACCGCCGUGCUUGGCACCGCCCCCGGCCAUCCAUUCAAGCCCCGCCGACCUCCAGAUCGGGCGCAAGCAGCUCCUGCGCCCCACACCCCUAUGAUAGACACUGAUGCGCUGCUUCCCCGGGGAACAGAUGGACUAGGUGCUCCGCGCGCCUAAGCGGGCGCUGCUUCUUUUAAUUGCGGUUCAACUGACCCUGAAUUGAAAUCCAGGCGGGCUACUGACCUCUUGCAAAGGUGAAAUAGUAAAAGGGAGGAAACCUUGUGCAUUUAUUAUCACGAAGAAGAUGCAGUAAGAAGCGCUCAACUAGUUUCUUUCGUGGGAUGAAUACGGUGUGAGCGGAGACGUAAGAUUUGCACGAAUAAGGGAAGAGGAGUACCUCUUUCUGCUGGCAGUGCUGUGUCCUCCUUCUGUUUUUCCGAUGAUCUUGUUGUUUGCAGAAAACCAGAAGUUGUGGAGGACGGUGCAGCCUUGGACGAACCGAUGGCCAAGUUGUUGAGUGUGGUGCGGUGGCCGUCUGUCGGCGGCGGGGAAGCAGAUCCGAGGCAGUGAACAAUGACGUAGCGGGAACAGCUCCGGUGCGGUGGACGGUUGCGACAGAGGAGCCGCAGCAGUGAGGCACAGGACGGCGUGGUCGGAGUGGUUCUGGUACGGCGCACGUCGGCGUCGGCAUCGUGGAGGCAGCUCUGCCUCGGCUUCAGCUGCUAAGUCCUUGAGUGUGUUGUGGUUGCGGUUGCGUUGGAUGACGACAUCGGAGUAGCGGCUCCGGCGUGAUGGAGGAGGGCGGCGGUGGAUUGGCCGCUAUGAGGUGGAGGACGGAGGAGGCUGAGGUUUCACGGCUGGUGGAGAGGGCGUUUUCGCGCCCACGGAGUAUGAAUGGAGAAAAGGAGGGAGGCGGAAAACUAAGGGGGAACAAUGUUUCGGUUUGAGACGCGCUUGUUUGAAAUUUGGGGAAAGUUACAAACUUUGCCCCCAUCUAAAAUUUCAGACAUAUUGCGGGUUGGGGGUAGGGCAGUCAUGUCAGGUGUCCCAAAUGUGGGUGGGAUAGAUUUCGGCCGAGCGCAUGGGUGUUUAGGUGCCCACGGCGUAUGAAUGCUUCUCGAAGGCGGUUGAGACUGGCAUCUUGGUGAAUUUACAAACCUAUCCCAGUUUAGACCUUUGGACAUCGGGCCGAUAGGCUACACAGGCCAGAGUCAGGACAGUAAUUUCCUACCACCAAAACAUUAGUAUCGCGCGGUUUCGGGUGACCAGAGGCCUAUUUGGCGCUUCGUUCAUUAUUUGGGAGCAGAAGCAUUAACGUUUUCAGUUCUCUUGAAUUGAACUUUCAGGAUUUGUCAAACUUCACAAAUCUUUACUUUUGAAAAUCCUAAAGCUACGAUUAUUUGGGAAUGGAGGGGGUACAUUUUAAUAUACAUUGUACACGAGUAUAUAUUAAAAAAUAUGCAACUUACCUCAGUUCAUGCAUGGUUCCAGGUAUAAUCUCCUUGGUUGCAAAAAAAAGUUAGAUAUGCGUAUGAAUAUAUAUAGCAUGUUCAAACUCACAACAAAGGUUGAUGCCCCCUUUUACAUCUGAUUUACAAAUGCCAUUAUCUCGGGUUCAAAUAGAUGAAUGCACUUCCUAUGAAUUCGAAUCUUCGAAACCCCCCUUAUGUUGAAUUCUACAUGUAUUUUAUUUCGUAGCUAGCAAUUUGGAAUGUAUCCAUGCAAGUGAAAAAUGUAUAAAGUGCUUCACACUAACAACAUGGAGUGCACUAAUUAAUGUUUAUAUAUGAAUUGCAAAAGCAUCCAUUGCCUGUAUUUCAAACCGCUCUCACUAUAUGGAUCGAUAAUAUGAAAUAAACACAUGCACAUGCUAGAAUUCAAUAGAGUAUGGGUGUCUGAUAAACCGAUUUUUGUCCAUACGCAAAUUUGCAAAAUUCAUGAUCUCAUCCAAAUAUAAUAAUGAAAUUUAUAUUUUAAUUUAAUGCGUAGAACCGCCUUUUACACGUAGAUGCACUAUGCCUUGCCCCGUUCUCACAAACGUGUUAUAUCUCUCUCUAUCUAACGCAUAAGUGCACACACUUUAUAUGCAUCGGUAUUUCUCUUCCACACAUUCUCACAAUCUCUCUCAGGGUGUCGGGGUGUCUCACGCACAUGCUCUCUCUGUUUCUCUCUCUCUCUCUCUUUCUGACUACUAUGUACCACUCUUUUCACUAAUCUCAGUUGGAAAACACUAUUUCUCUCACAUGCAUAUAUACACAUUCACGGUCUCUACUAGCCGUCUAUACGUGUCUCCCGCACGCACAUUAUCUUUAGGCCUCUCUCGCACACAUUGCCCCCCCCCCCCGACACACCUCUCUAAUAGUAGUUGGCAGAUAUGAUUUCAUCAUAUCAUUCGGUAGGAUAUCCCUGGCUGUUAGGCUGGAUGGUAAUACGAGGCAAAGUUUUACCCUAGUUCAGAUUGGACCCUUGCAAUUGAAGAAAGAGCCUACUCCUGGUACUGUAUAUUAGUGAUAGGGUGUGUACAAAGUACACGUGAAUACCAGGCAUUGUGCGUGUGUGUAUACUAUCGACGAACUAGCCCCCAAGCUUGUAUAACAUACUAAGGGCCUAGGGUUACAAAUCAUAUAUAGUCGGCUUAUCACAAGUGGGGAUAGAGUCCUCCGCAACUCUGGUAGCUUCGUGUUGUACGCCGAGUCCUCCACAUGGGUCUCCGUAUAACAGGUCUCGGUCCAACCUAUAUGUGGCGUAGGAUGGAACCGACCCAUGAGUCUUCAUGUUGACCCACCACAACUAGAAAUGAUGUGCCCACCACACCACACACACAAUCGGCCACUAAGAAAAUAAGCAUAUACAAUAGUACAACGGUAUCUAGCUCACAAUACGUCUCCAUAUUUUGUUGAUGGCACUGACGGACUUUGCAUUUGAUGCAUGCUCCGUAUUUUGUUGGCGACACUUACGGUCAUUGUAUUUGAAGCGAAAGCACGAUAUGGUCACUGGACUUCAGAAUAAGCUCAUCACGGUCACCACAUACAUUUUGUUGUGCUAACCAACAUGUGGUUGGAUGGUUAGAGGAUAGUGGUUUCUCGAGCCCACCAAGGUUAAAGUCCCGGUGCUCGCAUUUAUCUUGUGUUAAUUUCAGUAUUUUCCGGCGACGUACGUUCAGUGGGAGGAGAUGUUCCACUCGACUAUGAGGCACCUAUGGUGACUUCAUAAAAUCUCAAGAUCAUAUAUGCUGGCCCACUCUCUCGAAGGUGCUCAUAGGGGUAGGGUUCGCGUGUGUGCGCUUAUAGCGGUGAGUGCUUGCGCGUAUAUAUGAGCCCUUGCGUCUGUACCGUGUUAAAAAAAUACAUGUCAUGAUUAUACUGUCACUGGCUCACCCGCACAACUCCAUAUUUUUUUGAUGACACAAUCAAUUGACUAGUCAAAUGGCACAACUAGUGUUGCACCAUCGAGGUGCGUAACCAUGAGACCCACCUGUCAGCCCGUAUAUGAAAGAAAGAAAUGGUAGUUUGAGUCUGUACUGUGUUAAUAAAAUAGGAGUACAUUUUAGGGUGAUCAUAUGGUCACUGGCUCACCAUACAGCUCCGUAAUUUGUUGAUAACAUGAUGAAUUGACCAGUCAAACGGUCCACAUUCAGCAGCGCACAUUACCAUAGGGCCCACCCGUCAGCGCGUAUAAGAAGGACAGAAAUGGUAAUAAACUAGUGGUCGGUGGGUAUUCGAAGUCGUGAGACCUCUAGUUGGCAGUCACUGGCGGUUGGGGGGCGUUCAUUGGGCGGUGGGGUGCGGAUCCCCGGAGAAAAAGCUCGGCGCGGGGGGGAGGGGGCUAGAGGGAUGGCUGGUGCGGUAGUGGACCGGCGGUGGGGAGUGGUUUCGUGGAGGGCGGGCCGGCCAUGGGCGGCGGGGGCGGGCAGUUCGGCCAGUGGUGGCUGGCGGCUCAGGGGGGUGGAGUUUGAUGAUAAACUAGAGGCCCUUGAUUUCGUAUCCAACGGCUGGAAAAUCUAAUGACUAGAGAUGAAAAAGCCAGUCGACUGACAUGUAGCCUCCCCCGCACGUACACAUGCACGCACGCAAGACAAGCACGCAUGUAGGCGUGCAACAAUGACACGUACACAUAAUGUACACAUGCACGCAUGCUGGCGUGCAACACUGACACGUACACAUGCACUCACGAACACACGCAUGUACGCACCCAUGCAUGCAACACUGAAACGCACCCUUGCACGCACGCAACACUCGCACGCCUGCAUGCACACAGCACAUGAUGCAAGACACACGCUCAACCUAUACGUGCAUGCACCCUUUGUUAAGGACAUGGAUUGUUACGGGUUUCAAUCAAUCUUAUCUGUGAUAAGCAGAACAUUGAUGUUUGCAUCGGUCUUUAUGAAUCACAACGUAUCAAACGGGCUAUCAACAUAGUAGGCUUAAAUACAUGAAAAAUAUGACGUUACACUCAAUGAACAAUCAUCGGUUUAUGAAAUGCCCACUUCUGACCGCCCUGGCCCACCAAAGGUUCCUCUGAUGUGCGCUGCCUGUGUUGGGUCACUGACAUGCAAGCCAUACACCCAAAGAGCCCACACGUCAGUGGAAGAACGGAGCGGUGUCCUAGGUCAGAGUCGAGGGUGCCACUCGCGGCACGCCCGGCUGAACAUGCCUCCGUGCCGCAUUCAAACGCCUCCAUGAAACCCGCCCAUGUGGAAGCCGAGAAACCCACUCUGGACACACGUCCGAUCAUGACCGGGUCGGCGUUAAACGCAACGCCGGCCGAGCUCCUCCCAUCUGUCGUCUAUUUAAUCUCCUAUUUAAGCGAGGCCAAACGUCAGCCAAGAAUCACACACCUCCGCCGCUCCCCUAUCUCCUCCACCAUUUUGUCCACUCUUACAAUGGCUUACGAAGAGUAGUUAUUCCGCAUCCAAGCUGGCUGGGUAGCCCGCCGGAUACGAGCUAUGCAGCUCGCUGAUCCACCUCCCUCCCCUCGCCUGACGGAGCCAGUUGCCGCUGAGGGAGUCCUAGAUUAGGGGGUAUCCGGACAGCCGGACUAUGUACAUCGUCCGGACUAUCGAAGCGUGAAGAUACAAGACUCAAGACUUCGGCCCGUGUCCGGAUGGGACUCUCCUUUGCGUGGAAGACAAGCUUGGCGAUCCGGAUAUUGUGUUUCCUUCCUUGUAACCGACUCCAUGUAAACCCUAGCCCCCUCCAGUGUCUAUAUAAACCGGAGAGGAUGGUCCUUAGAAGGCCGAUCACAAUUACAAUCAUACCAUCAUAGGCUAGCUCUUAGGGUUUAGCCUCUACGAUCUCGUGGUAGAUCUACUAUUGUACUACUCAUAUCUUCAAUAUUAAUCAAGCAGGAAGUAGGGUUUUACCUCCAUCGAGAGGGCCCGAACCUGGGUAAACAUUUUGUCCCUUGCUUCCUUUUACCAUCAGCCUAAGACGCACAGAUCGGGACCCCCUACCCGAGAUCCGCCGGUUUUGACACCAACAUUGGUGCUUUCAUUGAGAGUUCCUCUAUGUCGUCGCUUCAAGGCUUGAUGGCGUCUUCAAUCAUCAACGACACGGUCCAGGGUGAGACUUUUCUCCUCGGAUAGAUAUUUGUGCUCGGCAGCUUCGCACUGCGGGCCAAUUCGCUUGGCCAUCUGGAGCAGAUCGACAGCUACGCCCCGGGCCACCAGAUCAGGUUUGGAAACUUGAAAUACACGGAGGAUAUUCGCGGAGACUUGAUCUUCGACGGAUUCGGCCCUGUGACGGGAGCGCCGGACAGUCACGACGGGCAUGGCCUAGACCUGUUCUCGGACAAUGCUUGGAACAUCGUCCCUGCAAUAGCCCCGGAUCUAAAUCCGGAACGGGUUGUGUUGCCCAAGGAUGGAGGCCUAGACCCCGCCCCGCGGGCCGCAUACUCAUCGGCGUUGGAGCCGAAUACAGGACUCACCUCUGUGGAGUCCUGCAACCCCGGACCCCCGGACUCAUAUCCGGUCGUUGGUUCCGGUCCGCACACCCUCAAGCCAGCCGAGCCAGGUUGGGCUCCGGCCAUGGAGUUCACCGCUGUGGAAAUCUUUCAACACCCGCCCUUUGGCAACAUGCUGAAUUCAUUAAAGUCUCUCUCUCUGUGUCAGAAGACUCUGGGCCGAACUAUGUCCGGCUUGAGUGGGAAGCAGGCGACGAAGGAAUUCGCUGCCCACCCACCACCCACUUGAUUGCCAUGAUCGAUGAUGUAACCGACGUGAUGGACUUCGAGUUCGAAGACAUCGACGGCAUGGACGACGAUGCCGGAGACGUACAGGAGCCACCGCUCACAGGACGGUGGACAGCCACCUCUUCAUAUGAUAUAUACAUGGUGGACACUCCGAAAGAAAUCAAUGGCGAUGAGGCAACGGAGGAUAACCCCUCCAAGAAGAAAGCAAAGCAUGGGCGUCGCCCGUGCCGCUCCAAGCCCCCCAAGAUAAUACCGGCACCAGAGACGAAAACAAUCCGGACGGUGCCGGCGAUGAAUACAACCCCGAACAGCCCGCCUUUGAGCAGGCCAAACAGGAAGACGGGCAUGACAGCCCAGAUGAACAGGCGACUGACGGGUAUCCGGAGGAGGACAACUACAUGCCCCCCUCCGAAGACGAGAUUAGCCUCAGCGACGACGAGUUCGGCGUGCCUGAGGACCCUGCGGAGCAGGAGUGCUUCAAGCGCCGGCUUAUUGCCACUGCGAGAAGCCUGAAGAAGAAGCAGUAGCAGCUCCAAGCUGAUCAAGACCUGCUCACAGAUAGAUGAACAGAAGUCCUGGCAGCCGAGGAAUAUGGACUCGAGCGCCACACGGCUGACCGGCCGCCUCGAGGUCGGGAUAAAAUGGCAUAUCAGCCCGAAUACCAGCCCACACCCCCGUGCCAGUUUACUACGGCCCGGGGCAAUACUCAGGACCUGUGCGAUAAACUGGAUAACGCUGCAGGACAACCAAGAUCGAUCUACGGAUUACAGGGGCGUGCCGCAACACAUGACGAUGGCCGUCAUACCGGAUACACUAGCAAAUCCGGCCGGGCCGAAUAUAUCGCAGCCGGACUGCGCCGCGACAUAGCCGGGCACAGAGGCGCCGCACACCCCCUCUGCUUCACCAAUGAAGUAAUGGAUCAUGAAUUCCCAGAAGGGUUCAAACCAGUAAACAUCGAAUCAUACGAUGGCACAACAGACCCCGCAGUAUGGAUUGAAGAUUUCCUUCUCCACAUUCACAUGGCCCGUGGAGAUGAUCUACAUGCCAUCAAGUAUCUUCCCCUUAAGCUCAAAGGACCCGCUAGGCAUUGGCUAAACAGCCUGCCCGCAAAUUCCAUUGGCAGUUGGGAAAACCUGGAAGAUGCAUUUCUUGACAACUUCCAAGGAACUUAUGUGCAACCUCCGGAUGCCGAUGACUUGAGCCACAUUACUCAAUAGCCCGGAGAAUCAACCAGGAAAUUCUGGACUCGGUUCCUAACUAAAAAGAACCAAAUAGUCGACUGUCCGGACGCCGAAGCCCUAGCGGCCUUCAAGCAUAAUAUCCGCGACGAGUGGCUUGCCCGACACCUCGGCCAGGAGAAACCCAAGUCUAUGGCAGCUCUCACUACACUAAUGACCCGCUUUUGUGCGGGCGAGGAUAGUUGGUUGGCACACAGCAGCACUACGCCACAUUCUAGGACGGCAGAUGUCCGUGACAAUAACGGCAAGCUACGGCGCAACAAACACAAGCGACGGAACAACGGCGACAGCACCGAAGAUACGGCGGUCAAUGCCGGAUUCAACGAUCCAAAUCCAGUCAGCGGAAGAAGCCAUUCAAGAGAAAUAAUCAGGGACCAUCCAGUCUAGACUGUAUACUGGAGCGCUCGUGCCAAAUUCAUGGCACCCCAGACAAGCCAGCCAACCACACUAAUAGAGACUGCUUGGUAUUUAAACAGGCCGGCAAGAUAAACGCCGAAAAUAAGGACAAGGGGUUGCAAAGCGACGAUGACGAGAAACCCCGGCGUCCGAACAUAGGGGGACAGAAGAAAUCCCCCCCCCCCCAGGUGAAAGCGGUCAACAUGAUCUACGCCACCCACAUCCCCAAGCGGGAAUGGAAACGAGCACUACGGGACGUCUAUGCGAUGGAGCCAGUCGUCCCCAAAUUCAACCCAUGGUUAGCUUGUCCGAUCACCUUUGAUCGUUGGGAUCAUCCUACUAGCAUUUGUCAUGGCGGCUCGGCCGCAUUGGUCUUAGACCCAAUCAUCGACGGAUUCCACCUCACGCGAGUCCUUAUGGACGGCGGCAGCAGCCUGAACCUGCUUUACCAGGACACAGUGCGCAAAAUGGGCAUCGAUCCUUCAAGGAUUAAGCCCACAAAAACCACCUUUAAAGGUGUAAUUCCUGGAGUAGAGGCCCGUUGUACAGGCUCUAUAACAUUGGAAGUGGUCUUCGGAUCUCUGGAUAACUUCCGAAGCAAAGAACUAAUCUUCGAUAUUGUCCCUUUCCGCAGUGGUUAUCACGCACUGCUCGGACGAACCGCAUUCGCUAGAUUAAAUGCGGUACCACACUAUGCAUACCUCAAGCUCAAGAUGCCAGGCCCGCACGGGGUCAUAACAGUCAACGGAAAUAUGGACCCUCUCUCCGUACAGAAGAGCACACUGCAGCCCUUGCGGCAGAAGUACAAUGCAGCCUCCUCCGGCAAACCACCAAUCCGGCGACGACAACCUCAAGCUCCGUCAAUCGAGGGCGGAACACCCCGUAACAGGAUCAGCAGGCACGCCAAGAGCAUCACUAGCAGUCCGGCCUCCGCUCAAAUCCCAUCAAAGCAGCAUUCGUGCCACGUGUACACAAUUACGCACUCAAAAUACCAUGGGCACAGGCGGAGACAUAGCAGUGGCUCAGUCAGCAGUACGGUAUUGCUUCGUAACCUUUCCAUUUACCUUUAAGAACAUUGUUUUAGUGCAGCUUCUCCAGAAGAGCCGGAUUGUCAGACCUACAUAGGAGAAAGAACCAAGGAGGCAACAGGCUUUGUGCACAGAAGGAAAUAACCAGGUGGAAUCUAUUUGCGAUCGUUAUACCUGCUUUAUCUAUCUGUACGUAGCCUGCCUCUGGAUAUGAUAUGUCAAAUUAUCCUCUUUAUGUCCGCUUAAUGCAUUCAUUGUAAACAUACGCCUAAAUGUAUUAUUCAUCAAUGGGAGAUCAUAUACAGCGUCAGCUUAUUAUUUUUCUUCGAGCAUUUUUUACAAAUGUCUAUUUAAUAUUGCAUCCGUACACUUUGGUACGUGGAGUUUGCGAGGGGCUCCUUACGGUGCCCCAUAAUACGGCACGACAAGUCCGAACACUUUCAACAGUGCGACACCCCAAACUUAUAGCAUUAUAUGCAUCAGCUACGAAUCAUGUCUUGGGUCUACAGUUGGGAUAGCCCGGCUCCUUGUUUUGGUGCCUUACGUUCCGUUAUAUCGGCUAAGGUAGCGCAGGGAGAACUACUGCGAUUGUGCCCUGGUUCUGCCGGACGAGCACCUCAGUAGAGAAAGCUGAAAACUGACCGGCAUGAUGUGGCGAGAGCUGGUCGCUGUUCGAGAGGUCUUAAAAUCCUUAAAGAUUUUUUCCGCCUUAGGCGAUAAAUAGGAUUUGUCCGAUAUAGGCGUGUGUAGCGCCCCAAUUCGGCCUUCCGGAUUCUAGGGGCUUCGCCGAAAUUUAAAAUUGUAGACUUCUAUGGCUAAGUGAAGGUUAUAAAGCCGCAUAGUCCAAUUGCCUUGUUCGCUGCGCUGGACACCUCCUUAAGGGACCAAAUAUUUGGAUAAAGAGUGUCCGGGUUAUCCACGAACACCCCAGUACUAGUAACAUGGGGGCGGAAGCCGACGACUGGCCUACUUUCAGAAUUUGAUAAACAGCCGCAGAGAAGGUAAUAUUUUAAAUAACAGAAGCGCUACUUAGCGCAAGUAACUUCGUCUUUAAAUUACAAACAUGACAGAAGUGAAUUCAUUCAAAAAUUAUGUCCUUGGUACAUUCUUCGACCACGAGACGAGCACCCUUCAAAAUGCCAUCAUAAUACUUCUCGGGAACGCGAUGCAGCUUGCCCUCUGGUGGCCCGUCCUUCACCAGCUUCUCCGCAUCCAGCUUGCCCCAAUGCACCUUCGCACGGGCAAGGGCCCGGCGGGCACCCUCAAUGCAAGCGGAUCGCUUGAUGACUUCCAGGCGCGGACAGGCAUUCACGAUCCGCUUGAUCAGGCCGAAGUAGUUGGUGGGAAGGGGCUCACAAGGCCACAUCCGGACUAUGAAAUCCUUCAUAGCCACUUCGGCCGCCCUGUGGAGUUCGACCAACUGCUUCAGUUAGUCACUCAAAGACGUUGGAUGUCCGGCCCUAGCAUACUGGGACCAGAACAGCUUCUCCAUUGAGCUCCCCUCCUGAGCACAGUAGAACUCCGCAGCGUCUGAUACACUGCGUGGCAGAUCUGCGAAUGCCCCUGGAGAGCUCCGGACUGGUGUAAGUAAAAGAAACGCCUCCUCCACAUGUUUGCUUUUCAUAAAGAAUUUCUUACCCGCCGCUAUCUUUUUGGCCUCCUGGAUUUCCUGUUGUGCCCUCUCGGCUUCGGCCUUGGCGUCUUUUAUACUUGUAAGGGCCUUCGCAAGCUCGGCCUCUUUUGCUUUAAGCUCAUGCUCCACGGACUCGAACUUUUUGCCGAGCUCCUGGAGCUCUUUUUGUACUUCGCCCACUCGGGCUUCGUGCUUUUUGCGCUCCUCGCGUUCCAAGGCCAACUUGUGUUUGGCCUCGGACAUCGCUUUCUUAAGAGACGCCGCUUCGGUGGUGGCCUCUGUAACCAAAUCACGAUGCCUCGUCGUUAGAAUAAUCAAUUUUAUUUGUACUUUACUAUAUGAGAGAGGGGAAUCAUUCACCUUUAUUCUCCUCGAGCUGCCUCCUCGCGAGGCCGAGCUCUCCCUGUGCCUGCUCCAAGUCCUGCUUCAGGCCGAUCAUUUUGGCCGUACAGACAGCAGCGGACAGCAGCACAACCUGUUUAUUCACAUUCAAACUUACUGUUAGACUCCUACGGAUUAUAAUUGACCCUACGUUUGGUUUUUCCUUCCGAACACUAAACAGAGUAUCAGGGUCUACUACCUAUCGGGUGGUAAUUUCACACAUUUUUAUUUAACUCAAAGCCUGACAGGAGGCUGGUACAGGCUUCGGUCAGUCCGCUCUUGGCGGACGAAACCUUCUGAAUCACCGCACUCAUAAGAGUACGGCGCUCUUCAUCUAGGGAAGCGUCACGAAGCGUUUCCAGCAGACAAUCCGGUGCCUCGGGCACAACAGAAGUCCUCGAUACAGACGGCCCUCCCUCCCUAACGAGGGGCUGCCCGUCUGAGUCCGGAACCACUGAAGGCUCCGGAACAGUGUUUGGCUGAGAGCCCGGCUUACGGUGGCUCUUAUCAACACGAUCCGCGGGGAUCUUGAACCCCGCGAGUCCGACGUAUGGAACGCCGCCUUGAGGCGCCUCCAGGGCCACCUCCUCCAUCUCUGGGAACAUUUGGGACAACACCUCUGUGUCAUCCGCGGGCCGAGGAGAAGUGGCCGUCGGGAGUGAGUUCAUUGCUGACUCACUCAAGGACCCGUCCGAAGACGAUACCUCGGGUUGGGCCCUGGCCGGACUGCAUGUAAGUUCGGCAUUAUAACAAAAUUAUGAAGCAAAAUUAUGAUGGAGUGCGGAUACUUCCGAUCACACCGAAGGCUUCUUCCUGGGCAGCCACCCUUCCUUGCUAUCAGCGGCGGUGGCGGAGUAGUCCGGAAGGGACACUUUUCCCUUCUUGGACGUCCCAGUCUCCCCCACCAGGGCGGCCUUCCUCUUUCUCUCCCCCCUGUACGGGGAGGAGGAGUUUCUUCUUGUUUUCCCCUGCUUCCAUGGGAGGAAUCUGCCUCGUCGUCAUCGACGACAAAGCUAUGACGGCCUUGCGCCGGGGGCCUCUCCUGGUCCGCCCUCUCAGGCCCCUCGUCCUCUCCGGAUGGGGUGGCCUCCUCUUCUUCUUCCUCUUCCCCUUUGGGGGAGGAGUGCGCCUUGUCGUCUUCGGACGAGGCUUGCGCAACCUUACGCUGGAGACCCAUUCGGGUCCCCAGGGCCUUCUUAUCGGCCUUCUUCUCCGGCCCCUUAUAGGGCACCGGGACCAGCAUCUUCGUCAGAAGAUCAUUAGCUGGGCUUUCUGGCAGCGGAGCCGGACAGUCAAUCCGCUCUGCUGUCUCCACAUAAUCCUGCACAAAUAUACACAAUUACUUAAGGAUCCCCCAUGAAUGUAGUGGCGGCCUGAGAACUCACCUGAAUAGGACGCCGUGCGGUGUGGAGCCCACAGCCCUCAGAUAUGGGAGGAGGUACUUCAGAGGCCUUGAACAACGCCUUCCACGCGUUUUUGUGCUUCAUGUCGUAGAGCCUCUAAAGCGUCUGAUGUUCGACCGGGACGAACUCCCACAGAUUGAAUGCCCGCCUUUGGCACGGUAGUAUCCGGCGAACGAGCAUGACCUGGAUCACGUUGACAAGCUUGAUGUUCUUGUCCUUCAUGCCCUUGAUGCAGGUGGUGAGUCCGGUCAGCUCUGAAGAUUCGCCCCAUAGCAGGCCCUUCUAUUCCCAGGAGGUGAGCCGCAUAGGGUUUCUAGAUUGGAACUCGGGGGCCGCCACCCAGUUGGUGUCGCGCGACUCGGUGAUGUAGAACCACCCCGAUUGCCACCCCUUCACGGUUUCCGCAAAGGAGCCGUCGAGCUAGGUGACGUUAGGCAUUUUUCCCACCAUGGCUCCUCUGCACUCCACUUGCUGGCCGCUUACGAUCUUCGGCUUCACGCAGAAGGUUUGCAGCCACAAGCCGAAAUGAGGCUUGAUGCGGAGGAAAGCCUCGCAUACGACGAUGAACGCCGAGAUGUUGAGGACGAAGUUCGGGGAUAGAUCAUGGAAAUCUAGCCCGUAGUAGAACAUGAGCCCGCGGACGAAGGGGUGGAGUGGAAACCCCAGUCCACGGACGAAGUGGGCAAGAAACACGACCCUCUCGUGGGGUCCUGGAGUUGGAAUGACCUGCCUGCCUUCUGGUAGCCAGUGCGCUAUGUCUGCGGCCAAGUAUCCGGCCGCCCGAAGACUUGCGAUGUUCUCCUCCUUCACGGUGGAAGCCACCCAUUUGCCUCCUGCUCCGGACAUCUUUAGCUGCGCGGAGAAGACUUGGACUAGGGCGCUGGAGCUCAGGGAGGCAAGAGUGGGCAGAGGAGGAAGAAGGCGUGGGUAAGAAUGGGGAACUCUUAUCCCUUUAUAGAGGCGACGAAAGCGGUGCGUCUCCCCACUAACCUGUUGAGAAUUGCUUACUUCCCAAGCGCCACGAUUGAUGGCACGGGGGGAUUACCCAUACCCGUAUUGAUGAGAAUCCUGUGAUAAGGGGACAUGAUCUCUGCUUUGACAAGAUGUGUCAAGGAAACCGCCUCGCAAUACGCGAUGUGGCUGGUUGUGGAAAAAUAGUUCUAAUAAUGACCUAGCUAUAAUGGCAUAUCAUGUCGUCUAAAAAGUUGUUAGCUGAAGUAUCAUUCUCUCUACGGUGGUAUGUGAAGAUCAUUUUGCAGAUCCGGACAUGGUUUAUGUGUUCGAUAAUAACCUUGGAGUAUUCGGAGUAGGAACCCGCCUUGCAAUGCCGAAGACAAGACUGCGCGACGGACUCAUCAUCAUUGAAGCCUGGUUCAGGGGCUAUUGAGGGAGUCCUGGAUUAGGGGGUAUCUGGACAGCCGGACUAUGUACAUCGUCCGGACUAUAGAAGCGUGAAGAUACAAGACUCAAGACUUCGGCCCGUGUCUGGAUGGGACUCUCCUUUGCAUGGAAGACAAGCUUGGCGAUCCGGAUAUUGUGUUUCCUUCCUUGUAACCGACUCCAUGUAAACCCUAGCCCCCUCCAGUGUCUAUAUAAACCAGAGAGGAUGGUCCUUAGAAGGCCAAUCACAAUUACAAUCAUACCAUCAUAGGCUAGCUCUUAGGGUUUAGCCUCUACGAUCUCAUGGUAGAUUUACUCUUGUACUACUCAUAUCUUCAAUAUUAAUCAAGCAGGAAGUAGGGUUUUACCUCCAUCGAGAGGGCCCAAACCUCGGUAAACAUUGUGUCCCUUGCUUCCUGUUACCAUCAGUCUAAGACGCACAGAUCGGGACCCCCUACCCGAGAUCCGCCAGUUUUGACACUGACAGCCGCCCCAAGCCGGCGCGCGGUUCAGCAACUCGCCGCUCCAGGCCAUCUCGACGAGGAGUGGCCCACGGGCAUCGUUGUUACCGUCCAUGCCGCCGCCUCGUACCGUGUCUCCCAUUUCUGUGGCCGAGACUCCCUGCCGGCGGCCGCACCAUGCAAGCAGCGACAGAAGCCGGGUGCGCGGAGAGCGACGAGUCGGUGGCCAGCGCCUCCGCGUCCAUCGCCAUCAUCGAGGAGAAGUAGAACACGGGAGGCCGUCGCCGCUUGGGUCUCAUGAAGGCCACCGCGGAGGCGACGCCGGCGUACACAGCAGGUGUCUUGCCGGAUCCUUUUGUUGUGAGGACCUUCGUCGACCCCGCAUGGGCUCCAUGGAAGAGGGGAAUGUUAGGAUGAAAUCGAGCCGGUGCCGGCCAUGGCGAAGUAGUGGCCGGUGAUAAACUCAAACCGGUGCCGGCCACCAUCAUCUUCGGCACCAGCCAAUGAUAUCAGUUGGGUAGUGGGGAAGCGAGUCAUCCUUUGCGCUGAAGCAUAUACCUCCGGGGCUCCCGGCAGUCCGGUGCUCGUGCUGCCGGACAUGACGAACACAAAUCGAUCGGCGGGCGACCAUUUAGGCCAGGUAUUAUAUACCUGUGCUGUCCAAAACUAGCACCGCGUAGUUCAUUUGAAUGUAAUGAAAUCCGUCAUGUUUGUGUGAAAAUCCAUGAUUUCCGUCGUUGUUUAUAUGAAAUAUCAGUUUGUCUAUGUGUUUGCAUGAAUUUCGUCCGGUUGGUUCAGUUGCUGUCAUAAUGUGUGCAGCUACGGUUGGAUGGCGUAAUUUGUGGGUCGCCGGUCGGUCUGCGGGCGGGACAAAAAAACACAGCUCAUGCGAGCUCGUCUCCAACGUGCACGCUAGAGGAUGCAUGACAGCAUGAUCACCCGAGCCAUUCCUUGUUUAUCGGUGGCAAAGGCACCGGUGGACAAAAGGGUCGCCAAUAUUUUGGCUACCCCGGGCAAGAUCCAAACAGCCCCUCCCAACAGAUUCAAAUCCCUCGUUCGCCGUGGAAUUUUGCCAUGUGUUGUUUUCAUGGACUAGCAAGAUGCCCGUGCAUUGCACGGAACAUCAAGAUGCAUUUUUUUACAAACUCCCGCAUGCAUGCAAGGGAUAAUUAAUGUCCCCUUUGCUAGUACCACGAGGCAAACACCAUUAAUAUUGCAUCGAUUAGUGUUAGUGGCCUUGUAUAUCUGCAAAUUGUAAUUUUGAUAGCGGCCCCCUGUAUAUAAAAAUGGAGGGAGAAAUAUGAGAGAUAAGGUGAGGAGGAGUGGGGCGUGGUGUCGUGGUGGUGACUGGUGGUCGGAUUGGGCGGAGGCAUGGGGAUGGACGGUGCAUUAUGUCUAGGUUUGUAUCUCUCUCACACACACCCACGUAGGUGGGGGACGUGCACGAAGAGAAGAGGUGCACGCACGGCGCACGUACUCCCGUCUCUUUCCCAACCACACCCGCGUGGGUACACGGUGGAGCUCAUAUCUGUACGAAAAAGGCAGCCCACGUGGUAAUUUGGCACGUGUAUUGGUUGUCCACUUGGUGGAGGGAGGAUCGUCUACCAUGGGUGGACAAACAAAUUGUGACUUGACGCGUUAUGUUAAAUUAAAAAAAGAGGCAAACCAUGUGGGGCCUACUGUCGGUGUCAAAACGGGUGGAUCUCGGGUAGGGGGUCCCGAAUUGUGUGUCUAGGCGGAUGGUAACAUGAGACAAGGGACACGACGUUUUUAUCCAGGUUCGGGCCCUCUCGAUGGAGGUAAAACCCUACUCCUGCUUGAUUAAUAUUGAUGGUAUGGGUAGUACAAGAGUAGAUCUACCACGAGAUCGGAGUGGCUAAACCCUAGAAGCUAGCCUAUGGUAUGAUUGUUGUUCGUCCUACGGACUAAAACUCUCCGGUUUAUAUAGACACCGGAGAGGGCUAGGGUUACACAGAGUCGGUUACAAUGGGAGGAGAUCUUCAUAUCGUAUCGCCAAGCUUGCCUUCCACGCCAAGGAAAGUCCCAUUCGGACACGGGACGGAGUCUUCAAUCUUGUAUCUUCAUAGUCCGGGAGUCCGGCCAAAGGUCUUAGUCCGGCCAUCCGGACACCCCCUAAUCCAGGACUCCCUCAGUAGCCCCUGAACCAGGCUUCAAUGACGACGAGUCCGGCGUGCAAGUUGUCUUCGGCACUGCAAGGCGGGUUCCUCCUCCGAAUAUUUCAUAGAAGAUGUUGAACACCAGGGUAGUGUCCGGCUCUGCAAAAUAAGUUCCACAUUCCACCGUAGAGAGAAUAGUAUUUGCGUCAAUUGGAUCUGCUGACGUAUUCCGCGACGUGACAUCAUGCCACGGCCAGGCUUUUAUUCAUCUUACCGUUCCACCUCAGCGCGUUUAGUGAGGCGGUUUUCUUGGCACGUCUUGUCAAAGCAGAGAUCGUGUCCCCUUAUUCCGGGAUUCUCAUCAAUACGAGCGUGGGUAACCCAACCGUGACUUAGGUAUGACUCCCUAAUUGAAAGCGAGUCUCAAACGGUUAUGGGAAGGGCUCUUGGUAUUCAUCUCCUUUAUAAAGGAACCAAGGCCCAGCUCCCUUGUUCUUAAACCAAUCAAAUCCGCCCCUCGCUUCGAGUUCCAACACCCAAAGCUCUAGUUUUAGGCGCUUCGGACCAUCAAAGAUGUCCGGCUCCGACCCUCAAGGCUGGUGGAUGCCUUCCUCUAUUACGGAAGAAGAUGUGCGAAAGCUAAGAGAUGCCAAGUAUCUAACCGGCAAAAUCUCGCAUAGACUGCCUACUCAAGGGCAAGCUGUUCCCGCUCCCCAGCCCGGUGAAAGCGUGGUGUUCGCAUCUCACUUCCUUCGAGGACUAGGCUUCCCGAUCGAUCCCUUUGUGAGGGGGCUUAUGUUUUACUAUGGGCUGGAGUAUCACGACCUAGCUCCGGAGUCCAUCCUCCAGAUCUCAUCAUUCAUUGUCGUGUGUGAGGCCUUCCUCCAUAUCACCCCUCACUUCGGAUUGUGGCUAAAAACUUUCAAAGUGGAACCAAUAAUGAUCGAGGGGCAGCACGCUGAGUGCGGAGGGGCUAUAAUAAGCAAGAUGGACGACGCUCCAUGGCCCGAAGGCUCUUUUCAAGAGGAGUUCGGCUUAUCGCAACGGGACUGGUUUUACAUCACAGCCCGUAGGGGCACCACAUGGGUGGCACCACCUACUUUUUGCUCAGGUCCCCCACCAUGGCUGGCGUCAUGGGUUAAUGAAGGACUUAUCUGGGGGCCGCCCAGAGACGUGCCCUUGCUACAGGGCCAUAUUCGAGAUCUUCUAGAAAGAGAUAUCAAUUUGACCAUAGUGGCGCAAGUCAUCGACCUCUCCGCCUGUGGGAGUUCAAUCCGGAGGGACCAUGAGUCCUACAACAUUUCAUGGGAAUGACACCCAUGGAGAUGUACAAAUUGUUCUUCGGAUCACAAGCAAGGUGUCCGGAUUUGUCCGAGGACGCAGGUCUGAGCUGCAACCGACCAGAUGCUAAAGUAAGUAGCCCUGUAUUUGAAUACACCAUCCAUAUUUUUAUCAAAUCUACACUUUAGCAGAGUUGUCCUUUGAACAGGAGUGGAUAGCGAAGGCAAAGCUUAUCAGGUGUCCAGCCCCCCUGCCCGAGACCCUGCCAGAUCCCAUGCUAACCAGGAUGCUGGAGGCCGCGCCGUUGGCGGAAGGCGAAGGGGGAACCAAGGAGCUACCGCCUCCACAAAGGAGGCCGUUAGGAAGGGAAGAAUCGAAAAUUCUCCCGACCAGGGAAAGAAAAGGACUGCCUCCGAAGACCCGGAGGUGAUGACCUCAAAACGAGGAAAGAAAUCUUCGUCAGAGGGUUCGGCACCGGAGAACGCCCCAGCCGAAUCGCCCCCUAAAGGGGACCCGCUCUCCCCCGAGGCGUAAGUGAAGGGAGGGGUUCCAUAAUGAAUCACAUUCAUGUUUUAUUCCUGAGGAAAAUAACCGAAACAUUAUCUUGCAGUUCAGAUCUCAACCCUUCUCAGCAGAGCUCAUCUUCAGGGGAUCUUCGUCCAGAGAUGAUAGAGAGCGAAACGCCUCCCCUUGUUCCACCGUCUCACGAGGCUGGCGACCCCGGGGUAUCGUCCCGGAGGGUUUUUUCAAGUCCGGACCUUGGAAAAGGUCGUCAGACUAGUCCGGCACCCUCUUGCGCGCCGGUGGAGGGGCUGAAGGAUCUGCUUAGUAGGGCGUCCAUCUCAGAAGAACAUCAUAUGUUGAUGGAUAUGGUGAUUGGAAGGAUUUCAUCCGUGGAAAGCGGAUUGUACGAGGCUGCCAGGAGUUUACUAACAGGCUUUGAGGUAUGUAAAAAGGUGUACCUUUUGGUAGAGCCUCAUAUUAAAUGUGCCAUGUAUGAAUAGUAGCCCCUGAGACUUUGUGUGUCAUCACGAGUGACGGCGCACAGAGGAUCAUAACCCCAGGUAUAAUGUGCCGCCUAUUCCAUGAAGGUGGCAAGGCGUUCGGUGGCUAGCCGAACUGAUGAAUCUGACGAACUAAAGCGGCAACUUGACGUAGCAGAUGCCGACAUCGUGCUUGUACAUAAGCGGCACAAGGUAUGUUCAAAAGACACCCAGUAAUAGGAGCUUGAUGCUCGGGCCUUAUAUAUGUUUUAUGUAGAUGGUGCUGCUGCCGUGGAGAACCUUCGAGCGGAACUUGCCCGAGCCAAGGAGCAAGCAAGGAAGAGUGAUGCGGCUGCCGCUAAAGCGGCUGAAGAGCUAAGAGCUGAACAGGCUGCUCACUACCAGAGCAAGAAGGAAAUAGUCGAGAUGGCCAUAAAAUUGAAGGAUGCUACCGACCGUUGUAGAUUUCUUGAACAAGAAGAUAGGGCGGCUCAGAAGGAUCUUGAAACGAUCACUGCCGAAGCCAAGGAUACUCGUUCUGCCAUGAGAGCAAUGAAGGAGGAGCUGCGUUAGGCCGGAGAUAUCACGGCUGGAAAGCCUUAUAUGCUGCGGAUGAAGUUCGGAGACCCCAAGUAUGCUCCAUUAAACCGGCAGUGGAGUUCGGAAAACGCUUAUCUGGAUUUGGCCGCAAGUGCGGCGGACGCGACCGAACACUUCCGCAGCCGAGGUGACCAUGAAUUGGAAGAGCUUUUUUGGUCGCAGUACCACAAUCCAGAACACCCACUGUCAGUAUCCGACCGUUUAGCCGCCUGGGCGGAGCUGAACAGAUUAUCCGGACUCACCAUGAAGUAUGUUGCGAGUCGUCUGUGGCCGGAGAAGCCGGAGCCGAAGAGUUAUUUUGGCUUGGUGCAGCAGUUCCUUGGUUCGAUGCCGCAUGCUGAUACAAUGAAGAGGUCGGCGUGCAUAGAGGGCACACAGAUGGAUCUUGCCCGUGUCAAAACAUACUGGGCAGAUAUGAAGGCCGGUAUUGUUGCGUCCCUGGAUUCGGACGAAAGUCGAGUACCUGCCAAGCACUAUUUUGAGGAAGUUCUUCCUGGCGCUCGUAUAAUAGAGUCACGGUGCUCGAAGGAUGUUGUGUUCGAAUAGCUUAUACUUUUUGUAAAACAAAUUGUGUUUUUAUGAAAAAAGCUUUUUUUAUACUUGUGCUUGCGAGAAUCAUGAUGCCUCCUGUGCGGCAGUUUAAUGUAUAUAUUUGUAUAUAACCUGAAAGAUGGCAGUCGUUGGCUUCAGCCCCCACGCAUAGAAUGCGGGGGUGUUCGCAAAAAGGCGCCUUUUCACACUUAAUCCAACGUCUUGGUCCUACAAAGGAGGUGGUGGCGCGGCGAACUAGGCAACCGGACUAUAAUGCUUUAUCACUUUCACUUAGCCAUAGGAGUUUGACAGUGGGGCUACUGAAUAGCCCCUAGGGGCACCUCACUCGCCCGAAUUCGGGGCGCGAGUGUGCCUGACCGGGAAGCGGCCCUUCGUUAAUGCGGGGGAAUCCUAAAGAUUCCGAAAGUCAUCGAGUGGUUGACCAGUCUCUCACUAUAUCAUGGCAGUCAGUUUUCGGCUUUCUCUACUAAGGUGCUCACCCGGCCGAACCGGGGCACAAUCGCAGUAGUUCUCCUGGUGCCGCGUUAGCCGAUAUAACGGAACAUAAGGCAGCAAAACAUAGGAGCCGGGCAAACCCAACAUUUGACCAAAGACAUGAUUUGGAGUUGAUGCAUAUAGGGCCAAACUCACGACGUCGAACACUCCCUAAGGUAUUCGGUCUUUAUGAAGACGGGCCGAAAUAGAUCCCUUGGUAAAAAAGCCCCUAGUGUCCAGGUAUGUGCAAAAAUUCUGGCGUGGCCACAUGCCAAGACGCGAGCCUCCUCCUCGGCUAUAGAGAAAACCGGGGGAUGUUAUCAACAAGAGACAGUAAAAAAGGUUUACGCAGGAUCUUAAACUGAAAAGAAUCCUUGAAACGGGUCCCUGCUGCACGUCUGCGCCUGUGUCUCCGUUGUGCCGUAUCCUGGACGGGCGUAGCAUGAUGUUCGUCUGUGAAAGAGAGGAACUUAGUAAAAAAAUAAGCGUGCGAGAAAUCUAUAUUGAAAUAAAUAAAAUAUAGUUGGAGCAGGAGAUGGGCCGUAUUGUCUCCGAGCGUGAGCACACGGAGCCCCUUGCACGGGGGUAUGCGGCUAUUAAGCAUGUUGACGCCGGACUCGUCUAGCCGUGUCCGGGAUAGUAGGGUUGGAUUUGUGGGUGGCUGUCUAGGCAGCCGCACCCUUGCCCGUACUUUGGGGGUCAAUUUAUGUUCCCCUGUAAUGAAAUGAUGCCCUUUGGGCCGGGCAUUUUGAGUGUAAGGGAUGCGUAAUGCGGUAUUGCGUUAAAGCGGGCGAAAGCUUCACGUCCCAGUAGCGCUUGAUAGCGACUUACGAAUGGGGCGAUGUGGAAUGUUAGCUUUUCCCUUCGGAAGUUGUCGGGUGAUCCAAACGUAACUUCUAACGCAAGGGAACCCAUACUUGGGGUAUCCGGUCCUGGUGUUACUCCUUGAAAGGAAGUGUUGCCGAGGUGGAUUAUAACUGGGUUUACCCCGAGUUUGCGGACUGUGUCCUGAUAUAAUAGGUUCAAGUCGCUGCUGCCGUCCAUAAGGGCGUUUGUAAAUUGGAGUCCGUUAAUAAUUGGAUUUACGACCAAGGCAGUCCAGCCUGCGUUCUGGUCUCCUCUGGAGUAAUCCUGAUGAUCGAAGGUGAUUGGUUGAAACAACCAGUGGGGUUGCUCCUCCGGGGCUGGUUGUACGGCGCGUGUCUUCGUGGGUGCCGUUCUGCUCUUCCCUUUUGUCACAUGGAGUAGAUUUACUGUCUUAACUUCUUGUGGGAACUUCUUUUGUUCUCCGGUGUUCUGCUUGUGGGCUGCAUCGCCAUCUUCGCUUGGUGUGUUGAGCCCCUCGUGUUCGGCGUUAAGCUUGCCGGACUGCUUAAAGAUCCAACAAUCUCUGUGGGUAUGGUUUGUAGGUCUCCCCGGAGUGCUGUCGAUUUGACAUAUUUUGUCCAAAAUUUUGUUGAGGUUGGAUAGCUCGUCCCUAUCGUCUUUGGGGGGUGGCUUUUUCUGAUUUUGCCGAGAGCUUUUGAAUCCGGCGUUUAAUGCCGUGCUCAUCGGGCUGUUGUCCUUUAUCCAGUGCGGUUCUUUGUUACGGCGCGGCUUCCCGUUCCCAUCUCUGGGUUCGGACGUAUUCGGGUCGCUGGUGCUGCUUCUCGCCAACCAGCUAUCCUCUCCUGCACAAAAGCGGGUCAUGAGGCUUGUUAACGCUGCCAUUGUUCGCGACUUUUCUUGGCCGAGGUGUCUGGCGAGCCAUUCGUCUCGGAUGCUAUGCUUGAAAGCUGCUAGGGCUUCGGCGUCCGGACAGUAGACUAUCUGAUUCUAUUUUAUAAGGAAUCUGUUCCAGAGUUUCCGGGCUGACUCUCCGGGCUGCUGAGUUAUGUGACUCAGAUCAUCUGCAUCCGGGGGUCGGACAUAGGUCCCUUGAAAAUUUGCCCGGAAAGCAUCCUCAAGCACUUCCCAACUUCCUAUGGUGUUUUCAGUAAGGCCUUUAAGCCAAUGCCAGGCUGGCCCUUUGAGCUUAAGGGGCAAGUAUUUUAUGGCGUGGAGGUCAUCUCCUCUGGCCAUGUGUAUGUGGACGAUGUAGUCCUCGAUCCAGACUCCAGGGUCUAUUGUUCCGUCGUAUGCUUCUAUGUUCACUGGCUUGAAUCCGGCUGGGAAUUCAUGGUCCAGCACCUCAUUGGUAAAACAUAGGGGUUGUGCGGCGCCCCUGUAUUUAGGCGUGUUGCGGUGUUCGGGUAUUUUUUGCAUUGCAUCACUCACUGGAGCUUACUUUCUUGGCCUGUACAUGGAUCUGGUUGGGCCAGUUUUCUGAUGCGAAUUCUUGGACGGAUCGCGCGCCGUGUUGAGUGCGGCAUCCUUUGAUGCGUGAGAUUGAUCGUAGGGUCGUCUAUCCGACCUUGUGGCUUCCUUAUUUUUUGACUAUGGGGGCUUUAUGGCCUCUUCAUCAAAUUCUGGUAGUAGUUUCCACUUCGGAUAGCCUUUUGUGUGGCGCCUAUUGCCAUACUUGUGUGCGGUAUUGAGUACUUUGCCCCAUCUGAUCCUGAGUGCAUCUUCCGCUGUCUUGAGCCUCCACUUCUGCUUUCUCAAGCUACGUGCAGUGGCGACGAGCCUUUGGUGGAGGUUUUGAUGUUCCAGCAGUUUGUCUGGUGUGAGGUUGUCCGGGCUAUUAUCUUUCCCAGGGAUUAGUUGUUCGGAUUGUCUGCCCUGUUCGGACGGAUGCUCGAUGACAUGUUCAUCGUCCGUUGAUUCACCCUGCUCUAUGGCUGGGUCUUUGUGGGGCUUGGCCUUGCGCUUACACCGCCGCUUUGAUUGUUUUUCGAGGGAGCGAUCUCUGGCCGCAUCCUUUUGGUCCUCGUUGUAGUUUCUGUUGUAUGUGUCCACCAUGCAUACAUCGUAUGAUGAGGUGGCUUUCCGGCGCCCUAUAGGUGCUGGUUCUUGAUCGUCUCCUUUAUCGGCGUCCAUACCGUCGAUAUCUUCGGAGUCGAAAUCGAGCAUGUCGGUUAGAUCGUUGACAGUGGCUAUGAAGUGGGUGGUGGGUGGGUUUCGAAUUUCUUCGUCGUCCGCAUCCCAACCGUGUUGGCCGUAGUUCGGCCAGGGCUCUCCUGACAAAGAGAGAGACUUUAAUGAAUUCAAGAUAUUGUCGAAAGGCGAGUGCUGAAAGACGACCGCGGCGGUGAACUCCAUGACCGGCGCCCAAUCAGGCUUAAUCGGAAGAGGUGCAGGAUUUACGGAGUCUGGAUCGGAGUCCGGCACCUUGGAGUCACGGGCCGUGCGAGGGACUAGGCUGGUAUCCGGCUCUAUCGCCGUAGAGGUUGCAGUUUUAGGGGCGGCGUCCAACCGUCCGUCCCUGACUGGCGUAGUGGGCUCCAAGCUAAUGGUCGGAGCAGACACCUGAGCGACACUCUGGGUGUUGUCCGAUGACAGAGCUAAAUCAUGCCCAUCAUGACAGUGCGGCGCGCCUGGUCGUGGCUCGAAUCCGUCGAAGAUCAAGUCCCCGCGGAUGUUGGCCGUGUAGUUUAAGCUUCCAAACCUGACCUCAUGGCCAGGGGCGUAGCUUUCGAUCUGCUUCAGAUGGCCGAACGAGUCGGCCCGCAGUGCGAAGCCGCCGAAUACGAAGAUCUGUCCGGAGAGAAAAGUCUCAUCCCGGACCGCAUCGCGAUCGAUGAGCGAAGAAGCCAUCGGGCCUAAAGGUGACGACACAGAGGAACUCUCAAUGAAAGCACCAAUGUCGGUGUCAAAACCAGCGGAUCUCGGGUAGGGGCUCCCGAACUGUGCGUCUAGGCGGAUGGUAACAGGAGACAAGGGACACGACGUUUUUAUCCAGGUUCGGGCCCUCUCGAUGGAGGUAAAACCCUACUCCUACUUGAUUAAUAUUGAUGGUAUGGGUAGUACAAGAGUAGAUCUACCACGAGAUCGGAGUGGCUAAACCCUAGAAGCUAGCCUAUGGUAUGAUUGUUGUUCGUCCUAGGGACUAAAACUCUCCGGUUUAUAUAGACACCGGAGAGGGCUAGGGUUACACAGAGUCGGUUACAAUGGGAGGAGAUCUUCAUAUCGUAUCACCAAGCUUGCCUUCCACGCCAAGGAAAGUCCCAUCCGGACACGGGACGGAGUCGUCAAUCUUGUAUCUUCAUAGUCCGGGAGCCCGGCCAAAGGUCUUAGUCUGGCCAUCCGGACACCCCCUAAUCCAGGACUCCCUCACCUACCUUAGAGGCAAGGCUCUAUACACUGGAGUACUUUUGAUGUGUCCCGUCAACUCGUAGAAUGAGGAGAAACUUGCUUAGUACGCCGUCUCCCCCGCCCACGAGCGCGGUGGCUCGCAGGAUGAGGUGAAGCUUACUACUACUGUACGCCUUUAUGCCCUCUCCCUCGCCCACGCGGGCGGUGGCUCGCAGCACGAGGAGAAAAUUUUACUACUCCCUCCGUUUACUCCUCGUCCCUACUACGUACAUACUUUGGUUAGUACUCCCUCCAUUUACUUAUACAAGGCCACUAUAAAAAAAUACAUUUUGCAUCUAUACAAGGCCACAAAUAGUAAUCGAUCCUUUCCAGUUUAUGGCUCAAUUUCAAAAUCUCUCCAACCAAGGUAGACGGUGAGUGGUCGAAUUAAUUUCGUAGUUUGCACAGUACGCUUGUUUUUCUCAAGAAGUUAUGUUUACCGAGGCAUUAAUUAGAACGAAUGCAUGAAUGACCACUAAAUUUCCAUGAACUUGUACAUGCAUUGGUUAGUUUCCUCUUGACACUGCUUGCGUCGGGUGAUCUAACGCACCUCGAAAUCCAACAUGUAAUGGUACUACUACUAGUAUAGUAGAAUUGAGACUUAUCAAACAGAAAAAUGAAUGUUUUUUAGAUGAGCCCUAUAAACCCUAGUGGGUAUGUACUCCGUAAAAACAGAUUUUUCCAAAACUAAGUCACUCCCUUUCAUGAAUUCUGUAGUAUACUCCUCCGUCGACGCUCCCUUUCAUGAAUUAUGUACUUCCUGUCGCCGACAUGUGGGACAUAUAGCAACCGGGUCGACGUGUCAAGCACCAAAUAACAGUGCAGAACAGUAGGGGGACGCACCCCACUCGUACCGGCCCAGUAGUAGUAAUGACCAAUGAGACGUCAAAUCACAAUGCCGCACCUUCCCAGACGGACGAAGCAACCAUUAUUUCAUGCUUCGGUUCGACAUCAUCUCAAACCACGUACUAGUAUUGCUUCUGCCUCAAGAGGGACACACGCAUCGCCUUGGUACAUCAUGACACGUGGGACCGCAUGACAGGCCAUGCUCCCCCGCCGAUCGCUUGGUAAAAUCACCUCAUUUUUACUAUACUUCCUCCGGAUCGGUUUACUACAUGGCAUGCACGUUGUUCUAGGUUGAGAAUUUAACUGGCUAUAUAUAUAUAUAUAUGUGUGCGAUGAACAGUACGCUAGCCUUUUAAAAAAUGUAUACUUUUGUACAGUAGUACUCCACUAUCGAUGGAUUGCACCAUGGAGCAAAAAUUGAAAUUUAAAAAAAAGGUGGUACAUAUAGAGAGCGCUCGUCGCCAAAUUAUGCAUAUAGUACUAUUAAAAAAGCUAGUACGUGCUUAAUUGGGGUGCUAAAUUCUAUUACAGAAAUACUAGUACUAGUAUGUACAUACUAAAGAGUUAAAGUAACAAGAAGAAACAUAACAUAGUUCUGCUGGGGGCUCAGCACAACACACCCCUCAAAUUAAACUAAGCACACCUGAAAUUAAACUAUGCAACUAAUCCGGUAGACACUGCAUUAGAAGUUUAGAACCACCAUGAGCAACGACACUGCCACCUUACUCGGAGUCCUCGUCCACGUCCUCGACUUCGUCCUUGUCCCUCUUCCUCUUGGCCGAUACUUCUUUGCUUGAACCGCCGACUUGGCUGUUGCUCUUCAUCCAACCCUUGUAGAUAUUGAAACAAAGGUAGCCAUCCAUUGCAGCAUACUGGAUGUGGUCUAUAUCUGGUACAUUCUGCUGCCAUGCAUGACGAUGAAACGUGUAUGGAGGUUUCUCCAGUUUACCGUCCGAAGGAUGAACCAUGGCUCCUGCCAGGGUCAGCAUUGAGGGCUGACGAGAGGGCACUAGCCGAUUCUUCUGGAGGUCGAAGGGGUUGCCUACAAUGAGGCCUAUCCGACGCAGGACUUCUUUGUCGUUCUUAAAGUCUACAGUAACGAAUUUAACUGUUUUGUCCUCGAGGAAGUUCUUAAAAUCCUGGCACUCAAAGUCGGCAUGGAAUAUGUGGUAGACCAAGAAAACGUUAUGUACGCAAACCUGGAUCACGGCGGGCUUCUUCCUCUCUUCGUCCUUUAGAUCCUUCUCUCGUCCCACGACUGUGGUGUACUCAACAUCUAGCCCAACGACCCACUCAUCAUGUGAGUUUUCAAACAUGCGUCUAAAGCGAGAAAGGCAUCCUUUCACCCUCGGGGAAGUACGGGUGUAGAUGACGUCGAACUCACCGCCGGUGAUGGUUCUAACAUUGUACUCACCGCCGAUCAGGGAGAUUUGGGACGCCAUGGAUUUGGGAGGAGGGUUAGGAUUAGUGGAACUGCCGUAAUGUGAAUGGACGGGACGACUAGGAGCGAACCGUCGUAGUAUUAAAGGACGUGCGGCGACGAGUAGAAGCGAACUGCCAGCGUGCGAACGGCGGGGUAGUGGCUUUCCAUUCUCCCAUGAUACGGGCUUCCGAGAGCCCUUGGAUCUGAGAUCGAACGGUUGCAUGGCGUGAUUCUAGACUUAUGGGUGAAUAUCCUAUCCUGGAGGGUUAUUCUUAAAAUUUUCAGCAACUUAGCAUGCGACCGUUUGAUCUUAGAUCCAAGGGCUGCCAGCAGCCCGUAUCAUGGUCGCGCCUACCACAAUCGUCGCGUCGCUCGCGCGGUCGCGCCCUUGGAGAUUUAACACGGUGCGUUAGGCUAUCUGAUGUUGGCAUGUCAUACAUAGUCAUCACUUAGUCACUCAUAGUACAACAAGGUUGGCUAUAAGUGUAUUUUUUACUCCUCUCUAUCUCUUUCUUCGUACUUCCUCCGUCCCAUAAUAUAAGAACAAUUUUGACACUAGUGUAGUGUCAAAAAUGUUAUAUAAUGGGACACAGGGAGUACUAGUAUUUAUUGCAUUUGCCAAGGAGUGACCUCUUCCAAUGAAAUGGUGUUGCUAAGUUUGCCUCAUUUAAUUAGCUAUAGACUCAAAAUUGUCUUUUCACCUAGGUACACGCGCUUAGCACCGUUUCUUCCUUGGGUCACCAAACUAGACUCUCUCUUAUUGAUUAACUUGCCACAUCAGACAUUAUGCCUAUGUGGCAAGCUUAAGCACAUGUAGGAGCAAGUAAGUACAAUAGUGCGCUUUACAUGGCAUUUUUGCAUAUGUGGAGGAAAGAGAGGCAAGGAAAAAGUGGAGAAGUGGGCUCUCAUGCUAGAGCCAGCCUCUACUACUACAUGGUGGAGCAUUGGGAGAGGCACCUGUAUGGAGGUGGUCAGGAAUCGGGAGACUCACGCCGGUCGUAGCGCCGCAGUUAAAAUGAUAAUGGCAAGUCAAAUCACGGGGCCCCACCUGUCCAGCAGUAACUCGCUGUCAAAUCGCACAGCCCUACAUUUGCAGCAGCCUACUCCCUCAUCUUCUCGCGUCUCUGUCGAACCAACUAGGCGGAACUACCCCGCCUACCGCGCAGGAAAAGCCCCGCCCUUGACUUUUAAAUACAACUACUCCCUCCGUCUAGGUGAGUAAGUCAUCUUACGAAAACCAAAUAAUCCCAAAAUACUAUGGCGCGGUGCAUUAACUUCUACCUCGUUUCUUGUUUCUUCACAUAUCAACCAAUAAGAAUCCAAUGAUAUACUUUUUGUGACAUAGUAACUCAUAUUUAGUUAGUCAAAUGGAUGACCUAGAACUACGUGCAGGCCCUAUAAACCGAGACGCCUACAAAUAAAAAACCGAGACGGAGAGGGUAGUUCAGCACGUAUCUUUUUAGAUCAAUAUAGUUGGGAUUCACCAAGGAGCAAAACCAUCUGGUAGGCUGCUCCUGUCUUGUUGGCGUAGCAACUCAAGCAGGGUCAUUCCGCACACGAAAUGGCGACACACUUAACAGGACCCCUUUGGCAGACAUGUUGCUCAUCCACCGUCUUGUUCCAUGUGCUAUGCACCAAAUUACAGUUCGAAGCAGCGGAUGGAAUUGGAGGCACCCCGGUCGUAGCGCCGCAGUAGUAGAAAAUGAGCGAUGAGGGGUCAAAUCACAAAGCCCCACCUUUCCCGCAUUAAGCUGGACGAACGAAGUAACCAUCAUUUCACUCUAACGCGCAAGCGCAUAAAGAAAAGAGAAAAAAAAUGAUGCGUGCGGCAGCUACCUAGGGCACCCUAGGGUAGGGGUCUCCACUAUAGAUCCUUUUUUUGAAAGCGCCUACACUACAAAUCGGCUUCUCCCUCGUCCUCUUGAAGAAAACCGAUGAUGAGUGCGACGGUAGGGUUUGUAGGAGUGCUACGGCAUGCGGGGCCAUGUCGUAGUAAACGGGUUCGAGUCGACGCCUUAAAUAUGUGUGGGCCGCUUGGUUUUAUGGGAACGAGGCAGCAUUUUGGGUUCGGGGACCAGUGCAGAUAUAGCACAUACAAAAAAUUGUGGACGUAGGUUCGACCGAAAGGCAAUGAUGCAUGGGCCCUGCAUUUUGAUAUACCCGGGGCCGCGUGAAAUUUGCUACUCUACUCAAAACUAGUAAGGUACACAUGUAUUGAACGCAUGAGAUUUCGAAACCAAAUUAUGAAUAAAUACACACUAUAGCAUGUAAAGCUUUGAGUAUAUAUGCAUGAUGUAGAUGUUCGUUUAGUUCUUAUAGUUCAUCUCAUUCAAAAUCAAUUAGUUCUAUAAAAAUGUUAAGAUUCAUGCGGUUGUGCAUUGUAAAUCAUAAAGUAAAAAACAAAUAAUGGCAAUUCAUUUAGAAAAAAUAAUCAAUUAUGAUACAGAAGAUUCUAGAACAAAGGAGAAGUGCUUGUGUUUUGAGGUUUGUGCAUUAUGCUUAAGUUCAACCAUGGAGUCUUCUAAAUUGUACGUGUGGCAGAUUUGGUGGAAUGUUGAUGAUAUCUAACGGCCAGUAGUGCUCAGAUUUUCCCAUCUCUGCACUAUCGUGUUAGCUUCAUCCAGCGACCAUCUUUCAAAGUUAUUGGCACACUAUAUAGUUCUUGUGCCAUAGUUGCAUGUUUUGGAAAAAAGCUACUAGUGGGUUGUACUAUCUAUUCAGGAAUAGAAGAUGUAUACAUGAAAGUUGUAGGGAAAGAGAUGACAUGGAGGAUCUCAAUUCCUAUGAGUAGGGAUUGGAAAAGAGAUGUCAUUUGGUUCACAUCAUAGGAACUUUUCUAUUGAAUCUAGAGAUGACAUGUAUCUCAAUUCCUAUGAGGAGGGAUUAGUAAAGAGAUGUAAUUUGGUUCAUAUCAUAGGAACUUUUCUAUUGAAUAUACGCUAAUGUUUAUUUUCCUUUGAAAUUAAGGGAGUAUAGGAAUCCAUUCAUAUGAACCAAGUGGCUCUAAAGCUAUAGAAAUGAUAUCACGUUUAUUUCCUUUGAAAUGUAGAGUAUAUGAAUCUAUUCCUAUGAACCAAUUGGCUCUAAAGGAAAAAAAUCCUAUAAAAAUCAUAUCAUAUAGAGUUCCUAUGAUAUUCCUCGACACUAAAGGAUGGUUGAAAUUGCUGCGGGUGAUACGAUGGUCUUUCUUUGUAGACUCCUCACCCAUCUUUAUAGUUACCUCUCGAAGAUGAAUGAAAUGAUAUAUACAGGGUAUUCUACAUGUGCAAUUUGGUACACGAAAACUCGGUAAAAGUUUGCGAGGUUCUAAUUUUCAAUAAAGCUAUAUGCACUGCAUUUCGGAACGGAGGGAGCAUACGGCAGUUGCUAACACUCACGUGGAAGAUUUGUGUGUAGGAGGAGUGGCUGUUCUGCUAAAUGACAUGGCAAAACUGACACUGUCGGAUGCCGAUCUAACGGUUCUUACUGCGUUCGUCAGGAAAAGGCUUGUGGCGAACGUUUGUCGGAUAAUGAUUUACAGACACAUGCAUUGCAUUGAUAUGUGCCCCCCUCUCUCUCACGCACACGCACCCUCAUGAGUCACAACUCUCCCGAGUCCUCUCGCAGACUCGCACGUGGCACCCAUCGUCUAUCUGCGGGUAGACGUCACGCACAUAUGUGCUCUUCACACCCUACCCUCAGAACUUCUAAAAAACAAAAGACGGUGCACACAUUUUAUUUUAGCUCACACGUCACACACUUAUAUUAUUACUCUUGUGGUGAACGUUCUUUGGGCAUAGUAUAUAUUGUACUCUCACGAAGAGAAGCGGUGCACGCACGCACUAGUUCUCUCACACCCACUCGCGGGUACACGUAGGAGCACAUUUUUUUGAAGCCGGUACAACAAAAUCACUCCACUAUAUAUAAAAGCAGGAGCCUUAGUGCUUGCUUUACAAGGGUUCCUCUCGUUCACUCUCUCAUGCUCUCCAGAUCUAAGCAAGACAUAGGUGGCCACACACUCUCUCUCAGCCCAUGGCUGGUCACAAAUCCGGUCGGACAACCUCGACCGGGGCAGGGGGUGUAGGUGCAUCGUUCACGCUGUCGUCGGCGUCAAUGGAGGAGACCAAUGGCUGCCCGCGCGUCCCGAUCGGCGGUCGUGUCGUUCUCUCCGAGAGAGCGCCGGCUUGGGAGGGCCUCCGACCCCUUCUUCCUCCCUGCGGUAUUGUGGCCAAGAUGCGGCCUCCCAACGCCGUCUUUGCCACAUGCCGACGACCCUCGGGUAUAUAUUCCUUCGAAACCUUCCUUGCUCUACUGCCCCAGCUCUUCCCCCUUCGUGUGGAUCCUUUUCUACUUCCUUCCGCUAUUCCAAAGCCACCUAGACUUCUACUAUUAUUAGAAGUAAAGCUAGUUCAUAUAGUUAACUCAAAGCGUUGGUUCAAACAGGGAAGAAAGUGGGAAAGUUGUAGCAUGAAUCUAGGACUUGGUUCUAAGAGGAAACGGGGGAAAGUAGUAAUAUCUGUCACUGUUUAAAUAACUGUAUUUCGUAUUUCUGCAAACAGGGAUGUAUGUCUACAUAUCUUUUCGGGAUGUCUGUCUCCGUAUCGUUUCUAUCUGCGCAAUCAAAAGCACACACCUCAGUUUUAGUACAACUGCGCAAAAUGAGAUGGCUAUCCCUCGUUGCCGUCAUCUAACCUCCCGUCUUCAAGGUAUCCCUACAUUGGUAGUAACUAAGGUAGAAUGACCAACACAAUCUAAAAGUAGCUGAUUCGUACGUUUUACUUCCUGAUUGCAGUGCAGGGACAAGCGAAAACAACUGCAUCCUAGUCCGGAAUGCACUUUCUACCAGUUCAUCCAUGGACCGAGGACUAGCUGGCACAGCUGCACGGCGGUUUUUUGGACAGGUGCGCGGACAAGAGGCAUUGUGGUCUGCUUAUUUCUGCAAAUAGCGGUGCUUAAAUUUAGUGGAAUGCACAAGAAUUUCACCUGGUCAGUACACUGCAUGGUUCAGUUCAGCAUUCCAGCUGAGACCACAAUUAUAAUUGGUUAUUAUGGAAUGAGAGAACCUAACCCUGGAUGGUGGCAACAAGAAAAAACCAGAGUGAACUCCAGGAAAUUUAAGCCUGUAGGGAGGCCCUUUGCUCAGAGAAGCCUUGCUUGUUUUUUCCUGAUUUGUAAACCUUCUCACAACUUUGUCUUUUGCUGUGAACUAGUAUAUGUUUGUUAUGUUCUAUGAAUCAUUGAGAUGUAUAAAACUGCUUAACUUAUGCUUUUCAAGAUUUUUAUGAAGACGAGUUUAAUGUGAGUGUUCCACAUGAGCGCUGGACUAGCGUUGAGCAUUUGGAAUUUAUUACAUUGUGGCCUCAAUUAACUGCAUGAACCACUGUAACAAGAUACAUAGUUGCUUAUAUGUCAGACAGCAGAUUGUUGAUUGUUAGCUGGUCGAUAGCCUAGUGUUGAAGCGAGCUGAGCCAAUGUGCCGUGUUUUGCACAACUGCUUAUGAGCGGGGUAGCACCAACAGUGUUUACAAGUACUUAUGUAUAUGUCGGCGCACGGUUCUCGAACGAGUGCUCUAUUUCAUCAAAACACACACUGCUCGUAUGAUAAACCGUGACAACUUAUGUCUUACCAUGCCAUAUUCAUGAAAAAACUAGUGAGGACGCAUCUGUUUCGGCAAUAAUUACGAUGGUUCUCACAUGAUUCACGGGCACACAAAAGUAGCAGCAGUUCCCAUAGACAGAUUCAAACAGAGUACUAGCCCCAGAGGGGUCGAUAACAGGCAAGGUUCGGAUAAUUAGACACAAUCCAAACUACUAUUAAACACUAGCUGGGGCAACUAUUUCAUGCAUCGAUCUAAUUUGGGCUGGACACAAGACGGACCUUGCCAUGAACAUCAUCGAGGACGUACCGCAGCAACUCAAUCCUGUGAACCUUCAUGAAGACAACCUUCUGGCCUUGCCACUGAUAAACUUGUUUGUGGAGGCAUGCCACGUCAUCUUCCUGCGUAAGCUUGACAAGAACAGUAUGCCUCACAAACGAAGGAGUAGCUUUGAACUUCUUGUGCUUCAGUACACCUUAGACAACACGCUUGACAACAGUGAGGCUGGAAUACACCUGUUCAUUGGUAUAACCGCAAAUGGCUUCCAGGAUCUAACAGCCUAAGAACUCUGUUUUCCCAGUGCAUAUAUUCAGGUCGUCCGCCUCAUAGCGAGUGACAUGCACAACCACACAAUCCUUGUCUGCAUCAGGGCUCUAAUUGCAACAGAAACAAAUUCUGAAUUACUUUUCAGUAUAAGAAACACAAGUUAUUUAAACCACUAUGUAUAGCAUGGCAUCAAAGCUAAUAAAAUUUUGCAUUAUUAAUCACCACAUACUUCCUUUUCUAAAAAAAUCAGCACAUACUUAGAUGAAAAACCACAAUCGAGAUUGGCAAAGAAGGAAAUCACCUUGGGCAGCUCAGGGGGGGGACAUCCUCGAAGGGGGAAAACUGCUCCUGCGGUGCCACGAGGGCUGUAACCUCAAACGGGGCGUUGACCAUCUCAGUAGUGGCCGUGAGCAUAUUUGGGGUCGACUCGGUGGUUGCCUCCAUCUUCUUGGAGCUCUCUGUCUCGUGGGGAUCAGCCUCCCGCGUCUGCUCCAAUAUCGGCAGAUCUUUGCCUGGUUCUCCUUGGUCCAUCAUGAAAAUGAUGAAUACUAGGAUACCACUGAAAGGAAAACACAAUCGCAAUGACAAUGAAACAAAAAAGAGAGUGAGGAUCGGUUACUUCUUUGUAAAAGUUCUUUUUUUUUCUCUGAACGAAAAUAUACCAACAUCACGGAUCCGCUUACCUUACCUUCGUUGGGAGAGAAGAACAGUGGCAGAUGCAAGUGUUGCCUUUCUUGAAGACAGUGAGGGAUAAGGGGAUUCAGCGAAGAGUGAAAUGAUGGUUGCUUCAUCCGUCAAACUUAGAUUGCGGGGAGGUGGGGUUUUGUGAUACGACGGCUCGUUACUGCCGCGCUACGACCGGGGUGACUCUCCGCCUGCAUACUGCCUUCUAAUUUCGUGGAUGGCAUUUGGGCCCGCGCGCUGCAUGGCCCGCAUGUCGAUGAACAAAAGUAUAAUGGCAUUCAGUAGAGGGAGACGUUUCAAUGACCUAGGAGGAGCCAGAAGCGGUAAAGUGUCUCCACUGCACUAGUAGUAAUUGUUUUUCUGGGUAGCUAUAGAGUGUCUCCACUUUACUAGUAGUAAUUGUUUCUCUGCGCCCAAGACAAAACAGCCAAUCCACACUAGUAAAUAGUAAAAUCAAUUCAAAAGGCGCUACCCACACCCAGCACACCCCCCCCCCCAAAAAAACUGGGUGCUCUUCUUCCUCCUCGCUCCCACCCACCUCACGUCAGCUUGCUCCACUCGUACCCCCAAAUUCGUCACCUCACUCCUACAGAAAACCCCAGCUCCCCUUCUUCCUCACUCCUACAGAAAACCCCCAGCUCCCCUUCUUCUUCGCUCGCACUACAACUAGGCUCGUCAUUCGUUACUCUGCUCAAAUCCAUGAGCGCGACGCGACGCCCUCGAGGAAAAUGGAGUCGGCUGACCCCAGCGCCAAGAAGAUGAGGCUCCCGCCAGCAGCGACGCCUGUUGUAGAUCCCGCACCCGGCAGCGCGGGGAGAAGCAGCGACCCCGCCCCCAUCGGAUCCCAGGAACCCGUAGAAUCUCGGGUGGACCGCAUCAGCGAUCUCCCGGACACCGUCCUUGGGGAGAUCAUCUCCCUUCUCCCCACCAAGGAUUGCUGCCGCACCCAAGUCCUCUCAAUUCGGUGGCACCCUCUAUGGCGCGCCGUGCCCCUUAAUCUUGACUGUCGUCAGCAAUCUCUCUUCAAUGAUUUUGAAAUCCCCAGAGCCAUCAUCUCCUCCCACCAGGGCUCCUUUCAAAGCCUCUGCAUCCCGUCAUGCUACCUAAGCAAGCAUACCAUGCCCUGCACGGUGGACGCCUGGCUGAAAUCCCCUGAAUUCACAGAACUAUGGCUGCUUGAGUUCUACUAUUCCCCUGGAAAUCACAUACCACAUACCAAAUGCCAUGAACUUGUGCCCUCAGCACUGAUGUCCAUCUCGCAGUUUUCCUCCUCUCUCCACACCGCACCUUUGCGAUGUGCUACCUACCAGACAAUCUGGUACUAAACCUUCGACUCCCAUUUCUCAAGAAACUUUCACUUGUGCGGGUUCGUAUAUCAGAGGCCUCAUUGCACAGCAUCAUCCACAACAGUUGCCCUACGCUGGAGUGCUUGGUGCUUGUUUUCACAGUUAGAAUCGGUUGUCUCCAAAUAAAGUCGCCUAACCUUGUAAGAAUUGGAAUUUCUUUUGACGGAAGGCAGCUCAUCAUCCAAGAUGCCCCUUCACUUCAAAGGUUGAUCCUUGAUUCUAGUUAUUCACCGUUGCAAAUAACCGUCCUCUUUGCGCCUAAACUGGAGACCUUGGGUGUAAUACAUGAUCUCUGUGCUCAUUUCAAUAUGGUGUUUGGCUCAACAGUUCUUCAGGUACUUUAUAUUAUCAUCUACACUUGUAACCAUAAGCUGCAUUUUAAAUUUCUACGCAUAAUUUAUAUAUCAUCUUGGAGUACACAUUUUGUACUAAUAUUAUGUUCUAUGCUCAACGAAGAGUUUCUCCAUGGAUGGCCUAUCAAUGGUGCUAGAUUCUGUCAAGAUCUUAUACAUCCAAAUGAAUAGUUUUGAUUUGAUCAAGAUUAUUGGCUUGCUACAAUGCUUUCCAUGUCUGGAGAAGUUGUAUAUAAAGGUGAUAAUUUCAUGCACAUUGGAAGCCCGCAUAUAGUGUACUAGAAUUAACCGUUCAGCUGUUGCUCUUUCGACACUCUUCUUUUAGACCUUAACUGUUUUCAUUUUCAUGUCUAUUUAGGCAACAGGACGGGGUAAGAAAGUUAUAACCAAUCGGUGGAUUUGUAAGCAUCAUGAUUUUCUCACUUCUCAUGAGAUUCAAUUGAAGACAAUAACGUUAGAACGAUAUGUAGCCAACCGUGCAAACACAAGAUUUGUCACAUUCUUCCUGCUGAAUGUGAGGUUACUAUUGUCCAUCAGGCUUAAGUUUAUCAGCAGCAUGGUUUUGACGGAUGGGUAUGUCGAAGAGCAAAAAAAGGAGUUUCAGGUGGGCAAAAGAGCUUCUGAACGUGUCAGGCUUCUAUUUACAACAUAUUGUGGUCAUAAUCCAGUAAAUUUUAUGACCCAGGAUGUUCAUUCUAUGGACCUGACCGAUCCAUUUGACUAUGACUGCCGAAAACAGUGCUGGAGUUAGAUGUUGUUGCCCUUUUCAAUCUGGGUUUUUUUGUAAACCUCAUGAACAAUCAACCCUCGUGCUUUUGUACAGUUUGUAAGCUGGAGUUAGAUGUUCCUGCCCUUUUCAACUCGGCUGUGACUGUCAUAUUUUCUUUGAAACAAGGCAAAUGGCUUGCCAUUCAUUUAAUUUAGAGUGAAAUAUUGUAACAAAUCACAACCAAGGGAAAUAACAUCACUCACGCCGGCUGCUUGAGCUCACUGUGCAUUACAGAAGCCAAGUGAUUAGCCCCCACCAGCACCCACAAACUUAUUUCAAACUAGCACAUCAAAUGGGCUGUAAAUUUUCAUAGGAAAGGCUGCAUGACCGUGACAGAUUUGGAUUCUAACAUUUGGGACCCGCGAGGAAAUAGCCUAUCCAAGGUGGUGUCGACUUACUAGCCAGUCAACAAACGACCCCGCCAUCUGUCGUGUAUCUUCUAUCUCUUGUCUUCUUCUUCCUCCAGCCACCCAAACCAAACCACCCCGUCAGCUCCGCCUGCUCCCGCCUCCCAUGGCUGGCUGCGCCUCCGCCGCCCUACCGUACAUACCCUCCAAUGUUGACCAGUCCCUCCCUCUAUUCCCCCACACGUCAUGUUAUUCUCCGGCAACGUCAUCCCCAACACGCACUCGUGCCCGAACCAGUCAACCAUCGUACUCCCCUCCGCCUGCGACUGGACCGGUGCAUCUUCAAUGGCUCCUGUUCAUUCCGUCUGAGGCCUCGCCGUCGUCCUUCGCCUUGCGGCCUUGGUUCGCUCGCCGUGCACGGUGCGCUGCCCUCUUGUGUUAUCAACGUCGUCAACAACCGAGAGGAACAAGGAGAUGAUUGUACGUGGAGAGGAUGAUAGUAGGGACCCACCAGCAUCAUGGCAGUACGCAAGCAAGUGCCUCUAUAGUACAAGCCCAAAAAUAUGGUUCCUCCUAGUCCUAAUGGUUGGACAUCUAGGGUUCACACCAUUGUCAACAUAAUCAAUAAACGAGAGAAUUACACUACGAGCGGCUGACACCAGGGACCCAGCAAGCCGCGCAGUUUUUUUGAGGAACAAGCAGUUGUUAUUUAUACUAGUUUUAGCGACGGAUCAGGGUAACAACGGGGUUGUGCGGGGGCUGUGGCCCGUCUAGCCAGGGUUUUAUUUAUGUUUACCACAUCAUGAGCCAAGUUGUGUUUUUUUCUUGCUGAAAAUGGCUAGCCCAGUUCUAUUUUUUUAAAAGAAAUACCCAAAUAAGGCCUACUUGCUUUAUCGGCCCUGCUGGGCUGCAAAUCUUUCCAGACGAUGAGAGUUUCAUUCGGUUUGCCCAGGAAUGGCAUGUACAUUUUUAAAAAACAUCAAACCGGGAAUUAGUUUCAAUUUUUUUUCAUUACAAGAUCUUAAAUUCCAUUGAUUUUUAUGCGUGGACAAUUAUUUGGAUUUUAUAUUUAUAUAAAUUAUUUUUCAAAAUAUUUUGAAUGUGAAUCGAUAUUUCUGGAUUAAAAACAGUUGACCGCACCGAAAUAUGCAAAAUUUCGUAUACUUUUUAACCGUGGCCACAAUAUGGGGUGUAAUGCUAACAAAAAGAAGAUGGGCUCCAAAAAAAUCUUAAGAAUUAGCAAAUGGGCUGUACAUUAUUAGAAAUAAUGGCAGAUGUGAUGUAUGAUGUUUUCCACAGAUUUGAGGCUGACUUGUGCGCCUACUACAGGUUGACGUGUAUGCUUUCAUAAAAAAAAGGUUGACGCACACGCAACGCCCUGUCAACUUAGUCAACACAUGAGAGCAAUGACUGUUGGAUGUCCAUCCAACGGCUGUCGUGCUUCUUCAAUCUCUGCUCUUCAUGCUCCAGCCGCUUAAACAAGCGUCGGCGGGACUACCUGCUCCCUCCUCGCGUGGCCGGCUAUGCUGCCGCGCAGGCCUCAUGGCACCACCGUACUCCCAUCGCUGGCCUAGCCAUCCCUCUAAUCAGCCACACAUGAUGUUAUUCUCCGGCGACGACAGACGAACCAGUAAACCCUUGUACUCCUCCGCGUGGGAAACAACUGCCGAGUAUUCCCUGGCUCCGUGUCGUUCCCUUCCUAGGCCUCGCCGUCGUCCACCGCCCUGGUGCUCUCAGUGCGGCCUAGUCAACGUAGUCAAUGAAUGACAUCCAUCGGAAGUGGACUGUACGUGGAGAGGCUGACAGCUGGGUCCAUGGCCGCACGCAAGGAAAUGCCUCCUUAUUACGCGCAAAAUAAUGAUUCCUCCACCUGACAGCUAGGACCCACAGGAAGGGCCUCUGUAUUUCGCGAAAAAAAACGUUCCCCCCGCUGACAGGUUGGACCCACCAGCUAUAUCUUCGCACGCAAGGAAGUGCCUCCUUAUUACGGCCAAAAAAAUGAAUACCCCCUGCUAGCUCGGACCCACCAUAUUGUUGGGCUAACUUGUGGGCCUACUAAGUUAACGGGGACGGAGGGCUUUGUCAACUUAGUCAAUACUCCAGUGAUCGUCUGAUGUCCAUCCAACGGCCAUAGUGCUUCUUCAACCUCUGGUCUUCUUGCUCCAGUCGCCCAAAGUAGCACCAGUCGUGCCGCGUGCUCCUGCCUCCCAUGGGCGACUAUGCUACCGCCUGCUCCUACCUCCUGUGGCCCGGCUCUGCGUCGUCCCCUUCCUAGGCCUCGCCGUCGUCCACUGCCGUGGUGCUCUCGGCGCGGCGUGGUCAAUGUGGUCAAUGACCGACUUCCAUUGGAAGAGUACUGUACAUGGAGAGGCUGACAGCUGGGUCCACGGCAGCCGCAAGGAGGUGCCUCCUUAUUAUGCAAAAAAUAAUUAUUCCUCCACCUGACAGCGGGGACCCACCGGACGGGCCACCAGUAUUUUGCAAAAAAAUCGUUUCCCCUGACUGUUGGGACCCACCGGACGGGCCACCGUAUUUCGCGAAAAAAAGGUGCCCCCGCUGUCAGCUCGGACCCACCGGAAGUGCCUCCUUAUUACGCACAAAAAAAUGAAUACUCCCCCAGCUAGCAGGGACCCACCUUGGUGGGAGGCUGUCUUGUGGGCCUACUAAGUUGACGGGGACAAAGGGCUUUCUCAACUUAGUCAAUAUGAACGAUUCUAGCUCCAGUGACCGCACGAUGUCCAUCCAAUGGCCGUAGUGCUUCUUCAACCUCUGGUCUUCUUGCUCCAGCCGCCCAAAGCAGCACCGGUCGUGCUGCAUGCUCAUGCCUCCCGUGGCCGGUUGUGCUGCCGCGGAGGCCUCACCGCCCCCUACUAUUCCCACCGCUGGCCAGGCCCUGCAGCGACGGCAGCCUCACACCGCAGCCGAACCAGUGAACCCUCGUACUCCUCUCCGUGCGGGCUUCCACUGCCGCCUCUUCCCUGGCUCCGCGUCGUCCUCUUCCUAGGCCUCGUCGUCUUCCACUGCCGUGGUGCUCUCCGCACGGCGUGGUCAACAUGGUCAAGGAACGACUUCCAUUGGAAGAGUACUGUACGUGGAGAGGCUGAUAGCUGGGUCCGCGGCCACAACCCAGUUUUUUUGUGAUUUGCCAAGUAGGUCGCUUUGUCAGGCAUGUUGGGCUGUAAAUCUUUCAAGACAAGGAGAGCUUUCAUUCGGCUAGCUGAGAAAAUGGCCCAUCAGUAAUGAGAAAUGGGUUGUACAUUUUCAAAACACAUCAAACCGGCAGUUAGUUUCAAAUAUAUUUCUUUUCAUUUCAAGAUUUUAAAUUACAUUAAUUUUUAUGCGUGGAGAAUUUGUUGGAUUUUAUAUUGAUAUACAUUUAUUUUUAAAAUUAGUUUGAGUGUGACUCAAAAUUUCGAGAUUAAAAACAGUUCGGACCGCACCGAAAUAUGCAAAAUUUCGUAUAAUUUUUUAACCAUGGCCACAAUAUGGGUUGUAAUGCUAACAAAAAGAAUAUGGGCUCCAAAAAAAACCUUAAGAAUUAGCAAAUGGGCUGUAAAUUAUUAGAAAGAAUGGCAGAUGGGUUGUAUGCUGUUUCCCACAGAUUUGAGGCUUUCCUAAAAAAAGGUUGAUGCACAAGCAGUGACGGUUGGAUGUCCAUCCAACGGCCGUCGUGCUUCUUCAAUCUCUAUUCUUCCUGCUCCAGCCGCUCAAACAAGCGCCAGCGGGACUGCCUGCUCCCUCCUCCCCGCGGCCGGCUGUGCUGCCGCGCAGGCCUUACCGCCCCACCGUACUCCCAUCGCUGGCCUAGCCAUCCCUCUACUCACCCACACCUGUCGUUAUUCUCCGGCGACGGCAGACGAACCAGUAAACCCUCGUACAGUCAUACUCCCCUCCGCGUGGGAAACAACUACCGAGUCUUCCCUGCCUCCAUGUCGUCCCCUUCCUAGGCCUCACCAUCGUCCACCGCCGUGGUGCUCUCGGCGCGGCGUGGUCAAUGUGGUCAACGACUGACUUCCAUCGGAAGAGUAUUGUGCGUGGAGAGGCUGACAGCUGGGUCCACGGCCGCAGCAAGGAAUUGCCUCCUUAUUACGUGCAAAAUAAUUAUUCCUCCACCUGACAGCGCGAACCCACCGGACGGGCCACCGUAUUUCGCGAAAAAAAAGUUUUCCCCCUGACUGCUGGGACCCACCAGCUACACCUUCGCACGCAAGGAAGUGCGUCCGGGAAAAAAUGAUUCACCCCUUGACUGUUGGGACCCACCAGCUACAUCUUCGCACGCAAGGAAGUGCGUCCGGGUAAAAAAACGAUUCGCCCCCCUGACUGCUGGGACCCACUAGCUACAUCUUCGCAGGCAAGGAAGUGUCUGACAGUCGGGACCCACCUGGUCGAAGCGUACGCAGCGUUGUCAUUCUGGUCGCGAACGUGUGCGUACAUAUAUACUGGUGGAUGUAGAGGCGCGCACGUGUCAUAGUAGAGGCGCGCACGUAGCAUGUACACGUACGUACAGCAGCCAGGGUGCAAGAAAGAAAAUACGGCCACAUAUGUGUACAUACGGGCAGGGUCUCGAACGCCUACUCGCGCAUACGUACGGCGAGGGCUCAUGUACAUGGCUGGGUCGGAACGGAGAAAUAGCGUCGUCGUCGUGUUCAUGGGGAGGCAACGGAAUGCGUCGUGUUCAUGGGGAGGCAACGGAAUGCGUCGUGUUCAUGGGAAGGCAACGGAAUGCAUCGUGUUCAUCGGGAGGCAACGAAACGCGUGGGAGCCAACCGGCUGGGUCGGAAUGGAAUGUGUAGUCAUGUUCAUCGGGAGGGCUUGGAUGGAACAGGCGAUGGAAACGAGGCCUGGCAUACCGCAGAACGGAGGAAAUGUACCUCCUACGUUCGGAACGGGGUCCUGUUGAUCGGGAGGGGUGUGGCGUACCGCAAAAUGGAGGAAACGGACCUCCUACUGUCAAAACGGGGGUCCUGUUGAUCGGGAGGGGUGUGGCAUACCGCAAAAUGGAGGAAACAGACCUCCUACGAUCGAAACGGGGGUCUUGUUGAUCGGGACGGGUGUGGCGUACCGCAAAACGGACGAAACGGACCUCCUACGAUCGAAACAGGGGUCCUAUUCAUCGGGAGGGGUGUGGCGUACCGCAAAAUGGGACUCCACGGGAUACUAUUCAUCUCCACCGUCGACCUCCUCUAGCCUCCACGGGCUCCUGUUCAUCCAGCCUCCACCGCGUGCUACUCCACCGGCUACUGUUCAACCACCCCUCGACCGUCUACUGUUCAUCCAGCCNNNNNNNNNNNNNNNNNNNNNNNNNNNNNNNNNNNNNNNNNNNNNNNNNNNNNNNNNNNNNNNNNNNNNNNNNNNNNNNNNNNNNNNNNNNNNNNNNNNNNNNNNNNNNNNNNNNNNNNNNNNNNNNNNNNNNNNNNNNNNNNNNNNNNNNNNNNNNNNNNNNNNNNNNNNNNNNNNNNNNNNNNNNNNNNNNNNNNNNNNNNNNNNNNNNNNNNNNNNNNNNNNNNNNNNNNNNNNNNNNNNNNNNNNNNNNNNNNNNGGCUUCAGUUAGCAGCAGUAGCGAAGGAAUCGCUCCAUCGGGUUCAGUUAACAGCCAUCGAUCGAUCGCUCGGGUUCAGUAACGCAUAGCCUGCAGUGCAAUCGCUCGGGUUUAGUUAGAGCCCAACGCCUCGCUCGGGUUUAGUUAGAGCCCAACGCCUCGCUCGGGUUCAGUUAGAGCCAAUGCCUCGCACACACGCGCGUACGUGUAUGAGAGAAACGCGCAUCGCUCGUCCCUCGACCUCCCACCGUAACCGGCAACUCCCCGAAAUUUUCCUCCCCCUCGCUUCUACCACGGUUUUUUCCGUCAUGGACGGCCCAAAGAAUGUCAUGCAUCUGCGUCUCCGGCCCGCCCAGGACGAAAAGCCCACUUUCUGUCAUGACUUUUUGUCAUAGAAGUAGGAGCCCACCACAUCUAUGAUGAUACCGGGUUUUGUCACAAUUAUCGUCAUAGAAGUGUCAUAUGUAUGACAGGAAAAAAAUUCGUUCGGCCCAAAAUGUCACGGAUGUGUCUUUUUUUUGUAGUGUAGUGUGGAUUACUCCUUGUAGUUGAUACUAAUUGGUUUAUUUGGUGGAAGAUCAUAUGUUCAGAUCCUUUAUGCAUAUUAUUACUCCUCUGAUUAUGAACAUGAAUAUGCUUUGUGAGUAGUUAUGUUUGUUCCUGAGGACAUGGGGUGAAGUCUUGCUAUUAGUAGUCAUGUGAAUUUCGUAUUCGUUCGAUAUUUUGAUGAGAUGUAUGUUGUCUUUCCCUCUAGUGGUGUUAUGUGAACGUCGACUACAUGACACUUACCAUUAUUUGGGCCUAGAGGAAGGCAUGGGGAAGUAAUAAGUAGAUGAUGGGUUGCUAGAGUGACAGAAGCUUAAACCCUAGUUUAAGCUUCGUUAGGGGUUGUUAUGGAUCCAUAUGUUUAAUGUUGUGGUUAGGUUUACCUUAAUACUUCUUUUGUAGUUGUGGAUGCUUGCAAUAGGGGUUAAUCAUAAGUGGGAUGCUUGUCCAAGUUAGUGUUGGAAAUAUGCCCUAGAGGCAAUAAUAAAUUGGUUAUUAUUAUAUUUCCUUGUUCAUGAUAAUCGUUUAUUAUCCAUGCAAUAAUUGUAUUGAUAGGAAACUCAGAUAAAUGUGUGGGUACAUAGACAACACCAUGUCCCUAGUAAGCCUCUAGUUGACUAGCUCAUUGAUCAACAGAUGGUUACGGUUUCCUAACCAUGGACAUUGGAUGUCGUUGAUAACGGGAUCACAUCAUUAGGAGAAUGAUGUGAUGGACAAGACCCAAUUCUAAGCCUAGCACAAAGAUCGUAGUUCGUAUGCUAAAGCUUUUCUAAUGUCAAGUAUCAUUUCCUUAGACCAUGAGAUUGUGCAACUCCCAGAUACCGUAGGAAUGCUUUGGGUGCACCAAACGUCACAACAUAACUGGGUGGCUAUAAAGGUGCACUACGGGUAUCUCCGAAAGUGUCUGUUGGGUUGGCACGAAUCGAGACUGGGAUUUGUCACUCCGUCUAAACGGAGAGGUAUCUCUAGGCCCACUCGGUAGGACAUCAUCAUAAUGUGCACAAUGUGACCAAGUGGUUGAUCACGGGAUGAUGUGUUACGGAACGAGUAAAGAGACUUGCCGGUAACGAGAUUGAACAAAGUAUUGGCAUACCGAUGAUCGAAUCUUAGGCAAGUAUAAUACCGCUAGACAAAGGGAAUUGUAUACGGGAUUGAUAAAAUCCUCGACAUCAUGGUUCAUCCGAUGAGAUCAUCAUGGAACAUGUGGGAGCCAACAUGGGUAUCCAGAUCCCGCUGUUGGUUACUGACCGAAAACGUCUCGGUCAUGUCUGCAUGGUUCUCAAACCCGUAGGGUCUACACACUUAAGGUUCGAUGACGCUAGGGUUAUAAAGGAAGUUUGUAUGUGGUUACCGAAUGUUGUUCGGAGUCCCGGAUGAGAUCCCGGACGUCACGAGGAGUUUCAGAAUGGUCUGGAGGUAAAGAUUUAUAUAUGGGAAGUCCUGUUUUGGUCACCGGAAAAGUUUCGGGUUUUAUCGGUAACGUACCGAGACCACCGCGAGGGUCCCGAGGGUCCACCAAGUGGGGCCACCAUCCUCGGAGGGCUGCAUGGGCCAAGUGUGGGAGGGGACCAGCCCCAAGUGGGCUGGUGCGCCCUCCCCCCCACAAGGGCCCAAGGCGCCUAGGGUUUGGGGAGGGGGCGCACCCACGUUUCUUGGGGGCAAGUUUCCCCUCUCCCCCCUUGGCCGCCCCCCUAGAUGGGAUCUAGGGCUGGCCGCCGCCCCUAGCGGUGGAACCCUAGGUGGGGGCGCAGCCCCCCCUCUCCCCCUAUAUAUAGUGGAGGCAAAGGGGCAGCCCAACACACGAAGUUCUUCUCCAGUUGGCGCAGUCCUACCUCUCUUUCUCCUCAUAUCUCGCGGUGCUUGGCGAAGCCCUGCUGGAUCACCACGCUGCUCCACCACCACCACGCUGUUGUGCUGCUGCUGGAUGGAGUCUUCCCCAACCUCUCCCUCUCUCCUUGCUGGAUCAAGGCAUGGGAGACGUCACCGGGCUGUACGUGUGUUGAACGCGGAGGUGUCGUCCGUUCGGCACUAGGAUCUCCGGUGAUUUGGAUCACGACGAGUACGACUCCUUCAACCCCGUUCUCUUGAACGCUUCCUCUUAGCGAUCUACAAGGGUAUGUAGAUGCACUCUCCUUCCCCUCGUUGCUGGUUUCUCCAUAGAUAGAUCUUGGUGACACAUAGGAAAAUUUUGAAUUAUUGCUACAUUACCCAACAGUGGCAUCAUGAGCUAGGUCUAUUGCGUAGAUUCUUUGCACGAGUAGAACACAAAGUAGUUGUGGGCGUUGAUUUUGUUCAAUAUGCUUACCGUUACUAGUCCAAUCUUGUUUCGACGGUAUUGUGGGAUGAAGCGGCCCGAACCGACCUUACACGUACACUUACGUGAGACAGGUUCCACCGACUGACAUGCACUUGGUGCAUAAGGUGGCUAGCGGGUGUCAGUCUCUCCCACUUUAGUCAGAACGGAUUCGAUGAAAAGGGUCCUUAUGAAGGGUAAAUAGCAAUUGGCAUAUCACGUUGUGGUUUUGCGUAGGUAAGGAACAUUCUUGCUAGAAACCCAUAGCAGCCACGUAAAACAUGCAAACAACAAUUAGAGGACGUCUAACUUGUUUUUGUAGGGUAUGUUAUGUGAUGUGAUAUGGUCAAAAGAAUGUGAUUAAUGAUAUGUGAUGUAUGAGAUUGAUCAUGUUCUUGUAAUAGGAAUCACGACUUGCAUGUCGAUGAGUAUGACAACCGGCAGGAGCCACAGGAGUUGUCUUAAUUUAUUGUAUGACCUGCGUGUCAUUGAACAAACGCCAUGUAAUUACUUUACUUUAUUGCUAACCGGUAGCCAUAGUAGUAGAAGUAAUAAGUUGGCGAGACAACUUCAUGGAGACACGAUGAUGGAGAUCAUGAUGAUGGAGAUCAUGGUGUCAUGCCAGUGACAAUGAUGAUCAUGGAGCCCCGAAGAUGGAGAUCAAAAGGAGCAAAAUGAUAUUGGCCAUAUCAUGUCACUAUUUGAUUGCAUGUGAUGUUUAUCAUGUUUAUACAUCUUAUUUGCUUAGAUCGACGGUAGUAAAUAAGAUGAUCCCUCAUUAAAAUUUCAAGAAAGUGUUCCCCCUAACUGUGCACCAUUGCGAAAGUUCGUCGUUUCGAAGCACCACGUGAUGAUCGGGUGUGAUAGAUUCUAACGUUCACAUACAACGGGUGUAAGCCAAAUUUACACAUGCGAAACACUUAGGUUAGCUUGACGAGCCUAUCAUGUACAGACAUGGCCUCGGAACACAAGAGACCGAAAGGUCGAGCAUGAGUCGUAUGGUGGAUACGAUCAACAUGAAGAUGUUCACCGAUGAUGACUAGUCCGUCUCACGUCAUGAUCGGACACGGCCUAGUUGACUCGGAUCAUGUAAUCACUUAGAUGACUGGAGGGAUGUCUAUAUGAGUGGGAGUUCAUUAGAUGAACUUAAUUAUCCUGAACAUAGUCAAAAGCCCUUUGCAAAUUAUGUCAUAGCUCGCGCUUAGUUCUACUAUUUUAGAUAUGUUCCUAGAGAAAAUAUAGUUGAAAGUUGACAGUAGCAAUUAUGCAGACAAUAGAAGGCUUAUGUCCUUAAUGCACCGCUCGGUAUGCUGGACCUCGAACGUGGUCUGUGGAUGUUGUGAACAUCUGACAUACAUGUUUUGAUGACUACAUGAUAGUUCGGUAAUGUUAAAUGGUUUAGAGUUGAGGCACCGAAGACAUUUUUGAAAUGUCGCGGAACAUAUGAGAUGUUUCGAGGGCUGAAAUUGGGAUUUCAGGCUCGUGCCCAAGUCAAGAGGUAUAAGACCUCCGACGAUUUUCUUAGCCUGCAAACUAAGGGAGAAAAGCUCAAUCGUUGAGCUUGUGCUCAGAUUGUCUGAGUACAACAAUCACUUGAAUCGAGUGGGAGUUGAUCUUCCAGAAGAGACAGUGAUGUUUCUCCAAAGUCAUUGCCACCAAGCUGCUAGAGCUACGUGAUGAACUAUAACAUAUCAGGGAUAGAUAUGAUGAUCCUUGAAGUGUUCGUGAUGUUUGACACCGCGAAAAUAGAAGUCAAGUAGGAGCAUCAAUUGUUGAUGGUUGGUAAAACCACUAGUUUCAAGAAGGGCAAGGGCAACAAGGGAUACUUCAUGAAAUAGCAAAACAGUUGCUGCUCUAGUGAAGAAACCCAAGGUAGAACCCAAACCCGAGAAUAAGUGCUUCUGUAAUGAGAGGAACGGACACUGAAGCAGAACCACCCUAGAUACUUGGUAGAUGAGAAGGCUGGCAAGGUCGAUAGAAGUAUAUUGGAUAUACAUUGAAUUAAAUGUGUACUUUACUAGUACUCCCAAUAGCACCAGGGUAUUAGAUACCGGUUUGGUUUCUAAGUGUUAGUAACUCGAAAUAAAAGGCUACGGAAUAAACGGAGACUAGCUAAAGGUGAGCUGGCGAUAUGUGUUGGAAGUGUUUCCAAGGUUGAUGUGAUCAAGCAUCGCACGCUCCCUCUACCAUCGAGAUUGGUGCUAAACCUGAAUAGUGUUAUUUGGUGUUUGCAUUGAGCAUAGACAUGAUUGGAUUAUGUCUAUCGCAAUGUUGUUAUUCAUUUAAGGAGAAUAAUGGUAACUCUAUUUAUUUGAAUAAUACCUUCAAUGGUCUUACACCUAAAAGAAUGGUUUAUUGAAUCUCGAUCGUAGUGAUACACAUUUUCAUGCCAAAAGAUAUAAGAUAGUAAUGAUAGUACCACUUACUUGUGGCACUGCCAUGUAAGUCAUAUUGGUAUAAAACGCAUGAAGAAGCUCCAUGUUGAUGGAUCUUUGGACUCACUCGUUUUUUGAAAAGUUUGAGACAUGCAAACCAUGUCUAUUGGUGUAUACGCAUGAAGAAACUCCAUGCAGAUGGAUCGCUUGGACUCACUUGAUUUUGAAUCACUUGAGAUAUGCAAAUUAUACCACAUGGGCAAGAUGACUGAAAAAGCCUCGUUUUCAGUAAGAUGGAACAAGAUAGCAACUUGUUGGAAGUAACACAUUUUGAUGUGUGUAGUCCAAUGAGUGUUGAGGCAUGCAGUGAAUAUCAUUAUGUUCUUACUUCACAGAUGAUUCGAGUAGAUGUUGAGUAUAUUUACUUGAUGAAACACAAGUCUAAAUUAUUGAAUGAUUCAAGUAAUUUCAGAAUGAAGAUCAUUGUGACAAGAGGAUAAAAUGUCUAUGAUAUGAUCAUAGAGAUGAGUAUCUGAGUUACGAGCUUUGGCACGCAAUUAAGACAUUGUGGAAAUUGUUUCACAAUUAAUACCGUCUGGAACACCAUAGUGUGAUGGUGUGUCCGAACAUCAUAGUUGCACCCUAUUGGAUAUGGUGCGUAGCAUGAUGUCUCUUAUCGAAUUACCACUAUCGUUCAUGGGUUAGGCAUUAGAGACAACCACACUCACUUUAAUAAGGGCACCACGUAAUUCCGUUGAGACGACACCGUUUGAACUAUGGUUUGGAGAAACCUAAGUUGUCGUUUCUUAAAAAGUUUGGGGCUGCGACGCUUAUGUGAAAAAGUUUCAUCGUGAUAAGCUCGAACCCAAAAUGGAUAAAUACAUCUUCAUAGGAUACCCAAAAUGGUUGGGUAUGCCUCCUAUCUCAGAUCCGGAAGCAAAAGUAAUUGUUUCUAAAACGGGUCCUUUCUCGAGGAAAAGUUUCUCUCGAAAGAAUUGAGUGGGAGGUGGAGACUUGAUGAAGUUAUUGAAUCAUCACUUCAACCAAUGUGUAGCAGGGCACAGGAAGUUGUUCAUGUGGCACCUACACCAAUUGAAGUGGAAGCUGAUGAUAGUGAUCAUGAUGCUUCGGAUCAAGUCACUACCGAACCUCAUAGGACGACUAGGACGCGUACUGCUUCGGAGUGGUACGGUAAUCCUGUCUUGGAGGUCAUGUUGCUAGACAACAAUGAACCUACGAGCUAUGGAGAAGCGAUGGUGGGCCCGGAUUCUGACAAAUGGCUUGAGGCCAUAAAAUCCGAGAGAGGAUCCAUGUAUACAAAGCAUGGACUUUGGUGGUCUUGCUCGAUGAUCGGCAAGCCAUUGAGAUAAAUGGGUCUUUAAGAAGAAAACGGACAUGGACGGUAAUGUCACCGUCUAUGAAGCUCGACUUGUGGCGAAGAGUUUUUUCACAAGUUCAAGGAGUUGACUACGAUGAGAUUUUCUCAUCCAUAGCGAUGUUUAAGUCCGUUGGAAUCAUGUUAGCAUAAGUUGCAUUUAUGAAAUCUGGCAGAUGGAUGUCAAAACAAGUUUACUUACCAGUUUUUCGUGAGGAAAGGUUGUAUGUGAUACAACCAGAAGGUUUUGACAAUCCUGAAAGACGCUAACAAGUAUGCAAAGCUCUAGCAAUCCUUCUGAGGACUGGAGUAAGCAUCUCGGAGUUGGAAUGUACGCUUUGAUGAGAUGAUCAAAGAUUUUGGGUUUAUACAAAGUUUAUGAGAAACUUGUAUUUCCAAAGAAGUGAGUGGGAGCACUAUAGAAUUUCUGAUGAGUAUAUGUUGUUGACAUAUUGUUGAUCAGAAAUAACAUAGAAUUUCUGGAAAGCAUAUAGGGUUAUUUGAAAAGUGUUUUUCAAUAGAAAACCUGAAUUAAGCUGCUUGAACAUUGAGCAUCAAGAUCUAUGAGGAUAGAUCAAAAACGCUAAAUGGUACUUUCAAAUGAGCACAUACCUUGACAUGAUCUUGAAGGUGUUUAAGAUGGAUCAGUAAAAGAAGGAGUUCUUGCCUGAGUUGUAAGGUAUGAAGUUAAGAGUUAAAGCUCGACCAUGGCAGAAGAGAGAGAAAGGACGAAGGUCGUCCCCUAUGCUUCAGACAUAGGCUCUAUAGUAUGCUAUGCUGUGUACCGCACCGGAAGUGUGCCUUGCCAUGAGUCAGUCAAGGGGUACAAGAAUGAUCCAGGGAUGGAUCAUUGGACAGCGGUCAAAAAUUGUCCUUGGAGUAAAUAAAUGACAUGUUUCUCGGUUAUGGAGGUGAUAAAGAGUUCGGCGUAAAGGGUUACGUCGAUGUAAGCUUUAACACCUAUCCGAAUGACUCUGAGUAGCAAACCGGAUACGUAUAGUGGAGCGACCAUUUGGAAUAGCUCCAAGUGGAGCAUGGAAGCAGCAUUUACAAUAUGACCUAGAGAUUUGCGAAAUACAUACGGAUCUGAAUGUUACAGACCCGUUGACUAAAACCUCUCUCACAAGCAAAACAUGAUCAAACCCCAGAACUCAUUGAGUCUUAAUCACAUGGUGAUGUGAAAUAGUUUAGUGACACUAGUAAACUCUUUGGAUGUUGGUCACAUGGCGAUGUGACCUAUCAGUGUUAAUCACAUGGCGAUGUGAACUAGAUUAUUGACUCUAGUGCAAGUGGGAGACUGUUGGAAAUAUGCCCUAGAGGCAAUACUGAAUUGGUUAUUAUUAUAUUUCCUUGUUCAUGAUAAUCGUUUAUUAUCCAUGCAAUAAUUGUAUUGAUAGGAAACUCAGAUAAAUGUGUGGGUACAUAGACAACACCAUGUCCCUAGUAAGCCUCUAGUUGACUAGCUCAUUGAUCAACAGAUGGUUACGGUUUCCUGACCAUGGACAUUGGAUGUCGUUGAUAACGGGAUCACAUCAUUAGGAGAAUGAUGUGAUGGACAAGACCCAAUUCUAAGCCUAGCACAAAGAUCGUAGUUCGUAUGCUAAAGCUUUUCUAAUGUCAAGUAUCAUUUCCUUAGACCAUGAGAUUGUGCAACUCCCAGAUACCGUAGGAAUGCUUUGGGUGCACCAAACGUCACAACAUAACUGGGUGGCUAUAAAGGUGCACUACGGGUAUCUCCAAAAGUGUCUGUUGGGUUGGCACGAAUCGAGACUGGGAUUUGUCACUCCGUCUAAACGGAGAGGUAUCUCUAGGCCCACUCGGUAGGACAUCAUCAUAAUGUGCACAAUGUGACCAAGUGGUUGAUCACGGGAUGAUGUGUUACGGAACGAGUAAAGAGACUUGCCGGUAACGAGAUUGAACAAAGUAUUGGCAUACCGAUGAUCGAAUCUUAGGCAAGUAUAAUACCGCUAGACAAAGGGAAUUGUAUACGGGAUUGAUAAAAUCCUCGACAUCAUGGUUCAUCCGAUGAGAUCAUCAUGGAACAUGUGGGAGCCAACAUGGGUAUCCAGAUCCCGCUGUUGGUUACUGACCGGAAACGUCUCGGUCAUGUCUGCAUGGUUCUCAAACCCGUAGGGUCUACACACUUAAGGUUCGAUGACGCUAGGGUUAUAAAGGAAGUUUGUAUGUGGUUACCGAAUGUUGUUCGGAGUCCCGGAUGAGAUCCCGGACGUCACGAGGAGUUUCAGAAUGGUCUGGAGGUAAAGAUUUAUAUAUGGGAAGUCCUGUUUUGGUCACCGGAAAAGUUUCGGGUUUUAUCGGUAACGUACCGAGACCACCGCGAGGGUCCCGAGGGUCCACCAAGUGGGGCCACCAUCCUCGGAGGGCUGCAUGGGCCAAGUGUGGGAGGGGACCAGCCCCAAGUGGGCUGGUGCGCCCUCCCCCCCACAAGGGCCCAAGGCGCCUAGGGUUUGGGGAGGGGGCGCACCCACGUUUCUUGGGGGCAAGUUUCCCCUCUCCCCCCUUAGCCGCCCCCCUAGAUGGGAUCUAGGGCUGGCCGCCGCCCCUAGCGGUGGAACCCUAGGUGGGGGCGCAGCCCCCCCUCUCCCCCUAUAUAUAGUGGAGGCAAAGGGGCAGCCCAACACACGAAGUUCUUCUCCUGUUGGCGCAGUCCUACCUCUCUUUCUCCUCAUAUCUCGCGGUGCUUGGCGAAGCCCUGCUGGAUCACCAUGCUGCUCCACCACCACCACGCUGUUGUGCUGCUGCUGGAUGGAGUCUUCCCCAACCUCUCCCUCUCUCCUUGCUGGAUCAAGGCAUGGGAGACGUCACCGGGCUGUACGUGUGUUGAACGCGGAGGUGCCGUCCGUUCGGCACUAGGAUCUCCGGUGAUUUGGAUCACGACGAGUACGACUCCUUCAACCCCGUUCUCUUGAACGCUUCCUCUUAGCGAUCUACAAGGGUAUGUAGAUGCACUCUCCUUCCCCUCGUUGCUGGUUUCUCCAUAGAUAGAUCUUGGUGACACGUAGGAAAAUUUUGAAUUAUUGCUACGUUACCCAACAGUUAGGGCAGUACCCAAGUACCGGUCCCCGCACAUAUCAAAUUAUCGAAGUACCGAACGCGGAUCAUUUGAGCGUGAUGAAAACUAGCUUGACGAUAAUUCCCAAUGUGUCCUCGGGAGCUCCUUUCUCAUUAUUAGAAAUUGUCCAGGCUUAUCCUUUGCUACAUAAAGGAUUGGGCCAACUUGCUGCACUUCAUUUACUUUAUUUACUUGUUCCUCAUUACUAUUUAUCUUAUCACAAAACUAUCUAUUACCUACAAUUUCAGUGCUUGCAUAGAAAACCUUACUGAAAACUGCUUAUCGUUUCCUCGUUGGGUUCGACACUCUUACUUAUCGAAAGGACUAUGAUAGAUCCCCUAUACUUGUGGGUCAUCAAGACUCUUUUUUGGCGCCGUUGCCGGGGAUUGUAGCGCUUUUGGUGAGUGGAACUUGGUAAGGAAACAUUUAUAUAGUGUGCUGAAAUUUUCUGUUACUUGUCACUAUGGAAACUAAUCCUUUGAGGGGCCUGUUUGGGGUAUCUUCACCCCAACCAGAAGAGCAAAUAGUUGCUCCUCAACCUAUUGAACUUGAUGAAAAUAUUUAUUUUGAGAUUCCUUCGGGUAUGAUAGAGAAACUGCUAGCUAAUCCAUUUGCAGGAGAUGGAACAUUGCAUCCCGAUUUACACCUUAUCUUUGUGGAUGAAGUUUGUGGAUUAUUUAAGCUUGCAGGUAUUCCCGAUGAUGUUGUCAAAAGGAAGGUCUUCCCUUUAUCUUUGAAGGGAGAUGCAAUGACAUGGUAUAGGCUAUGUGAUGAUACAAGAUCUUGGAAUUGUAAGCGAUUGAAGUUGGAAUUUCACCAGAAGUUCUAUCCUAUGCAUCUUGUUCAUCGUGAUCGUAAUUACAUAUAUAAUUUCUGGCCUCGCGAAGGAGAAAGCAUCGCUCAAGCUUGGGUGAGGCUUAAGUCAAUGUUAUAUUCAUGCCCCAAUCAUGAGCUCUCUCAGGAAAUGAUUAUUCAGAAUUUCUAUGCUCGGCUUUCUCUUGAUAAUCGCAACUUGCUCGAUACUUCCUGUGUUGGUUCUUAUAUGCUGAAGACUAUUGAUUUCAAAUGGGACUUAUUGGAAAGAAUUAAACGCAGCUCUGAAGAUUGGGGUUCCGACGAUGGUAAGGAGUCAGGUAUGACACCUAAGUUCAAUUGUGUUAAAUAUUUUAUGGAUACCGAUGUUUUUCGUGGAUUUAGCACUAAGUAUGGACUUGACUCUGAGAUAGUAGCUACUUUUUGUGAAUCUUUUGCUACUCACGUUGAUCUCCCUAAAUAGAAGUGGUUUAAAUAUAAUCCUCCUGUUGAAGUGAAAGUAGUUGCACCUAUUACAGUCGAAGAAAAGACUAUUACCUAUAGUGAUCCUAUUGUUCCUACUGCUUAUGUUGAAAAGCCUCCUUUUCCUGUUAGGAUAAAGGAUCAUGCCAAAGCUUCGACUGUUGUUCGUAAGAGUAAUACUAGGACUUCUACACCUCCUGAGCAAAUUAAUGUUGAACCUAGUAUUGCUAUGGUUAAAUAUCUCUUGGAUGAGGACUUAGAUGGGCAUGUUAUUUCUUUCUUGGGUGAGACUGCUAAUAUUGCUAGACCUGAUACUAAGACACGUAGACCUGUUGUAGGCACGCUUGUUAUUUCUGUUAAAAUAGGAGAUCAUUGUUAUCAUUGCUUAUGUGAUAUGGGUGCCAGUGCUAGUGCGAUACCUUAUGAUCUUUAUAAAGAAAUUAUGCACGACAUUGCACCCAUUGAAUUAGAAGACAUUGAUGUUACUAUUAAGCUUGCUAAUAGGGAUACCAUUAAACCUAUCGGGAUUGUUAGAGAUGUUGAAGUUUUGUGUGGGAAGGUUAAAUACCCUGCUGAUUUUCUUGUUCUUGCUUCCCCACAAGAUGCCUUUUGUCCCAUUAUUUUUGGUAGACCCUUCUUGAAUACUACUAGUGCUAAGAUUAAUUAUGAAAGGAAUAUUGUUACUGUUGGCAUAGAUGGUAUGUCUCAUGAGUUUAAUUUUGCUAAAUUUAGUAGACAACCUCGUGAAAGGGAACCACCUAGUAAGGAUGAGAUUAUUGGUCUUGCUUCCAUUGCUGUUCCUCCAACUGAUCCUUUAGAACAAUAUUUGCUAGACCAUGAAAAUGAUAUCUUUAUGAAGGAAAGGGAAUAAAUAGAUGAAGUGUUCCUUAAACAGGAACCUAUGCUGAAACAUAACCUUCCCGUUAAAAUUCUUAGGGAUCCCCCUCCACCCAAGGGUGAUCCCGUGUUUGAACUCAAACCAUUACCUGAUAAUCUUAAGUAUGCUUAUCUUGAUGAAAAAGAAAUAUAUCCUACUAUUAUUAGUGCUAACCUUUCAGAUAAAGAAGAAGAAAGAUUAUUGAAAACUCUGAAGAAGCACCGUGCAGCUAUUGGAUAUACUCUGGACGAUCUUAAGGGCAUUAGUCCCACAUUAUGUCAACACAAGAUUUCAGUGGAGAAAGAUGCCAAACCAGUUAGAGAUCCUCAAAGAUGACUAAAUCCCAAGAUGAAGGAAGUGGUAAGAAAGGAGAUACUAAAGCUCCUUGAGGCGGGUAUUAUUUACCCCGUUGCUGAUAGUGAAUGGGUAAGCCCUGUCCAUUGUGUCCCUAAAAGGGAGGUAUUACCGUCAUUCCUAAUGAUAAAGAUGAAUUGAUCCCGCAAAGAAUUAUUACAGGUUAUAGGAUGGUAAUCGAUUUCUGUAAGUUAAAUAAAGCUACUAAGAAAGAUCAUUACCCUUUACCUUUUAUUGAUCAAAUGCUAGAAAGGCUAUCCAAACACACACAUUUUUGCUUUCUAGAUGGUUAUUCUGGUUUCUCUCAGAUACCUAUGUCAGCGAAGGAUCAAUCUAAAACUACUUUUACUUUCCCUUUUGGUACUGCUUAUAGACGUAUGCCUUUUGGUUUAUGUAAUGCACCUGCUACCUUUCAAAGAUGCAUGAUGGCUAUAUUCUCUGAUUUUUGUGAAAAGAUUUGUGAGGUAUUCAUGGAUGAAUUCUCCGUCUAUGGAUCCUCCUUUGAUGAUUGUUUGAGCAACCUUGAUCGAGUUUUGCAUAGAUGCGAAGACACUAGUCUCGUCCUGAAUUGGGAAAAGUGUCACUUUAUGGUUAAUGAAGGCAUUGUCUUGGGGCACAAGAUCUCCAAGAGAGGUAUUGAAGUUGAUAAAGCCAAAGUUGAUGCUAUUGAAAAGAUGCCAUGUCCCAAGGACAUAAAAGGUAUAAGAAGUUUCCUUGGUCAUGCUGGUUUUUAUAGGAGGUUCAUUAAGGACUUUUCUAAAAUCUCUAGGCCUCUGACUAAUUUAUUGCAAAAAGAUAUCCCUUUUAUCUUUGAUGAUGAUUGUGUAGAAGCUUUUGAAACACUUAAGAAAACUUUGAUCACUGCACCUAUUCUUAAGCCACCUGAUUGGAAUUUACCUUUUGAAAUUAUGUGUGAUGCUAGUAAUUAUGCUGUAGGUGUUGUUCUUGGGCAAAGAGUUGAUAAGAAAUUGAAUGUCAUCCAGUAUGCUAGUAAGACUCUUGAUACUUCCCAGAGGAAUUAUGCUACUACUAAAAAAGAGUUCUUAGCAGUUGUGUUUGCAUGUGAUAAGUUUAGACCUUAUAUUGUUGAUUCCAAAGUUACUAUUCACACUGAUCAUGCUGCUAUUAAAUAUCUUAUGGAAAAGAAAGAUGCUAAGCCUCGACUUAUUAGAUGGGUUCUCUUGCUCCAAGAAUUUUACCUGCAUAUUAUUGAUAGAAAAGGAGCUGAGAACCCCGUUGCAGAUAACUUGUCUAGGUUAGAGAAUGUUCUUGAUGACCCACUGCCUAUUAAUGAUAGCUUUCCUGAUGAACAAUUAGCGGUCGUCAAUGCUUCUCGUACUGCUCCUUGGUAUGCUGAUUAUGCUAAUUAAUUGUUGCUAAAUUUAUACCGCCUAGUUUCACAUACCAGCAAAAGAAAAAGUUCUUUUAUGAUUUAAGACAUUACUUCUGGGAUGAUCCACACCUUUAUAAAGAAGGAGUAGAUGGUGUUAUUAGACGUCGUGUGCCUGAGCAUGAACAUGAACAGAUUCUAUGUAAGUGUCACUCUGAAUCUUAUGGAGGACACCACGCUGGAGAUAGAACUGCACACAAGGUACUACAAUCUGGUUUUUAUUGGCCUACUCUUUUCAAAGAUGCUCGUAAGUUUGUCUUAUCCUGUGAUGAAUGUCAAAGAAUAGGUAACAUUAGUAGACGUCAAGAAAUGCAUAUGAAUUACUCUCUUGUUAUUGAACCGUUUGAUGUUUGGGGCUUUGAUUAUAUGGGACCUUUUCCUGCCUCUAAUGGUUAUACACAUAUCUUAGUCGAUGUUGAUUACGUUACUAAGUGGGUAGAAACUAUUCCAACUAGUAGUGCUGAUCAUAACACUUCUAUUAAAAUGCUUAAAGAAGUUAUUUUUCCGAGGUUUGGAGUCCCUAGAUAUCUUAUGACUGAUGGUGGUUCACAUUUUAUUGAUGGUGCUUUCCGUAAGAUGCUUGCUAAGUAUAAUGUCAAUCAUAGAAUAGCAUCUCCUUAUCAUCCGCAGUCUAGUGGUCAAGUAGAGUUGAGCAAUAGAGAGCUUAAAUUAAUUUUGCAAAAGACUGUGAAUAGAUCUAGAAAGAAUUGGUCCAAAAAACUUGAUGAUGCAUUAUGGGCCUAUAGAACUGCAUACAAAAAUCCUAUGGGUAUGUCUCCUUAUAAGAUGGUUUAUGGAAAAGCGUGUCAUUUACCUCUUGAACUUGAACAUAAGGCCUAUUGGGCUAUCAAAGAGCUCAAUUAUGACUUCAAACUUGCCGGUGAGAAGAGGUUAUUUGAUAUUAGCUCACUUGAUGAAUGGAGAACCCAAGGUUAUGAGAAUGCCAAGCUUUUCAAAGAAAAAGUCAAACGCUGGCAUGAUAAGAGGAUACAAAAGCGUGAGUUUAACGUAGGAGAUUAUGUGUUAUUAUUCAACUCUUGUUUAAGAUUUUUUGCAGGAAAACUUCUCUCAAAAUGGGAAGGUCCCUACGUUAUCGAGGAAGUCUACCGUUCUGGUGUUAUAAAAAUCAACAACUUCGAAGGCACAAAUCCGAGGGUGGUAAACGGUCAAAGAAUUAAACACUAUAUUUCAGGUAAUCCUAUCAAUGUUGAAACUAAUAUUGUUGAAACCGUAACCCCUGAGAAAUACAUAAGGGACACUUUCCAGAACGUUCCAGACUCCGAAAAGGCAUAGGUAUGUGGUACGAUAAGUAAACCGACUCCAAAACAACUCCAAUGGCAAUUUUUAUCAGUUUUGGAUUAUUUAAGAAUUUUAGGAAGAAAGAAGUGGUCCGAAAGGGACACGAGGCUCCCACGAGAGUGGAGGGCGCGCCCCUCUGUCUCGUGGGCACCUCGUGUGCCUCUCGGACUCCGUUUUCUUGAAUGUUACGUAUUUUGGUCGGUAAAAAUUCAUUAUAUAUACUCCCGAAGGUUUUGACCACCGUAUCCUCUGUUUUGAUCACGUAAAUAUCCUCUGUUUUCGUUUCGAGCUAUUUCUAUUUCAGAUUUAGAGCACCAUGACUUCACCCUCCUCCAACAAUGAAGACAAGGAUGCUUGGCUUUUGAAGAUAGUGCUAAAAAGAGAAGAACCAGAAGAGAUCAACAAGGAUGAAGGGAUCAAGAAAGCCAUGGAGGUUCAAGUUCCGGCGGUGAAAGAAGAAGAUAUCCCUCAACCUUUACCUAACCUCUUUACUCCAACAGAGAUUGAAGCUUUCAAGAUGAUUGAGUUAGCUCGCAUACAGAACAAGUAUCUCACACAAGAGAAUAUUUUGUUGAAGGAUCAUAUUGAUGGGCUUAAGGGCAUUAUCCGCAAGUUGGAUGAACUUUUACGCUCAAUGUGCGAUUAUUCAACGUCAUCAUCACCACCUCCAUCACCUCUGAGGACAUAAUCACAUGGGUAUGGGCACUCCCCUUGGCAACCGCCAAGCUUGGGGGAGGUGCCCCCGUAUCGUAUCACCAUCACACUCCUAUCUUUACCGCUUUAUUUACUGCCGCUGCGUCGCCCAGUCGGGCCGCAACGCGGAUCCCACAAGAAUUUUAGGAAGAAAGAAGUGGUCCGAAAGGGACACGAGGCUCCCACGAGAGUGGAGGGCGCGCCCCUCUGUCUCGUGGGCACCUCGUGUGCCUCUCGGACUCCGUUUUCUUGAAUGUUACGUAUUUUGGUCGGUAAAAAUUCAUUAUAUAUACUCCCGAAGGUUUUGACCAUCGUAUCACGUAAAUAUCCUCUGUUUUCAUUUCGAGCUGUUUCUAUUUCAGAUUUAGAGCACCAUGACUUCACCCUCCUCCAACAAUGAAGACAAGGAUGCUUGGCUUUUGAAGAUAGUGCUAAAAAGAGAAGAACCAGAAGAGAUCAACAAGGAUGAAGGGAUCAAGAAAGCCAUGGAGGUUCAAGUUCCGGAGGUGAAAGAAGAAGAUAUCCCUCAACCUUUACCUAACCUCUUUACUCCAACAGAUAUUGAAGCUUUCAAGAUGAUUGAGUUAGCUCGCAUACAGAACAAGUAUCUCACACAAGAGAAUAUUUUGUUGAAGGAUCAUAUUGAUGGGCUUAAGGGCAUUAUCCGCAAGUUGGAUGAACUUUUACGCUCAAUGUGCGAUUAUCCAACGUCAUCAUCACCACCUCCAUCACCUCUGAGGACAUAAUCACAUGGGUAUGGGCACUCCCCUUGGCAACCGCCAAGCUUGGGGGAGGUGCCCCCGUAUCGUAUCACCAUCACACUCCUAUCUUUACCGCUUUAUUUAGUUCGAUCCUUUUAGUAGUGUCUUGAUUAGUAGUUUGAAGUCUUGAUAUCAAGUAGUUUGAGUUUUGCAUUGUGAUCUCUUUAUGUAAUCAAGUCCGUGUGCUAUCUAUAAUAAAGUUUAGUGUUGAGUCAAGGGCUUUGCUAUGUGCCAUGAUCUUGAGAAAGUAGAAAGAAUAAAAGAGUUCAUAUUGAUCUUAUGGAUAGUGAUAACUUCACACAUAGAAAGUAUGAGGCAUAAAAAUUGUUGAGAGUUGAUGAACGUAGCCUUGGUCAUCAUUGCAAUUAAUAGGAAGUGAUAAGGAAAGAGGGGUUCACAUAUAGAUAUAUUAUCUUGGACAUCUUUUAUUAUUGUGAAGCGCUCAUUAAGUAUGACAUGCUAAAAGAGUUGAUGUUGGACAAGGAAGACAAUGUAAUGGUUUAUGUUUUCCGACAUCUCAGUUAAAGUAUAUUGUCAUUGACCUUCCAAACAUGUUGAGCUUGCCUUUCCCCCUCAUGCUAGCCAAAUUCCUCGCACCAAGUAGAAAUACUACUUGUGCUUCCAAAUAUCCUUAAACCCAAUUUUUGUCAUGAGAGUCCACCAUACCUACCUAUGGAUCGAGUAAGAUCCUUCAAGUAAGUUGUCAUCGGUGCAAGCAAUAAAAAUUGCUCUCCUAAAUAUGUAUGACUUAUUAGUGCAGAGAAAAUAAGCUUUGUACGAACUUGUUGUGGAAGUAAUAAAAGCGACGGACUGCAUAAUAAAGGUCCACACACAAGGGGCAAUAUAAAGUGAUGUUCUUUUGCAUUAAGAUUUUAUGCAUCAACCCUAAACGCGCAUGACAACCUCUGCUUCCCUCUGCGAAGGGCCUAUCUUUUACUUUAUGUUUUUACUUUAUGCUUGAGUCAAGGUGAUCCACACCUUUCCCUUUUUACUUUAUCCUUUGGCAAGCUCCUCGUGUUUGAAAGAUCAUGAUAUAUAUAUAUAUAUCUAAUUGGAUGUAAGUUAGCAUGGGCUAUUAUUGUUGACAUCACCUAAAGGUGAAUACGUUGGGAGGCAACACAAUAAGCCCCUAUCUUUCUCAGUGUCCGACUGAAACUCUAUAACCACAAGUACUGUGUGAGUGUUAGCAAUUAUAGGAGACUACGAGAUAGUUGAGUAUGUGAGCUUGUUGAAAAGCUUGACUCUUUCUGAUGUUACGAUAAAUUGCAAUUGCUUCAAUGACUGAGAUUAUAGUUUGUUAGUUCCCAAUGAAGUUUUUGAACCAUACUUGACAUUGUGAAUUGCUUGUUACUUGAGCAUAGGAAAUCAUAUGACAAAAUCUAUAUAUGUUGUUGUUAUUAGAAUGAUCAUGAUGCCCUCAUGUCCGUAUUUUAUUUUUAUCGACACCUCUAUCUCUAAACAUGCGGACAUAUUUUUUGAUUUCGGCUUCCGCUUGAGGACAAGCGAGGUCUAAGCUUGGGGGAGUUGAUACGUCCAUUUUGCAUCAUGCUUUUAUAUCAAUAUUUAUUGCAUUAUGGGCUGUUAUUACACAUUAUAUCUCAAUACUUAUGGCUAUUAUCUCUUAUUUUACAAGGUUUACCAUGAAGAGGGGGGAUGCCGGCAGCUGGAAUUCUGGCUGGAAAAGGAGCAAAUGUUGGAAACCUAUUCUGCAUAGCUCCAAAAGUACUGAAACUCCACGAAACAACUUUUUGGAAUUAAUAAGAAUUUCUGAGCGAAAGAAAUAGGCCAGGGGCCCCACACCCUGUCCAGGAGACAGCCCCCCCCCUAUAGGGCGCGCCCCCUAUCUCCUGGGCCCCCUGGUGGGCCUCCAGCGUCCAUCUUCUGCUAUAUCAUCACUUUUACCCUGGAAAAAAUCGUGGGCAAGCUUACGGGACGAAACUCCGCCGCCAUGAGGCGAAACCUUGGCGGAAUCAAUCUAUGGCUCUGGCGGAGCUGUUCUGCCGGGGACACUUCCCUCCGGGAGGGGGAAAUCAUCACCAACGAUCCUCUCAUCGGGAGGGGGUCAAUCUCCAUCAACAUCUUCACCAGCACCAUCUCCUCUCAAACCCUAGUUCAUCUCUUGUAUCCAAUCUUGUAUCAAAACCACAAAUUAGUAUCUGUGGGUUGCUAGUAGUGUGGAUUACUCCUUGUAGUUGAUACUAAUUGGUUUAUUUGGUGGAAGAUCCUUUAUGCAUAUUAUUACUCCUCUGAUUAUGAACAUGAAUAUGCUUUGUGAGUAGUUACGUUUGUUCCUGAGGACAUGGGUGAAGUCUUGCUAUUAGUAGUCAUGUGAAUUUCGUAUUCGUUCGAUAUUUUGAUGAGAUGUAUGUCGUCUUUCCCUCUAGUGGUGUUAUGUGAACGUCGACUACAUGACACUUCACCAUUAUUUGGGCCUAGAGGAAGGCAUGGGGAAGUACUAAGUAGAUGAUGGGUUGCUAGAGUGACAGAAGCUUAAACCAUAGUUUAUGCGUUGCUUCAUUAGGGGUUGAUAUGGAUCCAUAUGUUUAAUGUUGUGGUUAGGUUUACCUUAAUACUUCUUUUGUAGUUAUGGAUGCUUGCAAUAGGGGUUAAUCAUAAGUGGGAUGCUUGUCCAAGUUAGAGCAGUACCCAAGUACCGGUCCACCCACAUAUCAAAUUAUCAAAGUACCGAACGCGAAUCAUUUGAGUGUGAUGAAAACUAGCUUGACGAUAAUUUCCAAUGUGUCCUCGGGAGGUCCUUUCUCAUUAUUAGAAAUUGUCCAGGAUUAUCCUUUGCUACAUAAAGGAUUGGGCCACCUUGCUGCACUUCAUUUACUUUAUUUACUUGUUGCUUGUUACUAUUUAUCUUAUCACAAAACUAUCUAUUACCUACAAUUUCAGUGCUUGCAGAGAAAACCUUACUGAAAACCGUUUAUCAUUUCCUUCUGCUCCUUGUUGGGUUCGACACUCUUACUUAUCGAAAGGACUACGAUAGAUCCCCUACACUUGUGGGUCAUCAAUGGUCCAUAGCAUUUCCGAAUUAUUCCAUUUGUGAUAAUAUUUUGUUGUGCGUGUGUGCGAGUUGUGUGCAUAUUAAUUAUGCAGAGGCUGAUCUCAAAAUGAUUAUAUCGCCUUUGAUGUAAUUAUAUGGGCAGCGAUAGAGGCAGGGGGACCAACAAGGGCCUGCCCCCCCUAACAUGUGAGAUUUACACCUAAUUAGUUGAUGAAGAAUGCCAAAUUGGUGAUGAUUUGUUGCUAAAACCCUUACUUUACAACAGUUUGGCCCUCCACAACUUGUUUUGACAACAUCUGGCCCCCCUAAUCCCUUUUUUCUGACUCUGCCACUGGAUAUGGGUCAAUAAACGCUUCAUUUAUCUUAAAAAAGGGAAACUGACAGAGGCAAAGAAUGAUUUCAGCAUAAUUGUAUUACCUUGAUGUAAUGAGAUGAGUUCAAUAAAAGCUUCCCCAAUCUUAAAAUAGAAAGGAAUCUGAACGACCUAAGAAGCCCCCACAAAUUGGAGCACCGGCUACAUGUUUAGAUGCAUGUCGGCACCGCCAAGUGUUAUUUUAUCUUUUGAAAUCACUCCUUAGGACUCGAUGCAUUAAAAAAAUGUUGCCCAGUUAUUUUGCGAAAAAUCAGAUGAAAACCGUAACAACACGCUCGCAAGACAAGGCACCCUUACCUAUUCUGGAUACCCACAAGAUUCACACACACUGCUCGCAGAUAAGAACGUCAUCGAGGUUGCCUACAAACUGUCAUUGUCAACACUUCUCCACCAGCAAACGACUCCGACUUCACCGCAGACGACCAACCAAGAGCCCUCAAAACAAGCAACGCACGAGAACCCUGUUGGUCCAUGCUAAACAAUUGGCUGAAUGUGCCGAGUGUGAUUAAACAUCUACGAUCAUGAACCCAUGACAUAGAUGAAUUUUUUUGUUUCUUACUGCUGCAUAUCAGUAGUCUAUUCGAUUGUUACUAGGAGUCUAGGAAGUACCAUUUGACAGGAUUGCACCGCUGCAUUUUUAUUUAUGUUGUACAAUGUACUCAUAACGUCGUAUUGGUGGCAUGAGGAGCAGGCUCUUGUUGUCGAACGUUCGAGUGUCCCUGAGUGCGAAUCCGGAGCUACAGCGGCGCCGUGAGAUGCGGUGGCAAUGAUGCCAUGUGAUGGUCAGGUGGGGUUUUGCUGGUGCAAGGCACGUUUCUUUCUUCCGCGAGGCCCGUGUCAAAGUGGGAGCUCCGUGUUCCUCGACGUGAUGCCGACAGGUUUCUCGUGCGUCUUUCGACCCGAGGAUUCUUCACUGGUCAGCCGCGGUGAAGUUGGAGUCGCUUGGUCGAGGCGAGCUAGAAGUGACGACGGUGUUCCUCUUUUUAACAGUGUGUGUGGGUCUUGUGGGUAGUCAGGUCAACCGAGGUGCCUUGUCUUGCGGGCUUGUUGCAACGUACUUGUUUGAUUUUUUUUGUCAAUUAACCAGGCUAAUUCUUUUUCUACAUUUUGUAAUGUAUCGAAUAGACUUCAAAAUACAAAGUUGUACCGCUCGCAUGCCACGGAAUGUGAAAGGUGCCAACCCACAUUCCUUACACAUGUAGCACGAUCCAUUAUUCUCGUGGAUCGUCAGUUGCACCUUACACGUGACAGCGAUAGAAAUGAGUUUGGACGUUGAUGGUGAGAAACUUAGAAUUGCCAGCAGUGACAAGGAACUCAUGGCCCAUGCACUGGGCUCGCAGUGUUGAGUAUAUUGAUUAUUAGGAAAGACUAAAUAAAUUAGGAUUAGUUCUAGCUUGUCUUGUACUCCAAGUUGAUCAUUGUACUCUUAUAUAUAUGUCCACGAGGCUCAAGCAAUACAACAAUUAUUUCACCAAACCUCUCUCUCCCUUCUAACAUGGUAUAUAUCGCAAGUCGAUCUUAAACUCUAGCCACCGCUGCUUCCGCACCCGUGCGCCGCCCCUGGGGUGGUCGGCCUCCAUGACCGCCGUCGGGGGCCUCGCCACCCGUACCUAGGGUCCGUCUGCCGACCGUGUUGGCCGGCUGCCCUAGAGAGUCUUUUUCCCGAUCCUUUGAUCUGGGUUUUUCUCUUUUUCGUCAGUUGCUUUGAUCAGCGUCUACUUUUUGAUUUUCCGGUCUAUUCUUGAUCGGUUUGCGUCGCCCACCGCCGCCGUCAACCCCGGGCGCCUCUACUCCGAUCCCGGCGUGACCAGCCGGCCUCUCCUCCGACCCGGCGGCCACGCGCGCCGAGGCGGCCCGUCAGGGCCAGCCACCGUCUGCGCGUCGGUCCGCCCGUCGCCCUGCGCCGGCCGUCACCGCCCUGCUUCGGCCUGGAAACCUGCAUCGCCCCGACCCGGUGGCUUCGUGCCAUGCGAUGGCCAAUCAUAGUCAUCACUCGCGCGCCGGUCCGCCGAUCGAUCCACGUCACCCGCCUUUGCCGCAUCUGCACGGCGGCUCGGCGGUCUACCUCGCUGGCCUCGUCCUCGGCUGUCAGGCUCGUCGGCUGCCUCAAACUCGGGCGCCGCUGCUCCGUUGGUCGCUCGGGCCUCACUGCCUGGGCGUCGGUGCUGCUUUGGCAGCCCGGGUGCCGGUGCUAACGUCCCACGCCGUCCGUCGUCGCCGGCCUCAUCCAGGACUCCGCCGCCACCACGCCUCCAUCGAGCGGCGUCCCCGUCCUCGCGCGCGAUCGGCUUGAUCACCCGCUUGCCGCCGCGAUCCGCCUCAUCUACGCCGUGCGACCAACCUGGUCCGUCGGUUGCGUGCGCCUCCGCAGGUCCCGUGAAGAUUGUCCCGAGUUCAGCGCGCCCCUCCACCGAUCGAGCAACGGGCUGCCGCUGCGUCGCCCAGUAGGGCCGCAACACCGCCGCCACAUGGUUCUCCUCCCGGCUGCAUCAACCCGCGUCACUUCGGGCCGUAGUGCCGCGGCCCGCGAUCCAUCGCCGCCCCAGGGCCGUCCGCUCCAGGCCGUCCCAUGGCUGCACCGACCCUCGCGCCGCCGCUGCGUCGCCCCGUCGGGUCGUAGCGAGCGUGGACGCGAUCCACGCCUCCGUCCCGAGGCCGUCCCCGCGGUUGCACCGACUAGUGCUCCGACGCCGUGCCGCCCCUUCGGGCUGUCGCGCCGCGGCCCGCGGUCCCCACCGCCGCCCCGAGGUCUUCCUGCCGUCGCACGGACCUGCCUGCCGCCGCUGCGUCGCCCCUACGAGCCGUAGCGCCGCGGCCCGCGGUCCACUCCGCCGUCAUCGCGCGUCGACCUCCCGUGGUAUGCGCUGCGCCGUCUCCCUUAGCGCGGGAACGCCACCGUCCGCGCCGGUCUUCGUCACGUUGUCGGGUUCUUCGCCUACUUUGAGCACCGUCGCCGCGCUCCUAACCUAGCCGCCGUUGCCGCCGUUAGGUCACCGCCCCGCUCUUCUUUGGCCGUCGCCGCCGCUACCCCUGUAGCCGCCGCAGCCGCCGGUCCACCUCCUUCGUCUUCGUCCAGCACCAGCCCGUCGCCAGCGUCGCCGUCAUCUACCCCGACCGCUUCAUCUACUCCGACAACCGUGGGCGACAUUGGCCCCGUGCCGAUUGGCGCUGCAACCGUCGUCGAGUCCUUCUCUGCUGGCCUCUCCGACUUCUUCGACAUUGCGUAUAGCUCGUGCAGGUCCCAGUCUACGCAUGCCCGGUGCUGGCAACACCGCCGCGUGCCUUCGUCCACGACGUGUCCCCGGGCCCGGCAAACCUGGUGCGGCGCUUCGUCAACUUCGACAUCGUCCGUCUACGCAUGCCCGGUGCUGGCAACACCGACGCGUGCCUUCGUCUACGAUGUGUCCCCGGGGUUGGCAAACCCGGCGCGACGCGUCGUCAACAUCAUCUGCUUCCUGGCGCACCAUUACUUCGACACCACUGCGCCCACGACUAACUUGGCGCCUUCUUGCGCCCGCGGCUCCACGGCGACUUUCUCGACACCGGCUACCCCGACUCGACAUCGACCACGGCAUUCUUCGCACGGCUACCUCAACCACGGCUCCACCACCCACGCUCACGGCUACAUCGACAAACGGCACAAAGGGCUACCGCCUGCUUGAGCAACCUCAUCGGUUUUCACUCCAGCCACAACUCCGCGAUGCAUCGACCGUUACGACUGUGGGGGGUUGUCCGUCGGCUUGCCUUCAGAUUCUUCUUCAGUCUCACCGUCUGCGUCGCUCCCAUUGUGACUGCGGGGGGAUGUUGAGUAUAUUGAUUAUUAGGAAAGACUAGAUAGACUAGGAUUAGUUCUGGCUUGUCUUGUACUCCAAGUUGAUCAUUUUACUUCUAUAUGUAUGUCCACAAGGCUCAAGCAAUAAAACAACUAUUCCACCAAACCUCUCUCUCCCUUCUAAUACGCAGGAUCCCCAUGGGAAAAAGACAGUAUCGUCGUCAUAUUGCCAAGAGGCUGGGUUCACCUUCCCGCUGUUCGGGAUUCCAGGCCAGGUUCAGUGAACACGGCGCCUCGCCGCGGCAAAGCAGCCCUAUGCAUUCCGUCAUGUCGCGUAGCUCUCCUCUGCUCCUGGUGCCGGACGGGCCCUCUACAACCAUCUCCCAUGAAUCAUCAGGCAUGCAUGCGGACAUGUACACCGGACGAACGGGCGAAUGCAGCUAAGCAGCAAACCGAUGCAACAUCAUUCGUUGCAGAGAAGUUGAAGCCUUGAAGGGGGCCGCAUCACCGGCCAUGCCUUGCAAAGUUGGGCAGGCAUGUGGGAUGUGGCACAGCAGGACGUUGAUCGAGCAGAAGCAAUCCAUGUGGGCGGCAACAUAAGUUAAGCAACACAAGCUGUCAUGCGUGCGGCGUGCCCAUGCUAAUCACUGGAGCAGUCCGGUUCAGGGUCCCAGCGAAUGUAGUUUUCCCGUCUGAAAGGACUUGCCAGUUGCCACUGUCCAUUACCAGCAUAGUUUAUCAGUAGAAAUGUGCUAGGAUCAAUCACUACACGCUAAGAAUGGGUAGAAAAUUAUACAGUACUAGUAUAUAUACGUGAGUGUCGCCUUCGGUUUGAUCGACUGUUACGUGCGGGAAAAGAUGAUUAUUUGUUGCCGGCCGUGACGGUAAACGUCCACGUCCUGCUUCCGGGCGCACGCAUCUUGGCGACUAGAUCAAGAUCGCGCCUCGGCACGAGGAUGCCGGUCCGAACGUUUUAGUCAAGCACGUAUACGUUAGUAGUAAUCCAGAUUUAGCAUAUGCAUUCAUAGAGGAUAACAAUGAAGAGAAGAAAAAACAUUCAAUUGCGGAUGGCGAGAAGAAAGCCUGGCGAUGAGAAAAUCACAUGUUGUGCCAUUGAUGGAUAGCAUAACCUUUUUGUGCAAAACCAAAUAGAUAGCUAAUAAGGAAAGAACAGUACAUUGAUAGACAGGUUAUAGACGACAUAACAGGAGCAUAAUGUUGUUCACUCAUACACUGACAGUUCCAAGAAAAGCAGUAAGGUUCAACUCAUGUCACAUGAGUACAAACAAAGGCGAAGUGCACAUGUCAGUUCCAAAGAAAAGUAUAGAUGCAAAAUAACAUGAUCCAUAGAAAUGAAGAGGAAACGAUCCACAAGUGAAAAGACAUACACAAUUGAAUUGAUUCGGAUAAAAGCCCAAGUACAUAAGUUGUUAGAAUACAUAGCAUCAGAACAACACCGGCAACAGAUUGUACAUAUCAUCCGCAUAUUUACAAACACAAACAAGGCAUAAAGGCUUUAUCAGCCUCUACACACGAAUAUUUGCCGUGACUGAAACAGGAACACUGAGGGUGGAAGGCGCUUGGAAGGACGCAUCACAACAGUCGGCUGGUCUACCCAUUCACUUUGCAGGCACAAACUCCAGAAUGUGCAACAUAUGUGCUGCAAAUGCUGAACACAGGCAAUAGAGAUGAAGUUAGGCCACAACAAAUCUGGCAAUUGAACCGAAGAAAUGGGACGAUAAAAACCAUGAUUCCAUCUCCUAGUCGACCCAGCCGAGCAAGAAAAAAAAUACAAAACUAAAAUUAAAACACACACACGGCAUCACUCAGAUUCAACUACAGGAAUCACACACUAAAUAAUCUUGCUAGCUCCUCGUCGAUCACCCUGCCGAGCAAGAACAAAAAUACAAAACUGAAAAUAAAACACACACACACACACACACACACAACAUCACUCAGAUUCAACUAAAGGAAUUGCACUCUGGGAAUAAUGUGUUAUGAAGAGAAAUUGUGAAGCGUCAUCAUGUUGACAGAAAAAAAACUAAAGCAGUAUGUGCUUUUGUCCAAAACUCACUGAUAUACUAUGUUUCUGUAAGUGAAAUUGGCAGCCUGCAUCUUUUAAUAUGGCACAUCUUCAAUGGACCGGCUGGCAGAACAUUAAAACCUUGUAUUUAUGUACAAAAUUCUUUUGGUGGGCUGCUAGUAUAGCAUAUAAAAACCAUAGGCUGUCAGUAUUGUGCCACAAGGUGUUCACCAUUUUAUCAACACAUAGAAGGCCAAAGUUAUCUAUUCUCUGAUCAGAAGUAAAAAGAUAUACAUUAUGCACCACUUACAUUAGAGUAACCCUGCUAAAUUGGGAGGGGGGGGGUCUAUUUAUACCGACUAUAGGAGAGAAGACAGUAAUAUAGGCUUGUACAAGUCACGUCAAAGGCAACAUAAACAUGCAAGUAGUUGAAAGUGGAGCAUAAAAACUCCGCAAGUAAAACAUUGUGUGCUUCCGCUAUUAAUUGAUUCAAUUUGUGGCUACAUGCAGUAGGCUAGGCAGCACCAUUUAGUUCUUUAGCAAAUCUCUUGAUAAAAAGCAUAUUGGAGAGAGGGAACAAACUACAUGUGUCUAAGGUCAUAAAAAAUCACUCCGUCGAUAGCAUAUAGGCUUCAGAUCUGAUCGCUUUUUUCUAAAAAAAUGUCUUGUCGUGUCCACACAAUAUUAUGCAUCUAAUCCGAGGGAUGUAAGUAACCAAAUUACUGUGACUAAUGUUUUGACCCAUAUUUAUUUGUUCUAAUGUAGCUGAAGCGAAGUCACUGAAUCAAGGCAAUCCUAUGAGCCGCAAGGCUAAAGAGAACAUGUUGAAUAUGCUAAUACUACAUCGCAAAAAAGCAAGUAUUUAUAGCUAAUACUAUAUCUAACAUAACCAUUUCUUUUAUCAUCACAGAAGCAAGUAUUUCUACCCCGCAAAAAAAGCAAGUAUUUAUAGCUAAUACUACAUUGUAAUAAAUGAAUCGGCAGUAAUGAAUUGGUUAGGCUGCUUCACAUUGCAAGAGAAGUCUGCAUAAGAAUCAGACCUAGCAAAAGGUUGGGUGGUCAGGUCAACCUGAAUAUUACGUCAUUUGUGUGCCUCUCCUCUUGUCGUAUGCAGCUGCUCGUGUACUGGUCACCUCCUGGUGGUAGCCGCUCACAAGUGCUCCCUUUUUGAUGAAAAUGCCCGAGACAAAUCACUAACUGAGCCUAAUGAAAUAGCAAAGAAAGUUUUACUGGCGGCACAAAAUGUAGCACAAAUCAAGUAGAAGAAGAGACAUAGAGCACAAUAACUUUUAAAGAAAUAUCAGCUCCAUACGAUAAUUGUGGUGCUAAAACAAAUAUUUGUGGUGCAGGCUUAGGAUUGAUUUAAUUCUUCUUUACAAAAAAGAGGUAGAGAAGCCGUGAGUUAUGAUAUAAUAAAGACUAACUAAGUAACAAACAGUGUAAGAAAGCAAAUUGCUGUGUAAGAGACCAUUAUUUAAUCUUAUGAUCACACUCAGUAGCAAAUGGCUCUAAGGAUCAGCGGCUCAUACUCAGGAAAACGCUCAGGAAAAAUGACAUACUAAACCUAGGGCCGGCUCUAGGAUUUCAAAGGCCCCAGGGCGAACUCCACCGAUGGGCCCAACAGAGAGAAAAUUCCAAUUCAAUACGUCCAAAAUUGAUCAUUUUUGAAGCUACAAUAAGCCGAAAUUAACAGCAUCAGACCAUAGAGCCCAAAAAAUCCUAAUACUUGGAAUCUAGCCAAACCAGGGAGCACAAAAGGCCCCUGUAUUUGGAAUAUAGUCUCAGUCCAACAGCAUCUCCAAAUAGAGAAGACGACAAAUCUACAAGCCCGGGCCUACAAACAAACAAGAACAAAGAAAGGAGAGAGAGAAGGGGUAGACCUUCACUUCCCUGGACGAAGACAAACCCAGUUCCGCUGCCUCGUGCGCUGACUGGCGUGUGGUGGUGAAGAGGUGGCUGGGCGUUGAGGUAUCUUUCGAGUGGAGAGCUCCCAAUUGAAAACACAUCAAGCAAAGAAUUAGAAAACAGAAGUACCGAACAAAUUAAUUAACAUUAAAACACCAUUUCUUCAUAUAAUUAGAAACUGGAAACUGGGAGCCGACUGGAUAACCAAAUUAAUCUAGCAACCAAGAAUAACAUUUUGAUUCGCAGAACUACAACCACAAUACGCAUGGACCCUCAAAUGAUCUUUUUCUAAUCAACCAUGCGACCUAUCUGGCAUGUGAUUAUAUGGCUAAGCAAGGACCAAAUUAAUCUAGCACCUGAAAGCAGCACUUUGAUAUGAAAUAAAGGUAUGAGAGAGAAGAAAUAUUUACAUAAUAUGGGUAUAACCACUGGAGCAUAAAUAAAUGACACCUUUAAAUUUAAAAAAAUGGUUCAGGGUUCAUUGGAUAGUGGGCUCAGAUUCAUCUUUCCUCGAUCAUAUAACCUACCCCCAUCGUUUCUUUUCACCAGAUUAAUCUGUUUAUACAACGAAGCUGCCCUGGUUAUCACUCAAGAAGAACGACCAUCCAAGGACAGAACAAUAAGUAUCACAUGAUCAAAAAGGAUUCUAGAGACAAGAAGGAGGAUCCAACUUGAUACCCACAGGUGCCUCAAUUGCUCAAAGGCACACUUACUUCAUCCACGGUUAAUCAUCAUCGCCCUAGCACGAACGUCACUUAUCAAUUUAGCAAAUCCAGGAGCAUAGCUAUAGGACCAGGGCACCCACAUGUUGACCAGAGCAUCACAGGAGGUCCUAUGAUAGCAAAUGAACAUGAACAACAGCCUGCGAACCCUAGAAUAGCAUGGAUCCACAACUACAGAGCUCAAGCAGGAACCAAUGCAUGAGUAGGGCAUAGAGCAUCAACCAGACGAGCACCACAUCAAUAUAGCCACAACCAUGUUACAUACAAUAGCCGAAGUAGAGGAGCAGGACGAGGAUGGAGCUCACCGAGGAUGGUUGUAGCAGAGGAGAGAGGAGGCUAGGGUUUUACCACGAGCGUGGCCCCCCUUUUAUACCCAUGUACAUGAGAUGAUGAAAAUGCCCUCGGCGGGGGACAGGAAUUACGCGUGGUGCACGAGAUUUUUACCGCGAGACGGUAACUAUCCAUUCCUACAAUGCCUCGGCUUUGAUCCGACGGCCGAGGUCAUCCAGUGGCUCGAUCCGACGGGGACAGGAAUUAAGAGUAUGAACAACCAUGAUCAAGUGCAGUUCAACAAUCAGAUAGGAUGAGAAUAACGGACAUGCUAUACACAACAAUCAUAAUAAAAGAAUAAUAAUUGAGGCCUCAUCCUUAACCUGCAAAAGAAAAUUAAGCAUGCACUUGAUCCUGUUUUUUGCUACUAAUCAGUGAGUCCCUACUAUUAGCUAAAAGGGGACCAACAUUUAUCUUUGUUCUUGCAAAUUGUGAUUAAUAUCACUGAACAACAAUACUAUAGGAUAUCAUGUAGUGCAGUAAUCAUGUACACUUAUGUUCUUAUUAGCCAACUAAGCAAGCAGAAAAACUAAAUCAACGCAUCACUGUGUAGAUAAGCGACAAGCAAGCAAACUGAACAAUUAACACCCUGUAUAACUGUGUAGAUAAGCAACAAGCAAGCAAACUGAACAAUUAACACCCUGUAUAUAGUAUCUCUGCUACAAUCUAACAAUCACACAUAACACUUACAUAUGUAAUUCACAGCAAAAAAAUAUUGAGCUUUCUCAUAAUAAAGAAAACAAUUCUUGCAUAAUACCUGCAAAGCAAUCUGGUUGGAACCUGCAAAGCCAAUCAAGCCCACAACAUCAAUAGCCCCUCAUUUCCAGUGAAUGUAUCCGUUCGGUAUAUUGACCAAUUGUCCAUCCCUAUUCUGCAAAGAACAGAACAUCACUCAAAAGCUUGCUUUGAUUUUCAUCGAGCAACUUGUAAACAUACAACUUGUACACAUGUAUAGAAAAGAUUAUGCACAAACAAAGAUGAGAAGACGAGUACAUGAGAUAAGAUAUCGGGCUAAUCAGGAGGAAGAGAGAAGUGUGGGUACCUGCAAGAAAAGGAUAGAGAAAUUGGAGGUGCAUGGAGGUGGUACGGUGUCUUCUUCCUCUUCUCCUCCUGCUCCCUCCCUUCUCCAAAUCCAUCUUUCAUCUCGUGGUGGGUACAUGAGGCUGACACGGCUGACUGACCUUGAGGAGAAGGGAACACAGUCAGGAGCUGGCAGCAAGAGGGGGUCCAAGAAGAGGAAAGAAAGAGAGAAGAAAUGAACCUGCAGAUAAUCGCAUCUGGCAGUGCUUGGGGAUGGCGGCGUGGGUGUCCGCCAGCUCGAA